RNAcentral lists this long non-coding RNA (96196 nucleotides) under Vitis vinifera (wine grape). RNAcentral describes it as "long non-coding RNA (VVIN_LNC004534)". The record is from RNAcentral. Lineage: Eukaryota; Viridiplantae; Streptophyta; Magnoliopsida; Vitales; Vitaceae.
UUCAGUACAAACUGUAGAAGUUACAGAAGAAACAAGCCAUGCAUAAAGCACACACACCCUUCUUCCAAAUUAACAAGCCAUGCAAAAAUCAAAUUCCCAUACAUCAAUAUUAUUUUACAUGUCUUUUUAACAGACUGAAUUCAUUAAGACAGAAGAGUACAUAACUCAGAGGUGAAUCCUACACAGCCACUUCUACAGAACCCCAAAGAUGUAAAAGCUCAGGAACAGACACCCAAGCACAAAUGCAGAGGUUGAAAGCCCUGAGGAACUGGGUAGCACCAAAUAAAUGCCAGAAGUAAAUGCUAUCACCAUUCCUAGGAUGGAAACGUAUGUGAGUAUGGCUGAAAAUUUUAUGAAACCUAGAAGCAGAUGAUAGUUUCGUUCCAGUGAAGCAAAAAAGUGGAGAAACACUACUGCAGUUGAGCAAUAGAAAGCUAUACCAUCUGACAACAAGAAGGUCUUGAAGGCUAUCUUUGUUGAGAGAACUGCUUUACCUUUGUCGGGGUCAUCAUCAUUGUACCCACCAGGUAGAGUAAAGCCUGCUGCAAAAGUGACAGUUGCUAUGAGCGUCGCGACCAAUAAAUGGGUGUUGGAAAUGUCCUUGAGAUGAUGAGAUCGAAGUUCCUUUUCUUUCAUGAUUUCUCUGUUCCUAUCAAGAAGUAUACUCAUAUUGCUAGCAGUACGAGACGCGCCAUCACUGCUCUUUUGAUGCCCAUUGUUAUCAGUCCGCAUAUUUGCAUUUUCCUGGUAUCCUUCAUUGUCACCAUUUUGCAUAUAUGCAUUGUCUCUAAUGACCAACCGGUGUAAACUUUGUCGACCACCAGCAUGCUCCAACUUCCUCAUGAUCCAAUACUGGCAGUCAUUUGAAAGGAAUUAGAAUGAACUUGUAAAGCAAAGCUAUGGGAAAAAUUUUGAAUCAAACAUUGAACAAAAUCUAUUGGCUAGCUCUUAAAGAGGACACCAAACACAUUGAAUAAUAUUAGCCAUCCAUUUCAGAUACUUUUUUCUUUUUCUUUUUUCUCUCUUUUUUAAGUAAUCGCUUAACAGAUUGAAUGGCUAUAAUCAUUCAACAUGAUCUUUCUGCAUCAAAUAUCUUCAGAGAGAUAUGAGAAGCCUCAUCAUGUCUAAUUAAAAUUUGUCUCAAACUUUACAGUAACGUACCUUGAUUUUUUCUCCAAUAUCCAUAUUUGACUGGACAAUGUCAAUAGUCUUCAAAUACUCAUUGUUCAUUGCCCUUUUGUCCACUCUAUCGUCUGCAGCCAACAUAAUCACAACCCCGUAAUGUCCAUAAAUGGCAGCUAGAUGAAGGGGUGUGUUACCUUCCUUAUCUGGCUCAUUUAUGAUACUUUCCAAGUUUGGCUUCUUCAGGAUAUACUUAACGACUCUAGCGUUUCCAUAUUGAGCUGCAACAUGAAGAAUUGUGCGGCCUUUGUUGUCAAUCAAAUCAUAAACAUCUGGAAGACAUGUGAUAAUCUGUUCCAUUACAUUAGUGUGGCCCUCUUUGGCUGCAAUGUGGAGAGCACAACUGUGUUCUACAUCCAAUAAGCCAGCAACAGAUUUGUCAUACUUCAGUAACUUCUCAGUUGCUUUGAGGUGACCCAAGUGGGCAGCAUAGUGAAGAGGGGUCCACCCAAAUUCAUCUGCCUUUUUUAUCACAUCCUUCUUCAUUUCAAAUAGUACUUCCAUAAUAUCUAUACAUUGGGAGAAGAAGGUUAGAAAUCUUAAAAAGAAGUGGAAGAAUCUACUUAAAUAGCAUUUCAUACCUCACCAAAAAUAUGUCAAGAGAAAUGGAAAAGGCGACCAAAACACCCUUUCCCCCAUAUUUUAAGCAUAAAAAUGUCCUCAAUAAUGAUCCCCUUCAUUUCCAAAAAAAAAGGAAAAUCCUCGUACAUCUUGAUAAAUAAACACAUGGCUUAAUCAGUUGUAUGGUUUGAAGGUCCGUUCUUUUUUCUUAUAUAGGAAUGGGUGUUCAAAUAGAGUGAGAAUGGAGAGAACUCUCCACUCAUAAGCUUUUUGAAGUAAAAAGGAAAAAGGAAAAAAUCCAACUUCUUAGUAAACAAGAAUGAAAAGGGCACAGGAUCUUCUUACUUUAAAAAGGGGACAAAAGGAGUCUUAUUACCAAUUUCAUCAUUCAAUUGUUUUCCUUUGAAGUGUCCUCGUACCCUAAAGAAAAAGUUUGUAACCACACGGCGAUGUUUUUCUAGAGAUAAUUCUGGAACUUCUUGGCCUGCAGCAUGAUAUAACAAACUAAAAUCAGUGAUAUCCCCAUAAAAAUAACAAAGAAGGCCAAAAAAACAAAGGCUUGCCUUUUAGUUUGUUCAUCUUGCAUAAGGGAUUGAAAAAAGGAAAAGGAAAGAAAGAAAAUUAAUGCAAAUUAAGUCUUUUCCCAAAAGUGGUCCAUAUUCAGAAGAAAUAUUUGUUGAAAUAAUUUUCAAAACUUCAUACCAAACAAGGAAAUAAUGAAAGCUGAUAUUUUUCAUCUACUUGAUUUCUUUUCUUCAGUUUCUUCCUCAUUUUUCUCUCCAGGCAUGGUGGUAAGACUUGGGUCUUAGAAAGUAUACACCCAAAUGCCUGAAGACUUGGGUUUUUUUUUCUUUUUUUUCUUUUUUUGUCACCAGAAUUAUCACUGGACGCCCUUUGCAUGCCCAAAUUAAACUUGAAAAAGUAAAACAAAUUAACAUUAGAAAUGAAGAUUUCAGAUAUACUCCUACUAACCAACAUUGGAUUGUGUUCCUGGAAACCAUUCUCCUCGUAGAUGCAGUCCAAGUCCAUUUACAGACAGCUCGGGGGGUAUGGGUUUACCCAGCUCAGGACCUACAAGUUAGGAAGAAUCGAAGAAAUCUUUUAAGUAUACAAAAGCAAGCAUGAACAUAAACUUUUAUGCAUAGAAAGAUUUUGACCUUUAUGGGUACGAAUCACAGCUGCAUGUAAAGCGGUCAUCCCUUUCGUGCCCUCACAGGAACAUUCAGAACUGUUUCCUUUCAACAGUUCGUCAGCAAUCUUGAAAAACCCCCUUUCCACAGCCAAAUACAAGGGGGACUCUUUAUGAUUAUUAACCAAAUCCAACAACUUAGGAUUUUCUUGAACCAACCGGUUCACCACCUCAAGAUGACCAUUCCUCACAGCCACAUGCAGUGCCGUAUCAGCCCUCCCAUUCUUCAUUUCCAGUGCUUGCUUGGCAUUUUUACUUUCAAGAAAGCACUUAACCAUGUCACUACAGCCAGUUCUCGAGGCGAUAUGCAGCGGAGUGUCGCCUUUGAAGUCAGCUCUAGUCAGAAGCUCUGGAAACUUCUCAACAAGAGCUUCAGCAAAGCCUAUGCACUUGAAAUUACCAGCAAUGUGAAGAGCAUUGCGUUUCUGGGAAUGUGCUUGGCAGGGAAUACUCUGGAGGCUAUGUGGCUUNNNNNNNNNNNNNNNNNNNNNNNNNNNNNNNNNNNNNNNNNNNNNNNNNNNNNNNNNNNNNNNNNNNNNNNNNNNNNNNNNNNNNNNNNNNNNNNNNNNNUGAAUUUUGUGGCACCUCCCGUGGAAACUUGCCACCAAAGCUCCCAAUUCAGAAAUGUUGUUUUUAAAAUAAUAACAGAAUUGAGUAAUUUUCUUUCUUUCUUAUCUCCAACGUUUUUGCUAAAUACUUUCACUUUUGGAGCUUGGUUUUAUAUCUGAUUUCGUAAGUCCUAAGAUAUCUACUACCAUGUACCUUGAAAGGUUGGUGUUGAAUCUAUUGAUUAAUUGUAUAUGUUAGGGCAAUGAGUCUUCAUCAUAAGUUAGCAAUUUUGUUCCUUUUAAUUUUUGGCUUAGGAAUCUUUUUAAAUAGUGACUUACUUUCUAUUAAAAGAUUCAAGGUUAUUGUUCGAUCAACUGGAAAGUCAUAUGUAAAUCUAAAAAGGUUUAGUUUAUGGCAAAUUAGGUGUUUAAAAGGGUUAAGUGGAUUGGUAUAUUUUUUAUUGAAUUAAAAAUGUUUUAUUUAAUAUUUUGAAAAUGCAAGGGAUGCUCGAGUGGUGGAAAUAGUGCUCAAGCGUUGGGACCACUCAAACACUUAUCAACUCAAACACUUAUCCAACACUUAAGUGAUCAAGGCACUCAAGUGGUAGGUAAGUGCGCUCGAGUGCUCAUCCCAAAUCUGCUAAAAUAUGGUAGAAUAUUUUUGGAUAAUUCAUGCAAAUUGAGUUUGGAAACUUCACUAUACCAAUCCCCUAAGGCUUGGAGGCCUAUAUAAACCCAUCUAUAACCCUUUUAGUAUGAAGUGUAGUAAAACCAAAUGGAAGAAUGAAUAAUCAAAUGGAAGAAUAAGACAAUUAAGGAGAAAGAUUACAUGAAGAUAGGGCCUUAUGCUUCAACAAUAAGUAGCCUUAUGUAUGUGAUGUUGUGUCCUAGAUUAGAUAUUUGUUUUACGUAAGAAUGAUGAGUAGAUAAUAAUCCAAUCCAAGUAUAGAGCAUUGGACAACGGUCAAGUAUUAAAACCAUAAACAAAAAGCUAAAAUCAUGUUCAUUGAUUCUAAUUUUCAUAUGAAAAUUUUAAAAAUAUAACAAUAAAAUAAUAUCACAGGAUAUUUUUAUUUAAUUUAUACAUGAUUAGAUUUAUAAAACAAAUAAAUAUUUUUUUAGUAUGAAUAUAUAAAAUCUUAUAUCCUAAACCUCUAAAAAAUUUUAUUAUAUAUUUAUUUUUAUAUUAAAUUUGUUCUCAUUAAUUAUUUAUUAUAUAUUAUUAUUUUUUAUUUAAAAUAUCCAUAAAUAAUUGAAAUCAAUAACUAUAAAAAGAUGAAAUGGUAACAAAUUUUGAAAUUAAAAAGAUUUCAUGAAGCCUAUACAUUAAAAAAAAAAAAAACAUUUCACAGUGAAAAAUAAAUAAAAUUCAUAUGGUACGGUUGAUUGUCACACGAUAAAGUUUUUAAAAAAGAAAAAUUGUUAUAAAAUUGUUAUAGUUCAUGGUAGGUAGGAGGAGAAAAGGGUAAUUUUAGAAUUUUGAUGAAUAUAACUAUUUAAGUGUAUAUUUAUAGGAUUAGCUUUUGUAAGCGAGAAGUCAAGUCAAACCUCUCAAAAAAAAUCUUUUUUUUUUAAGGUGCACAUGAUUAUACGAUUCUUCCUAUCUCAAGGCUGGGGCCCAUGCUGAAAUGAUAUGUCAACAACCCUCCUUAAAGUAGAGUUGUAAAAGCUACUUCCCUUCUAUGUCUCCGGCCGAUAUUUCAGUCUAGUGUGGCGGCUUUUAACGCUUCAUCUACCUAUCUUCUUUUACGUUGAGCGUGGAAUCCACCGUUAUUUGAACUUAGGAGAUACCCACACUGACUUUUCAAGUUUUGUCCAGUUGAGGAAACUUUGAAAAUUAUUUAGCAGAAGACUGAUAAUGCAACCUUCUUCAUAAGAUGGGUGAUUUUUGAACACUACUGUACUCUAACCAAAUACCAUUUGUGCUUAUAUGUGAUACAAUGAAUGGAAUAUCUUUUCCCCUUUAUUACGCAAAUACUUGUUUAAUAAGUUCUUAUUCUCCUGCGAGUAACUUGCGAUUGAUUGUUUGAAUAGGUAGGGAAUUUUUUUAAAUUAGUCCCCCAUCCAUGCCCAUUAGAGAUUCUGAAAUUCAUUUGUAACAUUUAUGAUUUUUUGGAAAAUAAAAGACCUACUCCAAUAAUACCAAUAUGAAUGGUACCACCAAACUUUCGUACGUAUCUAUAAAGAAGGAGAAGGUGCCCAAACAAUGUAUCCAGAAAAAAACAUUCAAGAAAAUAAUCCCAACUACUAGAUUUCAACAAGUAGGAUUUUGAGCAUAAAAGAAAUAAAAUAAAAUAAAAAUAAUGACGGCUUCGAAUGACAUCACUGACCCAACGCAGGCAGAGGAGUUAGGAGUUGCGUGGAAAUUGUGAAAGGCGUAGAUCACGCCACAUGGAAGCAGUGGAGACAUGGCCAGUAGGAUAAUUAAUAUCCAUGUGGAUAACAGAGUGGAUCAAAACAAUGCCAUUCCCAUCAUGAAUGAACACUCAUUUACUUCUGCGUUUACUUGACUUUUGAGAGAUUUGCAAAACAUGUAGAGAGAGAUAUCACUGGAAGAGUUCUCUUCUCAUUAAUCAUGUUAUAAAACUGAUGAGUUAAGGCUAGUCUAUAAUUUCCAUCAGUGGUAAUAAAAUAAGUAUGCAGCUGUUUAGAAAGAAAGAUCAGCAUGGGUGGUUGCAACGCGCAACAAAAAGUCCCAUCAGACUUCUCAUCCCUGGGAAUCUUACACUCGCUAGGUAGACUAAUCAAACCAGGAUCCAACCUGGUACAAACUACUGUUUCAACCACUCAAUAUUUAAGGAAUCACUUCCUAGUCACUAAGAACAUAAACUAAUCAAACCCAACCUGGCACAGGCUACCUUAUCGACUAGUCAGUACUCAAGGGAUCAUUUCCUAGUCACCAAGAUAGUUAAUUUAGAAAAUCUUACACUGAAAAAUGACCUAUUCAUCUGCAUGAGCAUAUGCUUUUCACAUCCCACUGAAUAUAAUCUUAACAUCUGUUUCAUUAGUAUGAUUUUCUCUUAAGCUAUUGACUUCAAUAUUUACUAGGAAACGAUAUCAAAGGGAAAAAGAUUACCAAUUCAGAAAAAUGUAAAGCAAGGUACAAAAUACUAGAUGGAGAUAUCUCAAAGAAAGAAAUUCUUUUCCUAUAGCUAAACUAAUGCACACGAUCAAAUCUAACAGUGACAUUUGUUCUUGGAGCCAGACAGAAAGCCAAGUACAGAUACAGAGUGUUUUCAAGAUGGGAUUAUUUGGUGUUUUUAACUAUUUAAGUUGAAUGAUGAAAACACAUGCACUUCAACAAUGACAAACCAAAUUGGUUAGUAUCCUGCUUAAUAACCGUAGUUUGCUCCAUUCACCGGGCCAUAGCCUCCAGUGUGGCUUGCAUGUGCUGGGUUGGAUGCAGGAGAUGCAUACAUCGAACCAUGAGCUGCAUAAGAAUUAUAGCCUGGGUCAGUAGAUCCACCAGUUUGGGCCUGUGCUGGUGCAGCAGCUUCAGCCAUAAAAUUCUGCAACACAAACAAUCAUUACAAGCAGACAAGUCCAAUUUGAUUACAUAAUGAAGCAUUGACAAAGAAUAAACAAAAUUUUAAUGGAAAAAUCAACUUUUUUGGUUGAGUAAGAUCCCAAUAAAACAAUAAUUAAACAAUUCUAUAUUAUCAGUAAAAAUCAAUGAUGAAGCUAAAUGGAAAAGAAUGAAGUCCAACUGUCUGAAUUGCUGACCACACUUAACAUUUCAAUAAUAUAUAUCCUAUAAAAAAAAUUCUUUAAUUCUUUAAUUCUAGUAAUAAAGUCGGUCCCACCAUACCUACCCCCACACGCACCCAAACACCACAUACAAGGAGACAUCAGAAACAAUGAUCUAAUGCUAAGCAAUGUCAUUAUGCAAAUGGAAACUGCAAUAUUAGCAAAGACAAACCAACAACUUGGUAUCAAAAACAGGGAGGAAGAGUGCCUGUAUCAGUUGAUGAGAUGCUUGGACUUGGGAAGCAGUUGCAUUGAUUCACGUGGCUACAAAAGACUCUUUAGGAGAAAGUUGAGGAGUUCACAUGUGUAUAGGAAGAUUGAUUCACAAGGCCCUUGAAAAUUUUCUAUUUAAAGCUCUUGUAAGGAAAAUGGGAGACAUAUCUUCCUUCUCCAUCAUUCCUUCUUUUCUCAUUUCUUUUUUCUUGAUAUAAAGCUAAGGAUUCUCUCAUUUCUUUCUUCUUCAUUGUAAGUUACUUGAUUGAAGCCAAAAUAUGUGCUCCAAUGGCACAUAUAUGAUGUUAUAAUUUAUGUAAUAUAAAAAGUUCAAAUCAUCCAACUUAACUUAAUUUCAUGCUAUGGCCAUAGUUAUGGAUCUAACUUUUAUUUUGAGCCUAAUUCUAAGUUUAAGGGAUGACAUAAAUGGAUAAGUGCAAAAGUCAUUAUCAACCAAGAAAGCAGAAGGGGUUAAACUAUAACUAAGAAACUCAAGACUUAUGAACCAUGAAAGUCCAAGAAAGGGUGUAAGAAGCAAGCCAUAGGCAUGAAAUACCAAUAGUAGAUGUUAUGGAUUGAGAUAGAGGGCAAGAAACCAUAAUGGAGGAGGUUUGAAGCAAAUGUAAUCAAGUUCACAUGAAAAUUUGGAACUCAAAAUUUGGCAAUAACAUUUACUUUGACUUUGAGAUAAAGUUUAGAAUGCUUUUUGAGGUCAAUUUUGGGAAAACUAGAUAUUGUUUCGAAGCUUGAGAAGUCAAAAGUCCAACACUUCAAACGAUGCACAAAUCGGAGUUAAAAUGAGGAAGUUAUGUGCAUUUGAAGCAAACUAGGGAAAGAAAAAUGUUGAGUUUGAAAUUGACAUCCUGAAUUCGAAAUGGUUUUUGGCUAGUUAAAACUCAAAAGGAAUGCAAGGAUACUUGUCAUAGAGGCUAAGUUUUAUCCUCCUACCUAUUUCAAAUAGGAGACAAAUUUCAAACCCAAAAACAUGCAUGGUGGGCCAUUUAAAACUCAAAGGAAUGCAAGGAUACUUGUGGCAGAAGCUAAGUUUGAAUCCCCCUACAUAUUUUGAAAAAGAGACACACAUUCCCAACCCAAAAAUAUAGUGAACAUGUAUGGGCAGUGUGUGAGUUCUAAAUUCACUGUGAAUUUGUGGAUGUCACCAUUUUUUGUAAUAAACCUUUCGGAUAUCUAUCUAGCCUUCACAAUUAUUAAAAAGUAUUUAUUCCAAUAAUUAUGAUUGUAACCCUACAAAUAAGGUUAAGAAUAUUAGGGGAAAUUUAUAACUUCAGAGUUCACUUUCUUAUCUAAUUUUCCUCUCCUCUUUAUUGUCUUCAUUUACAACAUCAAAAAAAUUAUUAUUGUUUCAUCUACAAAUUGUCUAAAACUCAUUAAAUUCAGAGCAUAGAAGUAUUGAACAUUCUCAUAUACAUUUGUUUGAGGCUGUGAUAACAUACAAUUUUACAUUAUAUAUUAAUGGAUAUAUUCCUACCGUCAUAUCUUGCCGUGGAUCACACUAUCAAACCUAGAAGUAUUCGAAGGAAUUACCAAAAACCUUCUAUUAAGUAAAUACGCAGAGAUUUUAGAGUUAAAUACAGGCAGUUCCUUACUAAGAGAGUAUUCCAUCUAUACAUGAACUAAUGUAUAUAUUGUCUAUAAAUUCAUUGAGAAAUUAAGAAUAUACAAUUAAUAUCACAUUCUAUUCUAUGGUUCUACAGAAUCCCAAAGAUGUAAAAACUCAAGAAUAAACACCCAAGCACAAUUGAAGUUGUUGGAGUCGGGGAGGAAUCAGGUAGCAUCACAUAAAUGCCUGAAGUAAAUGCUAUCACCAUUCCCAGUAGAGAGAUGUAAGUGAGUAGGGCGGAAAAUUUUGUGAAACGUGGAAGCAAAUGAUAGUUUUGUUCCAGUGAAGCAAAAAAGUGGAGAAACACAGCUGCAGUUGAGCAAUAGAAAGCCAUAGCAUCUGUUAUCACAAAGACUUUGAAAGCUGCCUUUGUUGAUAAAACUGACUUACCCUUGUUUGGGUUUUCUUCAUUGUACCCACCAGGUAGAGAGAAACCAGCUGCAAAAGUUACUGUUGCUAUGAGGGUUGCCACCAGUAGAUGGGAGUUUGAUACAUCCUUCAAAUACUUAGAUGUGAUCUGUUUCUUCUUUACAACUUCAUUAUUCCUGUCACGAAGCGAUUCACUUGCAUGAAGUGAUGUUCUCUCUCUGUCCUCUCUAAGCUCUAACUCAUUUAUGCCUUCAUUGUCAUUGAUUGUUCUGCCUGUGUUCUCGCUAACGAUCAGCCGCUCGAGACUUUGUUGAGCACCGCCAUUCUCCAACUUCCUCAUGAUCAAAGACUGGAAAGUUUUUUUAAAGAACUUAGAAUAAAAUGUUGUUUUUAGCUACCAAGGCACAUAUAUGACCAGAAAAUUCAAUUAAGGCAACAUAUUUCUUCUCUUUUUUUUUUUUUUCUUUUUUUUCAAGUUUCACAUGUGUAAAGAGAAAUAAAGCAGUGGAACCAAUGCAUAAUCUAAAAUCAUCAGCUUUCUAUGCACAUACCUUUUUCAUUUCUCCCAGAUCCAUAUUUGAUUGGACAAUGUCGAUAGCCUUCCAAUAUUUCUUGUUUGAUGCCUUCUUAUCCACUCUACGAUCUCCAGCCAAAAUCCGGACGCUGUUGUACUGUCCGUGCAUAGCAGCUAGAUGCAAAGCCGUGUUGCCUUGAUUAUCUGACUCAUUUAUUAGGCUUUCCCAUCUUGGUUCUUUUAGAGUAUACUUCAUCACUAUAGACUUCCCACAUUGGGCUGCAACGUGAAGAAUGGUCCGACCUUUAUUGUCAACCAAAUUAUUAGAACAUGGACAGCGUUUGAUGAUCUCUGCCAUCAUAUCAGGGUAGCCUUUUUUAGCUGCUAUGUGAAGAGCAGAACUAUCUUCUUUAUCCCACAAGUAAGCAACUGAUUUAUCACAUUCCAGCAAUUUCCUAGUCGCUUCAAGAUGUCCCAAUUGUGCAGCAUAAUGAAGGGGAGUCCACGUAAAUAUGUCUGUUUCUGUGACCAUAUCUUUCUUUUUGUCCAGUAGUAUUGCAAUAAUGUCAUCUAGCAAUUUAGACCAAGAAGAAGAAAUACAAUUAAAACAGACUUUUUCAUCCAGAGUACUUUUAGAAAAUAUAUUACGUUCUUGUUAUUUUAAUAUCAGAUAACGGCUCGGGAUUACUUCUCCAUGAGAAAGAUCAGGCAUUAUGCAAUGAAUUUUCCCAUCAAUUGUAAAGAGGGUAGCUACUAGCCAGUGUGGCAUAUAUUGUAAAAGCAAUUGUGUGAUUUUCUUUCCCUGGUCUUAUUACUUUUCUAGUUCAGUUAAGCUCUCCACCUAUCAAUUAGAGAAGGAGAAGUAAAGGUUUGGGCUUGGAUAAGUAUUCUUCAAAAACAAUUCUAAAAAAUAGUUUAUAAGAACUAUUGAAAACCAUUUUCUGAUGAUAUUUUAUAAAACAAAAGUUCUAAUGGCUGUAUUAUUAUGCUUGGUUGGAACUAAUGAAUACAAUUCUGGUGACUAUCUGUCAUAAGUAUAGGGAGGCCAUGCACUCCAUGUAGAUUUGUUCCGCGUCUGUCAGGAAUCAGGAAUUAGUUAAUGGGGCUCCGAAUGUUCUACUAGCCUUGCCAAAAAAUACUUCAUGAGGCUAAACUCAUCCACACUAAAGUGGUGUUUUUUUUUUUACUUAAUUCUAAAUAGAACUUUAAUGCUUAAUAGCGUUAAGUAUUAAGUUAUUUAUUUUUAUAAUACUUUAUUUCUAUUAAGCAUUAAAAAGUAAAAAAAAAAAAUCAACAUAUCACUUUUUCUAUUCAAUAAAAAGUUUAUAAUAAAUCAUGAAAAAAUAAAAAAACAAAUGAUCUAAAGUCUGAAAGCAAAUUGCUUUUAGCAAAAAACUAAAAAAACACUCUCUAAGUCUAUAGAUUUAUGUAUUCUUGGCUUUGUAUAUCUUAGACAUGUUGGAUAAUGGUGUAACAAAGAUUUCUCCAUUUUUUUCUUAUGCAUUUUCUUCUACAAUAUUUUUCAAGUAUCCCGUUGUAGGGAUAUUUACACAUAGUGCAAUUUUGCUUUAUUUUUGUUGGCAACUUCUUCUCUCUGUUGUAUUAUUCCAAUAUUUACACAUAGUGCAAUUUUGCUUUAUUUUUGUUGGCAACUUCUUCUCUCUGUUGUAUUAUUCCAAGUACCUUAUGUUACGUCUGACUCUAAAAAAUUAUUAAAUGAAGGAAAAAUAUCAAGAAACUUAUUAUUAUUAUUAUUAUUAUUAUUAUUAUUAUUAUUAUUAUUAUUAUUAUGUUUAGUUUAUCAAAAAUUAUUAAAGGAAGGAAAAAAUUGUUAAAAAAAAUAAUUUUUAUUAUAAAAAAAUUAGAAAAAUAAGUACAAUUAAAAUAGGUUAAAAAAAUUAUAUAUUUCCAAAUUAUUUUACAUUUGUGUAAAAAGGAAGAAAAAAAAAAUGAGAAAAAUGAAUUUGAAAAAAUAUUAUUAAUAAUUUUUUAACUUUCAAUUAAUUUUUCAUCUUCCUUUAUUUUUGUUUAUGUUUUCCUUGUCUAGUAUAUUCCUUCAAAAUUUCUAAGAAUCAAACAUGUGGGUUGCGGACUGGUUCGCUGGCCUGCUGGCCUGCUUGCCCGGUCCAAGCAUGAAGUUGGGUUGACCUCUAAUGGUCCUUUGGUGGACCAACCCACCAACCUAACCAAACGACGGUUUCUACCUUGGAAACCUUGGAUCAAGUGUCUGGGAUUUGAAUAAUAUCUUCUCCUGGGUUAUUAAAUUUUUAUUAGUUUUCAAUGGUUUUCUAUUUGUAAUGAUUAAAUUUUUAUUAUAAAAAUGGCUCAUAAAAACGUUGAUUAUCCUAUAACAAUGUUCCAGAAGCAAGAGAUUAUUUACCAUAGCUUUAAACCGCUAAUUUUGAAUAUCGAAAUAAGUAGAAAUAGAAAUAAAUACUAUUAUUAUGUUUAACUUUAUGAAAAUUGUUGUAAAUAAAGUGGUGAAUGACCACAUUGAUGGUCAUUUAUGAACUCCAUUUACUCAUCUUUAAGAUGAGUCAUGGGAGUUCAUAUUAUGAAGCCUAUAAAAGGCUUUUUACACCCCAUGUAAGCAGCAUCCCAAAAAAAAGAAAGAAAUUCUCUUCCUCUCAUUCUCUCUCUCUCUUUCUUUCAUUCUCUCAAUUUUCUCAACUCUCUUCUCUGAUUCCUUCUUCCCAUUAUAUAUAUUGUUAAAGUAAGAUAUAUUUUAUCUCUACUACUUUAUUUGUGUUGCAUUUAUCCUUGUUUUACAACAAAAAUUAUAUUUUAGAAUUAUUUUUAUAAAAAUUAUGGUGAAUAUUUGAAGGCACCCAAAGCAUACUAACUUGUACUUAAUAAAGACAAGACCAUAUUGAAUGUUUUGAUAUUGGUUUAUGAAACUACUUAGAGGAGAGUGAAUAGGCGAUCCUCUGCUGACAACCCUCAAAUUGAAGUUUUAAAUAUUUUUAUUAAUUCUUAAUUUAAUCAAUAUAUGUAAUUAAUAAAUAAAGCAAAGAAUAAUCUUACACUUGACAUGUGAUGUACAUGGAAAAUCAUCUAUAGAAUCUAUAAAAAAAACUUGACGAUGAAAAAUUCAUGGGUCAAUUGAUCGUAGAGCAAAUUCACUAAUUUUGAUAGAAUAAAUACAUAAUCUUACCUAGAUGAAAUACUACCUUCCUUCAAGCAUCUUACACAGGUCAGUACUUACACUUGCUUUCAUGUUCAUGAUGCAAAACCCAUAUAUUCCUUAGUGAAUACCUUAAAAGUUUAAGAGAUGUGAUCAACCACCAUGAGCAACUUCAAACAAGAUAUGAGCUUUUGGAGUAUCAGGAAUAUGCAAAAGAUAAUAACAAUAAAUUGUAGGGUAUGAUGAUGUAUGAAAGUACAAAGUUGAGCAAUGUAUGAUGGCAAGAAACUAACUAAAAAAGAUUUGAAAAGCUGACAAAUAUAGGAUAUUUAUGCAUAACAUCAAGACCGCUUAAGCCCAUUUUGUGGGCACUCGAGCGCUCCUUGUUAAUUUUAGCUUUUCUAAUUUAGCUUCAAGCCCAUUUUGAAUCUAAGUCCACUUUACACCUUAUGCAUGUCAUUAUAUUGUAACAAGAUAACCCUACUUACCUGAACAAUCAUGUGAAUAAAUAAAAAAUGAUCACAUAUCUUCAAGGCCAAUGCAUACGUAGAGUUGAGUAAAAAAAAUAUUUGGAAUAAAAUUGUUAACUUAAACUAAUUAGUCUAGAUCACUAACACAAAUAAUAUCAAAUUUAGUUAAAAUACAAAUGCACCUUCCCAUGAGCAACAUUAUUAUGUUUUACCUUCUUCAUCUUUUACAAGUUUUUAGUUAUAGAAAUAAUGAGAUUAAAAAAUUGAAGGGUAAAUUGCUCCGAUGACUAACUUGAGUGCCUUGGGGCAAUUUUUCUUUGCUUUACAUAUCUCAUAUACCUUAUUAUUGGGAGAUUAUUAAAGAUCGAAUCACAAUAGGACCAAUCCUAAAAUAAAUUCCCCAAAAUCAUUGAUAUUUGAGGCUAUGUAAUAUUUUUGCUCCAACAAGUUUAAUAUUUUGAAUAAGUUUAUCAUACAUGCAUGGAUGUACUUCAUUCUACUACUUGACUAGGGUAGCAAUCAAAAUAGAAGCAAACCUAAAAUCAAUGCUCCAAUAACGUUAAUGUUUGGGGCUUCAUAAUUUUUUUGCUCCAAUAAUUUUGAUAUUUUAGACAAAAUUAUUUUACAUGGAUCGACUUGCUUCUUUAUGUUUAAGUAAAGGGGGAGUUUUUCUUGCCUAAAUCUUGACACUUAGGGGGUGUUUGGUACGUUGGAAUAGGGAAUGGAAAUGAAUAUUUUGUUUCCUUUCCUAUUUCUUAGUGGAAUGGAAUGAAUUUGAUGAUUCCAUUUCUAGCAUUUGGAUGAACUUAGGAAUGCAAGAUUAGAAUGAUUAUUUGUUUCCAUUCCAAUGUUUGAUAAUAAUAGGAAUGGAAAUAAAAAUAUAUAAAUUUACAAUAAUAUCCUUUCAUAUAAUUUAAAAUAUUUUUUAUUUUUACUUUUAUUUAAAAAUAAAAUAAAAUUUGAGAGGUUUUUUGUUAUUAAAUAAUAAGACUAAAAAAUAUAUAUACUCGAUAAAUAAAAAAUUAACCAUAAAAAAUCGUAUAACCCUAAUGCACAAAUAUUCAAUUAUUAUUUUUAUUAAAAAUUUGAAUAAUUUGUCAUGCUUAAGUAGUUAAAUAUUUGUUUUUUUUUUCCUCAAAAUUUUAAAUAAUUUGUCAUGCAAAAAAAACUAUAGAAUUAUAUUUUACUAAGAAAAAAAAGGAGAAAAAAAAUAUAAGAACAUAUAAAUUGUCAAAGCUACCAAAUACUUAUUUCUUAUUUGCAAAAAAGGAAAUAAAAAAACACAAACUUCAUUCUAGUUCUCAAUAUAAGUACCAUAUCUACUAAAAUCUAUAACUAGUAUAUCCUCCAAAAUUAAGCCAUCAAAUCAAUAAAAAAGUUCCUAGGAAAGUGAUGAAACAAAAUCCAACCUAAAAUUUCUAUCAAUCCAACCUAAAGACAAUAAAUCAACAAGGAUGCAACAUGGAGAUUUAUGGGGUUUGAAGAAGUUGUUUCGCCCAUUCAACCUUGAGAUCUUCAUCUAAAUUGAACAAAAGUUUGACUUUCAUUGGGUCACUCAUAAUAAUUUGACUUAACUUCAAUAUNNNNNNNNNNNNNNNNNNNNNNNNNNNNNNNNNNNNNNNNNNNNNNNNNNNNNNNNNNNNNNNNNNNNNNNNNNNNNNNNNNNNNNNNNNNNNNNNNNNNNNNNNNNNNNNNNNNNNNNNNNNNNNNNNNNNNNNNNNNNNNNNNNNNNNNNNNNNNNNNNNNNNNNNNNNNNNNNNNNNNNNNNNNNNNNNNNNNNNNNNNNNNNNNNNNNNNNNNNNNNNNNNNNNNNNNNNNNNNNNNNNNNNNNNNNNNNNNNNNNNNNNNNNNNNNNNNNNNNNNNNNNNNNNNNNNNNNNNNNNNNNNNNNNNNNNNNNNNNNNNNNNNNNNNNNNNNNNNNNNNNNNNNNNNNNNNNNNNNNNNNNNNNNNNNNNNNNNNNNNNNNNNNNNNNNNNNNNNNNNNNNNNNNNNNNNNNNNNNNNNNNNNNNNNNNNNNNNNNNNNNNNNNNNNNNNNNNNNNNNNNNNNNNNNNNNNNNNNNNNNNNNNNNNNNNNNNNNNNNNNNNNNNNNNNNNNNNNNNNNNNNNNNNNNNNNNNNNNNNNNNNNNNNNNNNNNNNNNNNNNNNNNNNNNNNNNNNNNNNNNNNNNNNNNNCAUCCAACUCUUGUUCCAAAGGAUCCACAGGCAUCUCUCUUUUAAUGAGAUUAUGAAUAAGACAACAAGCAAGAAUGAUUUUGCAUUGUGUCUUUAUUGGAUAGAAACAAGGGCUCCUAAGUAUAGCCCAACGUAGUUUAAGCAAACCAAAACAUCUCUCGAUAACAUUUCUUGCUGCAGAAUGCUUCAUGUUGAAAAACUCUUCAUGGGUUGUUGGCAUGUGUCCAUCUCUCCAAUCAUUGAGAUGAUAUCUUUGCCCUCUAUAUGGGGCAAGAAACCCUUUUCCAUUUGUAUAGCCAGCAUCAACAAGAUAGUAAUAACCUAAAAUGAAUAUUCCAAAACAUAUUUUAAAAAAUAUAUCAUAUAUUAAAAAGAAAUCAAUUGUUUAUAAAAACCAUAUAUUUACCAUGUGGAACUGUCAGUCCAUUUCUCCUACUAACUGCAUCUCGAAGCACUCGAGAAUCAGAGGUUGAUCCCUCCCAACCUGGCAAUACAUAAAUAAAUUGCAUGUCUUGAGAACAAACUCCUAAGACAUUUGUUGCAAUUUCAUUCUUCCUUGUUCGAUAUCUAGGUUUGUCUCCCUCACGUACAUUCACUUUAAUGUAAGUUCCAUCUAAAGCUCCUAGACAAUUCUAUUUAAAUAAAAACAUUAGUAUUACUAUAAUAUGAAAUAAUUAAACCUAUAUAAACUUAAUUUUAUAAUUUAUAUACCUUAAACCAUUUCCAUCUCUCAUCUGUGGAGUUCUUAGAGACUGGUUCCGGUUUUUUGAGUAAUACUCCUUGUAGGCGAAUGACUGCAUUCAAUACUGCAUUGAAAUGUCUACUAAUAGUUUCUCCAGACCUUAAGAAUCGAAAUUUUAUAACUCGAUUCUUUACAUGAUGUGCAAGAAUAUGUAAGAAUAAUGCAACCAUUUCUUCUACAUCAAUAUAUUUUGAAUCCUUUAGUUUACCAAUAGUACGAAGCAUAGAACAUAACGUGGUGAAAGUAUGUCUAUCCAUCCUAAGUUGCUCCAUACAUGCUACAUCACUCCCAUGAAUCAAUCGAUUAAGAUUUUCAACUCGCAAAAAUUCUCUAUUUGCAGGUCUUUACAUCAAUGUUCGCCUCUGAUAAUGUUUCCUUGUAGUCGUACAAAGUGCAGUAAGCAUAUUAAGUAUGUUCACUAUAAUAUAUAGAAUCAGGAUAAGUUGUUCUUUUCUUUCCAUCUCAAUGAGGUCCAUGGCUAUGCAAGAGUCCUAAUCAUAAAGGAAGAAAACACCAUAAUAUUUAAUAUUAUUAAAUAUUAAUGUUCUAUUUAGAAUUAUGUAAAAAAAUAAACACCACCUAACUUUAAAUGCCAAUUUCAAAUUUUUAUUUUUAUUUUUUUGUAUAAAAGAAAAAUAAAAUAAAAUUAUAUAUUUUCAAAUUAUUUACACUUUACCUGAGAAAUGAAAAAUAAGCUUUAAAAGAAACUUCUCUUUUCCUUUCAUUUUUCUUUCUAUUUUUUUCCUUCUUUCUAAGAUGUUUUGCCUCAAAAUUUUCAACAACUGCCAUUGCUUGUGGAUGUGACUGUUUGAGUACAUAAUCAUUUCCCCUUACACUUUAAGCCAAUAAAAAGGGAAAAAGGUGGUAUGGGCAAUACAAAUAAGAAACUACGGCAGAGCCGAUGGUAUGGACAAUCAUCCUAUUGUGUAAUGAUAAAUUGCAACCCGGGGAAAGUGAAAGAAACCCAUUGUCAUUAAAACGAUAUGGACUUAAAUUAGCUCUGCAAAAAUUACCAUAUAAACUUUAAACCAAGGUUGGCUAGUGGGUGCUUGACAGCAGGUUAAUUUCAUUUCAAACAUUUUUCACCAUAAUCUAUGCAUUCUUUCUACCUGUCUAAUAUUAUAGUUCUUGAAUUGCAACUUUCAUAUUAAUGAUCUACGAGGUGAUUUGUGUGACACGAGAGAUAAAAGAAUUCCCGUAGGUUCUUAAAUAAAAUAAAGAAUUCUAAUUAUCACAGUCACGGAGAGCAGAACUGGGUGGUGGGGUGGGUGUGGUAAGAAGACUUCGUAUUACCGGAAUGACAACCCCAUGAUUUACUCAAUUUAAACAUAGCAGGAAGACAGUCUAAGUUGAUAAAGGAAUUAUGCUACAAUUAGUAGCUAUACCAGAGGCCUGAGUCAAAUCCCACCAGGGUCAAGGUUGGGGUUUUGUGAAUAUGGGGGGUGGUCCUCUGUGGAAAAGAAAGUUAUCUACUCCGACUUCUCAACAGCAGUACCAGAUUAUACUUAAAACUAUUAUCAAAUUGAAACAUCCGUUUAAUUUUAGAAUGACAUUAUCCUAACCAUUAAAAAUUUUAAAUAUUGCAAAGACGUGAAAUCGAAAAAUCUUUUUCCAACCAUUUCAAUUUUUCUCUCCAGUUUUCAUUAAUACAAUAUAAAGAAACAUCAAAUACAAGAUUCCAAACACAAAUUAAUAAAAAUAAAUAAAUAAUAAUCGAUUUAUAAAGAGGAAGAAACACAUAUAAAGAAGUAGAAGAAAAAAAAAAAAUAAGGUAAACCUGAUCGGAGAUGUAGAAGGGAGUUUUUAGAACUUAGUUGCAGCAAACAAUGACGAAUCCUAGACCCAACAAUCAAAAUGAACAUCCAAAACCCUAUAAAUUAGAAAUUGAUUUUUUUUUUUAAAUAUAGUGGAAGGUUUAAUUAAUUCAAUUUGGAAGAAUCACUUGUUGUAGAGAAUUGGAUGAUGAAUGGGUUUCUAGCUUUGCAAAGAAGAUAAGAAGUGGACGAUAAAUGGAUUUCUACCUUUACAAAGAAGAUAAACAUCUGGAAGGUUUAAUUAAUUCAAUUUGGAAAAAUCACUUGUUGUAGAGAAUUGGAUGAUGAGUGGGUUUCUAGCUUUGCAAAGAAGAUAAGAAGUGAACAAUAAAUGGAUUUCUACCUUUACAAAGAAGAUAAACAUCGGGUUUGAAGAACGAGAUAAGAGGGUAAAAUAGUAAUUUAGGUUAUUUUAUAUUAUCAAAUUGAUUUAAUGAAUCAGAAUACCACCUAUUUUUUAUGAAUGCAAAUCCGACUUAUAAGUUGAAUUUGAUUUCUGCCGGAAUAAUUUUUUAUUCCGUUUCCAUCAUCUUAACAUUUAUCCAAACAUAGGAAUAAGAGAAAAAAAGAAUGAGAUGUCUAUUCCCACUUCCUAUUCCCAUGUACCAAACACCCCCUUAAAGAUACUAAUAUUUGUGUUUUGAACAUGAGAUAAGGGACAAAUCACUAUCUUUAACUUGAAUUUAUGUUAAUGCAUGCUUUGAGAACUAAUACGCCAUCUUUUUUUUUUUAGUAUAAAAGCAUAAGAAGGGAGGAAAUGUAAGCAACUUGAUGUAAUUCUAGCAUUUGGGAUGGAAUGGAGGAGCAAAGAUGCAACAAGAUUAGCCCUAGUGCUUGCUAAUGUAAAUAAAUAAAUAAAUAAAUAAAUAAAUAAAUAAUAAAAGCGAAAAGGCAAAAGAAAACUACAAAGGCAUUCUAAAUUGGUUUAGGAGUAGCUAAAAGUGAUUUGGAGAAGCCAAAAUCGAUUUCAAAAGUUGAUUUAAUCAAUGUUAAAACCAAUUUGUGAAUGAGAAUUGUCAUAUUAAUGGAGUCUCACAUCAUAAAAGUGAUUUAGAGGAGGCUGAAAUCGAAAUUCCAAUCUUAGGUUAAAAGUUAAAACUGGUUUCCAUAUUGAAAUUUUGAUUUCAUCUUGUUGAAAUCAGUUUUUCCAAAAUUUACUGCAUAUGCCAAAUCAAAAUUUCACACUUUGGUUAAUUUGGUAUCAAAAUCUAGAUUUUAGGCAAUUUUGAUGUAAUUUCAACUAAUUAAGUUAUACGUUUGCUAUGGUGGCCAAUGAGAUUAGGCCAAGUGCCUUUUUAGGGUUAAGAUAUUUAUAUUUUCAUUUUUUUUUCAAGGUUACAAAGAUAACAUUUUUACAAUUUUGUUUGUAGUCACACUUUCUAGACUUUUGUUUCUUUCUUUUUAUUAAUAUCCCAUUUUUUUUCUUAUGGAAUUUGGGUGUGAAAUCUCAAUAUAAGAGAUUAAGAUCUUUAAUUUUGGAGAUGUAGCAUGAAGAUACAUGGAAGAUUUGGACAAAGAGCAUAAGAAAAGUAAUGUCAGAUUAAUUGAUCAUUAGGUUUUCAUGUUUACCUUAUUAGAAUGAGAUCAUCUAUGAAAUUAUGGUUAGACUAAGAUCCUAGUGAUACUUCUAAAACCAUUUGAUCACUAGUUAACAUAAUUUGAUAUACUAUCAUGAUUGAAUUGAAAAUUGAUUGUACAAGAUAGAUGAGUGGUACGAAUGUAUAAAUAUAAACCUCAAUUAACCAAUCUAUAUUAUUUAUUUUAGUGAAUCAUGUGAAAAGAGUAUAAAUGUCUUAAAAUUCAAUUUGAUCCCACAUUGACUUUGGUCCUAAACCCUAGAUCUAUGAUUUACUCUCUCUCUCUCUCUCUCCUUCUCUUCUUAUGAAUUUGAAGCUAAAUUUUGAAAACUCCAGAGUUGUUAUCAUAGAUUUGUCUUAAUCAAUUUAAUCUAAAUUCGGUCUUUUUAGAAAAACUUCUCUAUUAAAUUCACAAUUUUGGGUAUAAGAAUACUUUGUUCAAUACAUAAAUAGUCAAAUGUGUUAGUCUUUAAAGGAUGACAUCUAGAUACCAUACACCAUAACUAUCCUCUCUUUGUUUUUUCUUGGCUAUGAUUUCUAUAAUAAUAAAGAUUUUCGUUCUAAAACAUAGAGUAUCGAUAAAAAAAAAGUGUCAUUUUUGUUAGAGAUUGAAGAUUGUCUUAGUUUUUAGGAGCUUAGAGCUUGUUUUACGACGUGAUUUAAAAAUAGCUUUCUAUUUUUCUAAAAAAAAAUGACUUCUAAAAUUUAAUAGCAUUGUUUAGCAAUUGUUCUCUAGAAAUAGUUCAAAAAAAAAAAAUGAACGUUCUCUUCACUUGCUUUUAAAUACAAUAAGAGAACAUAGAGAAAUAAGAAUAAUAAUAAUUAAAAAAAUGAUAAUAUAAGAUUGUGGACCCCGCACUUCUGCACAUGCGUUCCACUCGAUGACGAAACUCGUUGUUUUUAUUUGUUUGGUGAAAUUUUGAUUUUUAGAAAAGAUUUGGAGUCACCACUUAUUUUUAUUUUAUUUUUAAGGGAAAACAAAAUAAGAAAGAAAACUCUAAGUGUGACUCCUUAUUUGGAAAAGACAGUCUAUGGAAAACCAAACUUGGGUUUGGGGGUCAAGUUACUUAUUGGGAAGGUAUGGUAAGGACCAUAACACCCCUCCAAACCCCUAAAAAUGGGUCUCUACUAAAUAAGGUGAAGCAAAUGUGGAAAUUGACAAGGAAAUUUUUAGCCCAAGGGUUCUCCUAAUCGGGUUUUGAUGGUAACAAACCAUGGUUAAGUGACUAAUUGGUUUAAAUGUUUAAGAAUCUCAGGUAUAAACUCGAAAAUUCAUCAAAGAACCAAAUGGAUAAAAGAUCGAGACGCUUGGAAGACUUGUGAUCAUAGGAAACUAAUGUAAGAUGAAUGCAUGAGUGCACUUAGGAUUUUCAUACGUUUCAUACACCUUAGAAAACUCGGUUUAUUCUUUAAAAUGUCGAUUUCAUUAAAACCUGAGUUUUUAACUAAUUUACCUUAGGCAAAAUGUUUCAAAAUUGGCUUAAUAAUUUACCUAAAGACCUUGCCUAAGUGUUAGAAAAAAAAAAAAGAAUCAAAAAAUAGGUUUUUCGGGGCCAAAAAGGCUCAACCGGUCGAGGCUAUGGCCAACCGGUCAACCGAUUAAGGAAUCGGUUGACCGGUUGAGGUCGUCCGAUCGAGGACCGGUCGAGGAAGGUCAAAAACCUUAUCUCUCUCCCAGUAGCCUUCUCUUCCCGGUCGAGGUGAUUCCCUUAUCGGUCGAGGUCCAGUCGAAGACCGGUCGAGGUCCGGUUGAGGCAACGGUAACCUGUCAUGCAUUAAAUGCUCCAACGGCUAGUGAACCGGUCGACCCCUAGCUCGACCGGACGAGGUUGCCUUUUGCUGUUUUUGACUCCCAAGCUUAAAAACCUAUAAAUUGAGAGCUCCACUUCAUUUAUUGACAAGAGAACACUUGCAUUCAAAGCCCACCUACCUGUUCUUGAUCAAAAAGCUCUUAUUUCUUUCAUAGUGCAUUAAAUUACCACUUGCAUAUCCUUUAGUGCACUCUUGUUUGUCAUCCUAGCUUUAUCUUGUAUUUGAGCCAUCUUUAAGCUAGGUUGAGUGAUUAUAUCUUGUAACAAUCCGAGUGUUAAAGCCUUCAAGAGGGUUGAAUCUUGAAGAGGUUGUGUAAGAGCCCAUUGGAGCCGGAUUCCAAGUGUAAGAAGAUUAGAAGCUUGGUUGAAGUUUCAUGUUAGUGGAACCUUCACUCGGUUAGAAGGUUGAGGAGAGUGGACGUAGGCAAGGAAGUGUCGAACCACUAUAAACCCAAGUUUGAAUUCUCUAAACUCUAUAUCUUUACUUUGCUCAUAUUUUGUUUAAAUUUGUUGUGAUUGAAAAGAUUUAAAAAACCCAAUUCACCCCCUAUUUUAGGUGUUUUUCUUAACUAAGCAUAGCCUUUGUUUUCUCAGAAAUCAAUGGAUACCAAUAAAAUGAUCGAAUAAUAAAACAAAUCGAGCAUGAGAAUGAAUAAAUAAAUGAAGUAGGAGUGAGAGCGUACCUUAGUAGCAAAUAAUAGUGCACUAUCAUGGAAAAAAGGUUAGCUCAAGUACAAAAUUUAUCGCAUGCAUAUCAAAGAGCAAGACAAAGAUCAAGCAAUAUUCAUUAAGGUGUGGCUCCUAUAGAGGUGCAAAAAUAAGUUUGAUAAGCCCACAAUGCAAACAAAAGCUUCUCUAACCAAUCUCGAGAAGUCUCAAUCAUCCUCUGCAAGAUCCUCUUAAUAUUCUUAUUCGCAUCCUCUACCACUUCGUUAGUCUGCGGCCUGUAUGCAGACGAUCUAUGAUGCUGGAUACCGUAUCUCUGUAAUAAAGUGUCAACAUCUGCUCUAAAAUGUACUUCUCUGCUCGAAAUCAACUCAUGAGGGACUUCAUAGCGACAAAUAAUGUGUGAUCUGAUGAAACUAGCGACCCCAAAUGAUUUCAAUCUCGCAUAUGAAGCAGCCUCCAUCCACUUGGUAAAGUAAUCAAUGAUGACCAAGAUGAACUCAUGACUACUGGAAGACUUUGGCGAAAUCUUCCCAAUAAUGUUUAUACCCCAUAUUGAAAAUGGUCAUGGUGAAUUCAGUGCAUGUAACUCUAAAAGGGGUAUGUAGAUAAGGUCUCUAUGAAUCUAGCACUCUCGACAUCUUUAAACAAACUGGCAAUAAUUUGUCUCCAUAGUCAACCAAAAAUAGUCGGUCUUCAUGACCUUACAAGCUAAUAUAUGUUCUCCCAUAUGUGGUCCACAAACUCCCACAUGAACCUCUCUCAUCACUCAAUCGGUAGAGGCGUGGUGAAAGCACAAUAGUAACAUCCCAUCAACUGAUCGUUUGUACAAUGUCUCCCCACAGAUCACAAACCGGGUAGCUAACUGUUUCAAUGCUCUCUUAUCCUUGGUUGUGGCGACCUCAAGAUAUAUGUCAAGUCUCAAAAACUGAUAUAUGUCAUGGCACCAAGGCAAACCAUCUUCCAACUCUGCCUCAUCAAUCAAGCAACAAUAGGUAGGAACUGAUCUCGACUCAAUCAGUAAAGGGCGAACAAUGGUAUCAGCGAGAAUAUCAAUCAUGGAAGCUAGAGUAGCUAAGGUAUCAACAAACUGGUUUUGCGCUCUAGGCAGAUGAGUAUAACUCAAAUCAUCAAAUUUUCCAACCACCAGCUCUAAGUAUGCAUGGUAAGGCUUAAGUUUCACAUCUUUAGUCUUCCAAUGGCCUUGAAUCUAUCUCAAUACCAGAUUGGAGUCACUAAACACCUCCAUCUGUCUAAUCUCGAGCUUAAGAGUUGUCUCUAAUCCCAAGAUACAAGCCUCAUUGUGGACCCGCAUUUUUCACGUGCGUCCCCACUCGAUCGGCGAGACUCACAUUCUAUUUGUGAAAAAUUAAUUUUAGAAAAGUUGGAGUCGCCACCUAUUUUAUUUUUAUUUUAAAGGGAAAAUAAAACAAGAAAGAAAAACCCUAAAAAGUGACUCCAUAGUUUUGGAAAAAUCAUGUCUUUGAGAAACCUAAGUCUAGGUCCGGGGAUUAGGUUACUUAUUGGGAAGGUACCUCUAGGAGAUAGCACCCCUCUAAGCCUUAAAGAGGUCUUUACUGACUAAAUUGGGGAAAUGGGGCAAUUAAUUGAUUAAUUGUAGAUACCUAAGUAAGCUAGGUGAUUUUAGAAAGUAGCAUGCUAAAUAAGGAGAUCAAUCACAAUAAAGGAGAGUUAGAGUGUGUACCUGAACCACUUCUUAAGCGCUAUCAUAAAACAUCAAUGGUUAAUUCAGAAGUAUGACACACGACAUGCAUUUUAUCAAGGAUGAUCAAACAAGCAUUGAGACAAUCAAGUAUGGCAUCAAACAAGGACAAUGACAUGCAUAUUCAUGAAAUUUUGGGAACGUACCUGGAUAGCAUAUAUAACUCCUAAUGCGCUUCCUCAGGACAUGGGGGUUAGAUAAUAAAUAAUAAAUAAUGAAUAAUAAAUCCUAGCAUGCUUAUCUAAUUAAUUAGCAAAAAUUAUCAGAAUUCGGAAUAAUUAAUUAUCAUACAUAUCUUGCAUACAAUUCCCAAAAAGAAAAAUGUAAAUAUGAUUACAAUAAAUAGCAAGGUGGUAGCAAAAAAUAAAUUUUGAAAAAGAUUUUCUUAUGUAGGGGUUUCACCAAUUCCCCAAAUUAAUAUACAUGAAUUUAGCCUAAAAUUGUCCCAUUUAUUUGGGACCACAAGCUUUGAUUCGCAUUUUGUUUAAAACCAAAAUUUUUGUUGAAAAUUGAGAAGGAUGCAAACCGAUCGAAAUAUGGUUGCAAAUUUUAAGAAAAUGAAAUUUUUUUUUUCUAAGGACUCUAAAUGAAUUCUUUUAAAAUAGAUUUUUAAAGGGAUCUUUUAAGAAAAGUGUUGGAUUUCAAAAUAAAAGAAAUUAAUUUGAAAACGACAAGACAUAAAGAACAAAAUACCAAGCAAAACAAAAGUUAUUAAAAUCGCAAAGUAGAGUUUUUGACAAUUGAGAAAAUUGAAGUGGUGGGAAUGGAGGUCAAUCUUCACUAUUUUCCAAUGGCCUCCGAAAAGUAAAUUUUACCAUAGACUACCAAAGCAAUAAACUAUUCGAACUUAGAUCAUAUAAGCUAACGAUCACUACUACAAAAAUUGAAAUUAAUGACGCUUUAUUUUAUGACGCUUUCUAAAAGCGUCAUUAUUGAGGGUAUACAAUGACGCUUAUAAGAAGUGUCAUAGUUGUAUUAUUUAUCUUGAUACUUAUUAUAAGUGUCAUUAUUUGAUGUCAUCUUUUUCCUUAUAAUCGUGUAUAUAAUGACGCUUAUAAGAAGCGUCAUAGUUUUAUUAUUUACCUUGACACUUAUUAUAAGCAUCAUUAUUUGAUGGGUAUGUAAUGACGUUCCUGAGAAGUGUCAUAGUUGUAUUGACUUUUAAAAUUUUUGUUUUAAGUUAACUUAUACAAAUUUUGAUAUUAGAAUUUUAUUCUAUAAAUUAAUUAUGGUAAAUUGACAUUAAUAUUAAUGACAUAAAGUUGCUAGAUUAAGGUUUUUUUAAAAAAAAUUGGAUAUAAAUAAAAUAAAAUCCUAAUAAAUUAUUUUUUUAUUGUUUGAUAUUAAUUUUUUUAUAGUUUGUAUCAAUACAAUCUAUUUUCAUAAACUAUUUUUCAUUUUUAUUAAAUUAGAAAUUAUCUUAUAUUUCAUUUAAAAAUAAUUUGUUAAUUUAUUUGUGGACCACAAAAAAGUGGCCUAUUUUGAGCACUUGUUCGAGCCUUGGGCCACAUUUAUUGGGUUUAACCCUUUUAUUUGAGAAUGUUUUAUAGUUAAUGAAUAUAAAUUUGAAAUUAUUUAACUAAAAUGAAAUAAAUUAAUAUUUAAAUUAAUUUAAUGAUGAUUAGACUCACAAUAAAACUAAAUGCAAUAAGAAUAUUUAUAAAAACUUUCUAAUAUUUAUGGGAAUUAAGCUCAUUCUAUUAAAUUAGUUUUUUUUUUAAAUAUCAAUAUUCAAAUUAAACCGACAUCAACCUAAAAUAUCAAAUAAUUAAACAAUAUAAAUUCAUUAUGAGUUCAAUAUAUAAAAAUUAUUAUUGGAAGAUGAAAUAAAGAAUACUAUUUUAAUAUAUUGAAAAAGGACAUGCAUGGUAUUUUAGAAUUUGUUAUAAAGUCUCCAUUGAAAACCCUAACUUUUGGAAGACAAGAAAGAAGGGAGAGAGCCACCGUUUUUAAUGAGAAAGAAGAGAAGAGAGAAAAAUGCAAGUUUUUCUCAUCAUGCCCAGAUUUCAUCAAAGGUUUGAUCCCACUUCGUCCGUGGUCCGAUCGAGCUGAAAUUUGGAGGAGAGUUUCGUGACUCAUUUAUCUUCAAUCUGAACGAUGAAGAUCGGAUUUGGAGUUUCGGAAAGUCAUUAGAAAGAAAGAGGAGAAGAGAGAAAAACGUAGGUUUUCUCAUCAUGCCCAGAUUUCAUCAAAUGUCCGAUCCCGCUUCGUCCGUGGUCCGAUCGAGUUGAAAUUUUAAGGAGAGGUUCGUGGCUCAUGUAUCUUCAAUAUGAACGGUGGAGAUCGGAUUUGGAGUUUUGGACAGUCAUUAGAGAGAAAGAGGAGAAGAGAGAAAAACGUAGGUUUUUCUCAUCAUGCCUAGAUUUCAUCAAAUGUCUGAUCCCGCUUCGUCCGUGGUCCGAUCGAGUUGAAAUUUGAAGGAGAGGUUCGUGGCUCAUGUAUCUUCAAUAUGAACGGUGAAGAUCGGAUUUGGAGUUUCGGACAGUCAUUAGAGAGAAAGAGGAGAAGAGAGAAAAAUAGUGGUUUUUUACAUCAUGCCCAGAUUUCAUCAAAUGUCCGAUGCCGCUUUUUUCAUGGUCUGAUUGAGCUGAAAUUUGAAGGAGAGGUUCAUAAGUCAUUAAUCUUAAAUUUGAACGGUGAAGAUCGGAUUUAGAGUUUUGAAAAGUCAUCUUUCAGCUAAAAACAAAACCUUUAUUUUAUCAAAGAUGACGCUUCCUGAAAGUGUCAUUGUUGCCUAAGACAUACAAUGACAGAGGCGAAGAGGACGCUUUAGAGAAGCGUCAUCUGUUACCUUUCUUGACGCUUAAAAAACGUCAUUGUUUCCCAUUUUUCUUGUAGUGGAUAUACCCACCAAGAAUUAAUGACUAUUUUCGAGAAACACAUCAAUUAAAAAUAACAAUCAAGAAUUAGCACAUGAUCAAUCAAACACACAAACGCAUCUAGACUUGUUAAAAUGGAUGAAAUUAAGUCAAGGCAAAUGUGAAUUUUCAGUCAUAAAAUUAAUUUUUUUAAUAAGCUAAUAUUAUAAAAAAUACCUAAACUAAAUAGAUGAGUUAAAUUUAACCAAGGUAGACUAAAAGAAACAUGAUUUUUUUCACAUAAAAUUGAUUAAACCAAAAAGUUAGAAACUCACAAACACAUCUAAACUAAAAGAAAAAUCAGCACUAAAGUAAAUUGAAAUGAAAAAAAUAAGAACUUUAUCAUGUAGAAUUAAUUAAACUAAUUAUAAAAAAACAUCUAAACUAACGAAAUAAAUUAAAAUUAAACUAAAAUAAAAUUUAAAAAAAGAAAAAGAAACUUGCCUUCAAGAAUGCAUAUUGCUGAAUCUAUUGUAGGAAGACCGCUCUUGGAUGCGUGCCUUUCUUUGCGUGUUUCAGGAAAUCAUCUCUUAAUGCGUGGCUUAUGUGGCGGCCAUCUUCCUCUUUCCAUAAGAUACAAUUCCAUAAGUACCCGAACCAAGUUCUUUUAUGUAUUCUAGGUCAGAAUUUUAUUUUAUUUUUUAUAAUCUGCAGCACUCUAGUGGCUAGAAGAGAAUAAAAUAUGGCCUGGUUGUGUAGUUGACAAUGACGGGAAUUGGAGGAUUCAUCGUUUUCAAAUAUGCAUGGAUGGAUGGGCUGCUGUCCAGAUGGUUCCGUCAGUGAGUUCAAACAGCCACCUCUUUGCUCUCAAAUCUCCUUGCACUAAUCCCUUCAAAACAGCCCCUCUCACACUCUCUAAACUCUCUCUUUUAUAUCCCUUGAAAUAGCCUCUCGCAUGCUCUCAAAACUCUCUCUUCGGAUCAUCUCAAACAACAACUCCUCACGCUCUGAAAAUGCGGACUGAUCUUUGUGCGGACAGCAGCCUAUGAUCCCUUCAAAACGCCUACUAAUCUCUUCCCAAACGGCAUCCUCAAAGGCUCUAAAAAAUCCCUCAUCCGUUCACUUCAAACAGCAGCCUCUCACGCUUCAAAACGCCUCCUGAUCUCCCCCCAAACGGCAGCCUCUCCUUCCAUGGAAUACUCUGUUUCUUUGUUUUAAUCUCCGCGGAUAUAUGGAAAGUGCAUAUGUGGUGACUCACUUAGAGAUUCUAUAGGAUGCAGUCGUGUGUCCUCCUUGGUAAGUAAUCAAAUCCUUACCAUGUUGACUUUUCUUUCUAAAAAAAAACAAAAAGAAUCUCCUCACAGCCCACUAUAUGCGUAUUGUGCACUAAUGGUGGACUGCAUGUCCACUUCUCCUCAUUCAUGGACUGUGUUCUCUCAUGCGGAGUGCGUGUUGUGUCCAACUCUUUCAAGCAUGCAGCCGCUUUGCUUAUGGCAGCAUGUGGAUGAAGAAUUGAUGUGCAAAUUGGAGGUGGACCAAUCAUGGAGGUUCAGGAAUCGGGAUGCCAAUGUUGCUAUCAGUUUUCCUUUCCUCUCUUCAAUGCGCCCUGAAAAUGUAUCAAAAAUGGUGCGGCUGGUUGGUGGUCGUCUUCCCAAUGGUGCAAUUGCACCUUUAUCCUGAUCAGAAUCUGUGUCCGCUCCAUUCAAAAAGCUGGUGCAUCCCUCUUCAAAAAUCUGGUGCAUCUCUCUUUCAAGAAUCCCAUCAUACUCCCUUCCAAAAUUUGGUCAUCUUUCCCCUUAACAAUCUCGUGUAUCCUUUCAAAAAUCUGAUCAUCUUUCUCUGCUCCCAUCUUGCACCCAUAGGGAUCCUUCAAUAUGUGGACUGUCCAGAUCUUUCACAUGCGUGCUGGCCACUUACCAUCCUUGCAUGGUGAUAUCUUCCUUCCUUUUUUUUACAGGAUUCUUUCCAAGUCUCUUUAUUUGGCCGUGAUCUUCUCUCAUUCAUGGCUCCAAGUCUCAUGCAAAAAUUAAAAAUAAAAUUGAAAUAAGAAAUGGGAAUUAUGAUCAAAAUGAAAUAUAACGAAAUAAAAUAAAAUCUCAAAUCACAUAGCCACAAAAUCCAAGAUAUCAAUUUAUGGGAUUAAAGAAUAAAUAAAUAAGUAGGUAAAUAAACAAAUAAAUUGAUAAAAGUAUAAAAAUAAAUAUUAGACGUAUGCAAUUAGGAAAAAUCAAGAAAUUAAAUUAAUGCAACAGAUUAUAAUAAUUUAAAUGUCAAACUCAAAACCAUUAAAAAUCAUAAAAUUCAUUCAUGCAAUAAAAAGUCAAACAACACUCAUCUUAUCCCGAAAAAUAAGUAACCAAAAUCAAGAUCAUGCCUAAGAGAACUAUGCCAAAAGAAGUGUCUAAGUGACCUAUUUUGAAAGACUGUCUAAGUAACCUAGGGUGAAUGUGUGCAAGCUAGAAGGUGCUAAGUGCAUCUAAAUUGGCCUAAGGUGGUGCCUAAUGGGCCAAAUGUAUCUAAAUGGGUCUAGGGUGCCUAAGUGGGCCUAAGUCUAAGUGAGCCUAAGUCUAAAUCAAGACUACCAAGGAUCAUAAUAAGGGGUUAGGCAAUCCCUCAACCAAAGUCUCCGAGGUGGCUCAGAAAAAGUAAGUAGUAUGAGUAGCUAUGGGUCACCAAGGAACUACUGUAGAGCCUUGGAAAUGAACUUAAAGGCAUGUGCUAAAGAGACAAAAUUAAGGGUCUACACUCAUACUCAACAAUAUUGUUCAUGGCAAGGUGUCGACCAGAGAAUGCCAAACGAACAAAUCUAGGAAUGUGGUCAUCGUGAUGGGAUAUCAGUAGAACACCUAUCCCGUAUCCAAAAUGGUUGGCCGCAACAUCAAAGUACAUGCGCCAACCUGACGAAGUAGUCACUGCAGCGAUAUCCUCAUCUAGAAAGUCAUCAUCAAUAGCUCUACCAUCAUAAAAACUAGUAAUGAGGCUAAGUGAUCUACAACAAUGCUCCAUCUGAUAGACUUUUGAGUGACAUAAUGAAUAUCGAACUCAAUCAGGAGUACCAACCAUCUCAUGAGUCGAUCAAUCAAAGCAAGCCUGUCAAACAAAUAUCUCAAAGAAUCUAGACAAGAUAUCAAGUGCACUGAAUACUCCGUCAUGUAAUGUCUCAAUCUCUUAGUAGCUCAAACCAACGCCAAACAGAAACGUUCAAUCAUGACAUAUCUUGUCUCAUAAUCAAGCAUCCUCUUACUCAAAUAAUAAAUAGCUCGCUCAUUUCUAGAAUCAUUGAGCUGAGCUAACAUGCAUCCCAAGGCUAUAUCUGAGACUGACAAGUAUAGGAAUAAGGGACAACCUGGUGUAGGAGGCACCAAGACUAGAGGCGAAAACAAGUACUCCAUGAUCCUCUCAAAUGCACGCUGACACUCAUCAUCCCAAACAGGAGGUCGACUCUUCCUCAAGAGUAAAAAAAUGGGCUUGCAAAUAUCUGUCAAUCUGGCGAUGAAUCUACUGAUGUACUGGAGUCUACCUAAAAAACCUUUGAUCUCUCUCUCAGUCCUCGGCGCAGGCAUGUCAAGGAUGGCUCUGAUUUUAUCUGGAUCUAUUUCUAUGCCUCUCUCACUGACCAUGUAUCCUAGAAGUCACUCCAAAAGUGCACUUCUUAGGAUUCAGUCCUAAUCUGAACUGUCUGAUCAUAUCAAAGAAUCUCUUUAAGGCUGUUAGGUGAUCUACUCUAUCUUGAGAUUUCACUAUUAUGUCAUCUACAUAGACCUCGACAUCCCAAUGCAUCAUGUCAUGGAAAAGGAUAGUCGUUGCUCUUUGAUAAGUAGUUCCUGCAUUCUUCAACCCAAAUGGCAUAACUUUGUAGCAGUAAGUACCCCACUCAGUAAUCAAAGAUGUCUUCUCCAUGUCCUUUAGAGCCAUCAUAAUCUGACUGUACCCAAAAAAUCCAUCCAUAAAGGACAACAUCGAAUGACCUGUUGUACUAUCAACUAGCAUGUCAAUGUGUGGGAGAGAAAAAUCAUCCUUGGGAUUGACCUUGUUGAGAUCUCAGAAAUCAACGCAGACUCUCACCUUGCCAUCCUUUUUGGGAACGGGGACGACAUUGGCCAACCACUCAGGAUACUCAACCACUGAUAAAAAUCCCACACUAAGCUGCUUCUGAAUUUUUUCUUUCACAUGCAGACUCCAACGAGGAUGCAAUCACCUCAACUUCUGCUUAAUCGGUCUAGCAAGGGGCAGUAGUGGCAAGUAAUGCUAGACUAUGGAUAGAUCAAGGCUAGAUAUGUCCUCAUAAGACUCUGCAAGUGAUGUUGGACUAUGGAUGGAUCAAGGUCAGACAUGUCCUCAUAAGACCAUGCAAAGACAUCCAAAUAUGAUAUGAGUAACUGGACAAGGCCACCACUCUCAUCUGUAAACAAAUCCAAUCCAAUCCUCAGCUCCCUAGGCUAGUCUGUUGUACCAAAAUCAACAAUCUCAACGUCUCUUGUGGUAGGUGAAACUCUCUGAUCACUAGGACUCAAAUCAGAAGCAAAAGAAGAGUCUGCAUCUGAAUCGUGAUGUACAAUCUCAUCAUCUAUAUCAAAUAUUUGUGAUGUGGGUGAAUGAGGUGCAGAUAAAGUGUUAUCACAAUAAAUAGGCAAAUACUCAAAAAGACUCAUAUCCAUAUAUGAAGAAAGAGUCAGUACAUCAUCAGAAUGGGAGACAAACCCGACAGUACAUCAAAAGAAAGUGGUGGGUCCACAUGUUUGGACUCUACCAUGACUGGGCUAUUAACACCCACAAAUACAUCAUCAUCAACUAUAUCAUCCUUUGAAAACUCCAGAGCAGGAGCAAUCUGGAUCUCCUCAGCAACCUCGAUGGCGGACACCCCAAAUAGAUCAAAUGGAGAAGCAAACUCAGGUUGGACUAUCCCAUCAAUCUGACUCAUACUCAUCGCGAGCAUCUCAUCAAUGUACCUGUCGUGUGGAACAACUCCAUCCACCAUGUCCCUAAUCUCAGCAAAUGUCCCAUGCUCGUCGACCUCAUCCUAGAAAUAGAGUGUCAUGAGGCUCAUAUGAUCUGGAGAUGAUGGGGUGGCUAAUGUAGAAGCAGAAGUGCCAGGAGCUCCAUCACUCAACCGUAGCUAAUGGACAAGACGCUGAAGCUCAGCCUCCUCAACAGUGUUGAAUCCAUCAAUAAUCCCACUUGAAUGCGUCUAUGGCUCCGGUGCCCUCACAAAGUAGUCCGCCAAGCUCAUGUUGUAUGAGCAAAUAGGAUAGUCAAAUGGUGUGUGAGUCAAUCGGGCUCUCACUCUCUCCUUGCGCAAUCACACCAUAUAUCAAUAAUCGGCCUCAGUAGGAAUAAACUCAAAUCCAAAUGGUACAUCACGAUCAACGAUAGUUAUAAGCUCAUUGGGCUCAUGCUGACAUCGCCCUAAUCCCAUGCUCGGCAGAAAAGACAUGCUCCUCAUCAUGUCAAGCACCACUGUACUACCAUGCUAAUCAAAUGACAUAGCCACAAAGUCCCUACAAAAAUCCUCAAUCUCCAGAGUUUACACCUCAUCAAAUAUGAACCCAGUAAAAAACAAAUCAUCCUCAUUGUGACUAAUCUGAAGCACUGGCUUGGAAGAAGCAAACAUAUCUCCAAUAGACCACACCGUGAUGACUUGGCCAUCAUGAAUGAACUUCACCUUCUGAUGAAGGGAAGAAGGAAUGGCCCCAGCUCUAUGAAUCCAAGGUCGGCCAAUAGUAGGUUAAAAGAUGUAGAAAUCCUCAAAACCUGGAAUAGAGUAGGAAAUGUAGUCGGACCUAUCAAUAGCUCGAUCUCCAAAGUGCCCAUGACCUUCCUCUUAAUGCUAUCAUAUGCUCUGAAUUUCUGAGUAGAGGGACCAAAGUUUGAGGACGCAUAGCCGAGGGCAAUGACAUAAGCUAAGGGACAGACGUUCAGGGUUGGGCCAUCGUCCAAAAUGACAUAUGGGACUUGGUGGCCUGAAAAACCAACUGAGAUGUAUAGAGGACAUGUAUGGUCUGAACCCUCGGGUGGCAAAUCAUCAUCUAAAAAUAUAAUGCAAGUGGCUCUGCCAACUGUCAUAAUGUGAAUCAACCCCUCGAGAAUAGUGGUAGUCUCGACUCUAAUCUAACUCAAGGCUCAAAUCAAUGCAUCUUUAUGAGUGCUAGAAGAUGCCAAUAAGCUCCAAAUAGAUAUACAAGUCUGGGUACUCUACAACUAUAUCAGAAUAUCAUCAUCAUCUCUCCUGACCUUCUCAUGAGAGGCUGCACCCUCCAAGGGUCUAGCGGUUGUGAAGGGUUGCUGUCAUACUACCCUACCUCUGUGAAUAACAUAUUGUAUAUCUGGAGUAUGAACAUCAUCAACAUAUGGAGUAUGUACCUCAUCAACGUCUGGAAUCAAAACAAACGAAGUCUGAACACUAUAACAUGGAAAAAUCAAUGGCUCGACUAUAGUCAACUAUACUGAUGUCACAUCGAGAACCAACCUGAAUAGUGUGGGCAUCCAUGGGCCCAAGGUCAUUCUACCUACCUCAUAAAUCCCAUCUACUACUAUAGGCUCUAGCACUGACUCAUCCCAACUCAGCAUGUGGAUAUGAUCAUAUGGCUUAGUGAAAUCCAUGAAAUGUAUACCGUUGGCUAGCAGAGAGACUGCAUGUGAAGUAUAAGCUAGCAGAGGGUUAGUGGUUACACUUGGCUAACCCAAUGAACCAAACCCUGAUCUAUCAAGUCCUCGAUGGCGUGCCUCAAAGUAGUGCAAUGGUCCGUGUCAUGCCCUAGACCCUGAUGGUAAGAACAAUGUAAAUCCAUCCUGAAGCGAGGUGGCAUGAGUUGAGGUAUAUGCCGAGGAGCUAACUGAGUCAACAAACCACCCUCCAUGAGCUUUUAGAAAGCUCGGCUCAAAGGCAUACCUAGUUGGGAGAACUGUUGUGUCGACCUUUGUACAAAAGAAAUAAUAGUCUGUGGGGCUCGUGGCUGAGGGUAUAAAGUAGGAGGUCUCUCUAUGACAUGUGCAGCAAAAACAGGUUGUGAGACCAGAUGUAGAUAAGUAGGAGUCAUAGGUUUGGAGGAAAUAGGUGGCCUAUACUGAACAUGAGGUGGUGGUGGGUAGUAGAAUCCAGAAGGCUGCCCAACUGUCUGAUAGCGUCUAGGAGGUCUCAACCCUGUUGAACUGAUAGCACUCACAUCUUCUAAUCUUUGUCCUCCUAAAGGCUGCUUUCCCUAAGAGUCAGUAGGGGAAGACUCGACCAUAAUCCUCUAGUUAUGUCCUCCUCUAUACCAUAUAAAUCAUGUACCAAAGAUCCAAAAUCCGUAUGAGAAAAUCCCAUCAAGUGCCUAGCAAAUCAAGGCUGCAAGCUCCUCAUGAUCAUACUAAUCUGAUCAUUCUCCGAAGGAUGAUCAAUAACCUGUGAAAUCUUCUCUCUUUAGCGAGAGAUAAAUGAGGUGAUCGACUCAUCUAGCCUCUAUCUCAAAGCCUCUAACUCUCUCAUCGAAACAUCAAUGACAAUGUUAAAUGCAAACUGUCUCAAGAACUUCUGGGCCAAAUCAUCCCAAGUUCGGCGGCGUGAUACAUCCAAUGAAGCAAACCAACGUUGUGCCACACCACUCAGGGAUAUAGGAAAAAACAUAACCAUCUGGGCCUCAUCCAAUCCAUGGGCCCUCAUAACCGUACUGUAAAGCCUCAAAUGGAUGCAAGGAAAGCCAAUGUCCGUGUAUUUCUCAAUCUUAGACAUCCUAAACUUUGUCGAUAAACUGGCCACUGGUGCUCCAUUAAAAUCCUCCUAAGUAAUAGCUCCAUCUGAAGUCUUCAUCUGUCUCAUCCUCUACUCAAGUCUAUCCAUACGAGCAUGUGGGUCCUCUGAGAUCGGGGUAGGCACUAUGACAGGAGGCAAGGCAACCUCAGUCUGACUCUAUAAAGUAAAUGAUAUAGGUUGUGAAACUAUCUGACCAAGUGGGAGAGGUGGCAGAAUAGUGGGAUCAUACUGCACACUCUCCUAAACUGGAACCUUUUGGGUUUGCUACCCAUCCAUCCUUUGAUCAAGACUAGUUAUGGCCUCCUGGAUCGAAGCCAUAGCAGCAACGAACUGAUCAAAUGUAACCACCUACGAAUCCAUAUCUAUCUGAUCUAACUGGUCUGAUACUCUGAUCAAUCUACCUUUAACUCUGAUCUAAGAAGUUAAACCCAGAUCAAACGUAUCAAUACACCUACAAUAGUGGAAAUACUAGAUAAGAUAUUGUGUAAGGGAAACUCUACAAGGAGUGUCUAUCAACUAUGCAGGAAGGUAACCUGGAAGUAUUCAAACUUAUAUCUAAUUCUGAGCAAAUAUAUAAGAGACUACUAUGAAGGUAACUAAAUUUAUCACUACUGACCCGGCUCUGAAGGCCCAUAGAUGCACCCACGUGUAGGAAAGGAAAUUCUGAUCGAAUAAUCGAAGGCUCAACCUAUAAGGUCAAGGUGGCUCUAAAAAAAAAAAAAGAUGGACUUUAAAGGAUCCCUAGCAGAAGCGAUCAUACCCUUCAACAGUAUGCAACCCUCUGCACGCCUUUGAAAAGACGAGGCGCUUCCAUGCAAGGUGGUCAUCACCUCUACACAUGCACUACCUCGACAUCGUAAGGGGUUUUGCUAUAGUGAAAGCUCUCACAACUCUCAGCACUCAGUAGUCAACUAAAGUGCAUAGUGAGUGGUGCAGGUGCAUCCGAAAAACCUAUGAAGAUAAAGUAGAAAAAGAAACACAUUAGUCACACAAAUAUCCAUGAAACCAGCUCUAGGCUAUUCAGGUCUUCAAAGAUCAGACUCCAAUCAAUGUGUCGGCCUCCUCAAGAAUGCUCCUAAACAUCAAUAUAGCCCAUCACUAUACCUUACUCCUAACCACUAGCUCGGUCAUAGAAACAAGUACACACAAGGCCUCACACUUGCAAAUAUAAGAACCGAAAUGAAGGAAAUGACCGAAACCAAAGGGUUGGAGGUAAGGGGAUAGAUGUGCGAUCCACACAGACAAGCAACAUACAAUCACAUAGGAGAAGAUUAGUUAUGCAACAAGCAAUCAAGCAGAGCGCAAAUAUAUCAUCCAUGUCCAUACACAAGCCAAACGAAAAUAUGACAAUCACAAUGACUAGCAACAAGGAUAGCAUGCUCAAAUAUAAUCAAGAUAACAUACAAGAAAGAUAAUCAACACUAAGACAAAUAAGAGAUGCAGCAAAGUGAACAUACAUGUCAAAGUGAGUAGGAUAAUCAAGGCAAGAGCAAGAUCGAUCAAUAUCAUCAGCAUGCCAAUGUCGCAAAGGGAUAUAACAAUUAAGCAAAGAAAAUCGUUGCAUCAAAAUCCUCAAUGUGCUAUGAUCACUCAAGCAUUGAAAAUUGUAAUUUUGAAAAAUUAUUUGAAAAUUGGAGUUUUGAAAAUUAAAUUUAAAAAUUAGAAUUUUGGAAAAUUAAAUUUAAGAAUUGGAAUUUUGGAAAUUAAAUUUGAAAGAAAUUGGAGUUUUGAAAAUUAAUUGAGAAUUGGAGUUUUGAAAGUUAGUUUUAAGAAUUGGAGUUUUGAAAAUUAAUUUUGAAAGAAAUUGGGGUUUUGAAAAUUAAUUGAAAAUCGGAGUUUUAAAAAUUAAAUUUAAGAAUUGGAGUUUUGAAAAUUAAUUUUGAAAGAAAUUGGUUUUUUUUUUUGUUUUCAUAUUCUCAUAAACGAAAAAUGGAAACUAAUGAAUAAAAAUAAAAAUUAAAGAAAAAAAAAAGCAUUUAAAAUAUAUAUCAAGAAAGAAAGAUAUUGAUCACCUAUUUCUUUCAACAUAAGUUCCUCUAAGUAAAAUGAUAAGGUUGCCACUAUGGUUUAAUCUCAGGAGGUUUAAGAGCACACAUCUUGGGGGAAGGUUUGAGAGCACAUCUUCAAUACGGGAAGGUUUGAGAGCACAUCUUUAAUAGGGGAAGGUUUGAGAGCACAUCUUCAAUAGGAGGAGGUUUGGGAACACAUCUUUGGUGGGAAAAUAAGAUUGAUAACUUCUUCUUUUUUAAAUAUAUACUACUAUUAAAAAUGUGAGGUGUUUGUCAAUUUUUUCAUUCCAAAAAUAUCUGACAACUCCUUUUAAUUCUAAAAAUACUUCUCAUCAAUUUAUUAAUAACAAUAUAUUAAUAUUUAAUGUUACAAAAUGUAUUCUAUUAUCAUAAUCUAUUAGUAUCAAAUGACAUUAUACAUUUUAUUCUCUUUAGAACCUAUAAUAUUCUUUGACUCUUGAUGAUGUGCCUAAGCCCCAUAUUUUCAAUGCCCACAUAAGCCUUUUCUAUCAUUUUCUCCUCUCCAUGGUCACAACAGCUUCUUCUUCAAGCUUUUAGAUUUUUCUUUGCAAAAUUGCCAUCUUAAUAUUCCUCUUCGCCACAAAUGGCAGUCGAUUCAAGACUAUGUCUAGAGUUAUGGUCAUGGUUCUGGAAGGUUUGGAUUGAUGAAAGUGUUAUGUUAGGGACAAGAGAGAGUUUCAAUGAAAUGUAAUGUUUUGGGGAAAGCUAAGAAUGACAAUGGUGGCAAAGAAGGUGUUCAUGAAAAGAACAAACAGUUUGUGUGGUGGUUUCGGGAGGCGUGGUUGUAUUUUCACAUUCAUAGGGGUGACACGUUUGUUGUCAUAAUUUUUGGUGAAAUUGUUGUCAAUUCUUACUUGGAACCCAUACUGAAGGCACAUUUUCUAUGAAUUUCUUUUCCUCUGUUAAUUUAGUUUGAAUGAAUAAACUGUUAUUGUGUUUCAUAAAAGCAAUAUGGAGGGUUGGUUUGGAUAGUGGUGAUACUCUACAUUCAGAUAUGUUUUCCUUUUGUAUUUUGGAAACUAAUGAAUCAUAACAUGCUUAUUGGUGAAAGGAGAUUGUUGUUUAUCCCCUAUUUGUUUAAAGAGAAUGAAUUGUGUUUGUGGAGUUGACAAUUGAAGAUGUUGACUGUGAUUUAAAUCCAAAUAGUUUUAGAGAAUUGGUCAAAUAAAUCUCUGAUAAAUAUUUUUUUUUAAUGAAUUUACAACUCUUAUCUAAGUAAUUUAUCGCAUUGAUGGUAUCUAUGUAUAUCAAUUAUUUGUGUUCUAAUUUAUUGUGAUUCUAUCUCGUGUUAUUAAUCAUUUGGGUUAUUGGAUUUUAACAUUUUGAUUUUUAUCAUUUCCCAUAUUUUUAAUUCAUUGCAUUUUUGUUCGUUGUGAAUGUUAUUUAUUUAUUAUUUUAGCACUCAUUGGGUUUUUUGUGAACACAAUUAGAUCAACUGUUGUUGCCAUUAGUGUUUUUGAUGAUUUUGCUUACAUGUUUAUUAGGGAAAUAUUAGAAUUCAAGGUGUUUGGUACAUUUGAGAGGUAAUCCAAUUUAGUAUUAGAGUAUACCUUUUUUUUUUAAUGAAUCCUGAUUUUUUUUUUUUAUUGGGAUCAAAAUUUGUUACUUACUCUAGAAAUUUAGUAUUUUUGUAAAUACUUUUAAUUUUUCUAAUUAUAUUUUUUUAUAAGUAUUUAGAACUUAAAGGUUUUACUGAAAAGAAAAUGAAGUUAGUAGUUUUAAAUUGAAAUUAGUCUUAUUUCUUAAGGUUUUUUUCCUUUUUCAUUUUUAGCUUAAUUGAAUCUAGAACUUUCUUGUACAUUAUAAUUCUAAAAGAAGUUUUAAUUACAACCUAUUAAUAUUUAAUGUUACAAAACGUAUUCAUCCAUUAAUAUCAAUCACAAAAUUUAUUAAUAUUUAAUGUUACCAAAAUCUAUUAAUUAUUCCCUUUAAAAUCACCCUAUAACAUUAUAAAAUAUUAUAAUUAAUACAUUAUCUAACCAACAAUUAAGAAUUACCCCUUCACUCUUCAAAUUUCUUAUGAUGACAGUUUCACUUUUCAUUUCUAAAGUUUGAAAACUUUUUAAAUUUCUCAUAACCUUUUCCUCUUUGAAGAGAAUUAAGAAGUUUUUGUAAAUUGGCACUCCCAAUUUGAAUGAAGUACUAUUUGGUGAGUUUUUAUUUAGUGUUCUGAAUGAUUUUACUUAAAUGUUUGUGUUACUUAUGAGAAUAAUUUGAUUACUUUGUUGAAUUUUAUUUUUAUGAUUUUGACCUUUUUAAAACAAUACUCAAUUCUUUGAGGAGUUUGUUGGAUGUGAGUUGGAAGAAAAUUGAAAUUUAAGGUAAUUGGUAAAUUUGAGAGGUAACUAAAUUUAGUUUUCAAGUAUACAUUUUUUUUGUAAUGAAUUUUAAUUCUUUAUUUUAUAAUUCAAUGUUUAUUAGAAUUGAAGUUUGCUACUUAUUAUAUAAAUUUAGUAUUUUUGUAAAUACUUUUAAUUUUUAUUAUUUUUAGACAAGUAUUCACAAGUUAAAUCUUUUAAUAAAAAAAAUAAAGUUAAUUGUUUCAAUUGAAAUUUGGGUAAAUGUUUCUAGAGUAUGUUUUUCUUCAUUUUUUGUCUUAUUGGAUCUUAAUUUUAGAAUAAUUAGAACUCUCUAAAAAAUAAAAUCCAUAUUUUUUUUAAUAUAAAUUACCAUUCUAGAGCUAAAUGCAUUUCCUUAUUUUAUAAUUCAAUGUCCAAUAAUAUGCAUAGGAAUUGGACAAUAUAGUUUUUUGUUUUAUAAUCCAAUAUCUAUAAUAAUUGGAAACUACAGUUCCUUAUUUUAUAAUCCAAUGUCUAUAGGAAUUAGAGAUUCUUAUUUAUGCUAUAAAUUUAGUAUUUUUACACAUUCUUUUAAUUUGUCUUAUUUUGUUUCUUUUAAAUUUUAUCUUUAACCAAUAUUCACAACUUAAAUCUUAUAAUAGGAAAAGUAAAGUUCCUUAUUUUAAUUGAAGUUGAGGUAAGUGUUUUUCAAGAUUUUUUUUUUUUUUUUCAUUUUUAGUUUAGUUGGAUCUUCACUUUGGGAUAACUAGAAUUUUCUCAUAAUUUUUGUUUGUUUGUUUUUUUUAAAUACCAACCACUAUACUAAAAUGAAUUAAAAAUAACUACAUUUAACAAUUUGAGAAUGAAAUAUCAAGUAUAUUUGAGAGAUCAAAAACAAUUUUUAUUCUUACUAAGAUAUUUGUCUUUUUAUUUGCUCAUGGUUCUUGUUGUUAUGACUUUGUAUUACAUUCCAGAAACAUAUAGUUUUUCCUUAUGUAAAUAAAUUGAUAAAAUUAAAGGAAAUUGACAAGGAAAACAUAAAAAUAAAAAGUAUGUUUGAAUAAAUAAUCCAAUUUUUUUUUUUUAAUAUUCAUCUACUUUUCAUAAAAUUAGGACAAGUAAAAGUUACAUUUUGUUGUCCCUAAAUUGCAAUGAAUUUAAAUUAACAAUAGAUAACGGGUUUAAAUAAAAUUUGGUACAUAUCAUUGCUAAGGUGACAUUUAUUUUGCCUAACUUAGAAAAAUUGAUUUUAAAAAGAAUUUUACCAUCUAAGAUUUUUGGAAUGGAAAAAUGUAACAUUAUUUAUAUUUCAUCGCAGUCCUUUUUCCUUUCUAUUUAUAUUUCAACCCAAUCAUUUUUUUUUCCUUUUUUUAUGUCUAGUUUGAUUAUUUGACUUUGAAUCUCUUCUUAGUUUCAUACAAGGAUUUUAAAAGAAUAAAUUCACAUAUUCAAUUUUUUUUAUUGGAUUUGUUUUCAUAUUACCUCACCUGCAUCGCAUGUGAACACUUCCUAACACACACACACACACAUAUAUAUAUAUAUAUGACUAUUUAGAUACGUAUGGAAGAUACACACAUAUACAUACAUAUACAUACAUACGUAUGGAAGAGUAAGAUGACUUUUUCAAAGAAUCAUUUUUAUAAAAAUGACUAUUUAGAAGAGUUAAGGAGCAAGUCUUUGAGGGGAAAUAAAAUCAAUAGCAAAAGAAUAGGAUGACGUUUUGAAAGAAUCAUCUUUAUAAAGAUGACUAUUUAAAAGAGUUAUGGUCUCUUUCACAAAGUAGAUAUUUAAUUUGAGAACGAGUGGGAAAAUAAAAUUAAUAGCAAUUUGCUUUUUAAUAUUUACAUAUAAGGGAAAGGAUAGGAUGAUUUUGUCAAAGAAUUGACUUCAUAAAAUAGAUAUUUAAAUUGCAAAGUCAUUAUUUAUCAUAUUAAUUAAAGAUAAUGAAAUUUUUUUUUAAAAAGUCAUUGAAACAACCGUCAUUAUCUCCUUUUUUGUUGUAGUGACUUUGGAUAUACUAUUAGAUACAUAAUUAACAAAUCAAAGGAUUGAGUGCAAUUAAUUACAAUAGAUUUUUUUGUAGAUAUUAGAAUUGGUAUAUAUUUUUCUCUAUCUACUGAUGGAAUGAAAAAGCAUCCUAGCCUCCUACGAGGGUCUAACCUUGUGAUUCUCCACUGUAUCAUAUCAGGGUGAUCCAUGGCUUGGUAGUCUUUUCCCUAAAACCUCUUCAUAUUGGCUCGUAACCGAUUCAAAAUUCACGAAAUUCAUAUAGAUCGUUCAAUGAAGUCCCCUAAUCAAGUUCAAGGUAGUCUUUGGUUAUUCUGGAAAUAUGACUAAUCUACUUCAGUACAAACUGUUGAAGUUACAGAAGAAACAAGCCAUGCAUAAAUCACCCACACCCCUCUUCCAAAUUAACAAGCCAUGCACAAAUCAAAUUCCCAUACAUCAAUAUUAUUUUACAUGUCUUUUUAACAGACUGAAUUCAUUAAGACAGAAGAGUAGAUAACUCAGAGGUGAAUCCUACAAAGCCACUUCUACAGAACCCCAAAGAUGUAAAAGGUCAGGAACAGACACCCAAGCACAAAUGCAGAGGUUGAAAGCUCUGAGGAACUGGGUAGCACCAAAUAAAUGCCAGAAGUAAAUGCUAUCACCAUUCCUAGGAUGGAAACGUAUGUGAGUAUGGCUGAAAAUUUUAUGAAACGUAGAAGCAGAUGAUAGCUUCGUUCCAGUGAAGCAAAAAAGUGGAGAAACACUGCUGCAGUUGAGCAAUAGAAAGCUAUACCAUCUGACAACAAGAAGGCCUUGAAGGCUAUCUUUGUUGAGAGAACUGCUUUACCUUUGUCGGGGCCUUCAUCAUUGUACCCACCAGGUAGAGUAAAGCCUGCUGCAAAAGUGACAGUUGCUAUGAGCGUCGCGACCAAUAAAUGGGUGUUGGAAAUGUCCUUGAGACGAUGAGAUCGAAGUUGCUUUUCUUUCAUGAUUUCUCUGUUCCUAUCAAGAAGUAUACUCAUAUUGCUAGCAGUACGAGACGCGCCAUCACUGCUCUGAGUACUGGUCUCGCUAGCACUACGAUAUAUGCCAUCACUGGUCUUUUGAUGUCCAUUGUUAUCAGUCCACAUAUUUGCAUUUUCCUGGUAUCCUUCAUUGUCACCAUUUUGCAUAUAUGCAUUUUCUCUAAUGACCAACCGGUGUAAACUUUGUCGACCACCAGCAUGCUCCAACUUCCUCAUGAUCCAAUACUGGCAGUAAUUUGAAAGGAAUUAGAAUGAACUUUUAAAGCAAAGCUAUGGGAAAAUUUUUGAAUCAAGCAUUGAACAAAAUCCAGUGGCUAGCUCUUAAAGAGUACAUCAAACACAUUGAAUAAUAUUAGCCAUCCAUUUCAGAUACUUUUUUUUUUUUUUUUCUCUUUUUUAAGUAAUCGCUUAACAGAUUGAAUGGCUAUAAUCAUUCAACAUGAUCUUUCUGCAUCAAAUAUCUUCAGAGAGAUAUGAGAAGCCUCACCAUGUCUAAUUAAAAUUUGUCUCAAACUUUACAGUAACGUACCUUGAUUAUUUCUCCAAUAUCCAUAUUUGACUGGACAAUGUCAAUAGUCUUCAAAUACUCAUUGUUCAUUGCCCUUUUGUCCACUCUAUCGUCUGCAGCCAACAUAAUCACAACCCCGUAAUGUCCAUAAAUGGCAGCUAGAUGAAGUGGUGUGUUACCUUCCUUAUCUGGCUCAUUUAUGAUACUUUCCAAGUUUGGCUUCUUCAGGAUAUACUUAACGACUCUAGCGUUUCCAUAUUGAGCUGCAACAUGAAGAAUUGUGCGCCCUUUGUUGUCAAUCAAAUCAUAAACAUCUGGAAGACAUGUGAUAAUCUGUUCCAUUACAUUAGUGUGGCCCUCUUUGGCUGCAAUGUGGAGAGCACAACUGUGUUCUACAUCCAAUAAGCCAGCAACAGAUUUGUCAUACUUCAGUAACUUCUCAGUUGCUUCGAGGUGACCCAAGUGGGCAGCAUAGUGAAGAGGGGUCCACCCAAAUUCAUCUGCCUUUUUUAUCACAUCCUUCUUCAUUUCAAAUAGUACUUCCAAAAUAUCUAUACAUUGGGAGAAGAAGGUUAGAAAUCUUAAAAAGAAGUGGAAGAAUCUACUUAAAUAGCAUUUCAUACCUCACCAAAAAUCUGUCAAGAGAAAUGGAAAAGGCGACCAAAACACCCUUUCCCCUAUAUUUUAAGCAUAAAAAUGUCCUCAAUAAUGAUCCCCUUCAUUUCCAAAAAAAAAGGAAAAUCCUCAUACAUCUUGAUAAAUAAACACAUGGCUUAAUCAGUUGUAUGGUUUGAAGGUCCUUUCUUUUUUCUUAUAUAGGAAUGGGUGUUCAAAUAGGGUGAGAAUGGAGAGAACUCUCCACUCAUAAGCUUUUUGCAGUAAAAAGGAAAAAGGAAAAAAUCCAACUUAUUAGUAAACAAGAAUGAAAAGGGCACAGGAUCUUCUUACUUGAGCUUAAUUAACUUUAAAAAGGGGACAAAAGGAGUCUUAUUAAAGCAGAGGAAUUUACCAAUUUCAUCAUUCAAUUGUUUUCCUUUGAAGUGUCCUCGUACCCUAAAGAAAAAGUUUGUAACCACACGGCGAAGUUUUUCUAGAGAUAAUUCUGGAACUUCUUGGCCUGCAGCAUGAUAUAACAAACUAAAAUCAGUGAUAACCCCAUAAAAAUAACAAAGAAGGCCAAAAAAACAAAGGCUUGCCUUUUAGUUUGUUCAUCUUGCAUAAGGGAUUGAAAAAAGGAAAAGGAAAGAAAGAAAAUUAAUGCAAAGUCUUUUCCCAAAAGUGGUCCAUAUUCAGAAGAAAUAUUUGUUGAAAUAAUUUUCAAAACUUCAUACCAAACAAGGAAAUAAUGAAAGCUGAUAUUUUUCAUCUACUUGAUUUCUUUUCUUCAGUUUCUUCCUCAUUUUUCUCUCCAGGCAUGGUGCUAAGACUUGGGUCUUAGAAAGCAUACACCCAAAUGCCUGAAGACUUGGGUUUUUUUUUUCUUUUUUUUCUUUUUUUGUCACCAGAAUUAUCACUGGACGCCCUUUGCAUGCCCAAAUUAAACUUGAAAAAGUAAAACAAAUUAACAUUAGAAAUGAAGAUUUCAGAUAUACUCCUACUAACCAACAUUGGAUUGUGUUCCUGGAAACCAUUCUCCUCGUAGAUGCAGUCCAAGUCCAUUUACAGACAGCUCGGGGGGUAUGGGUUUACCCAGCUCAGGACCUACAAGUUAGGAAGAAUCGAAGAAAUCUUUUAAGUAUACAAAAGCAAGCAUGAACAUAAACUUUUAUGCAUAGAAAGAUUUUGACCUUUAUGGGUACGAAUCACAGCUGCAUGUAAAGCGGUCAUCCCUUUCGUGCCCUCACAGGAACAUUCAGAACUGUUUCCUUUCAACAGUUCGUCAGCAAUCUUGAAAAACCCCCUUUCCACAGCCAAAUACAAGGGGGACUCUUUAUGAUUAUUAACCAAAUCCAACAUCUUAGGAUUUUCUUGAACCAACCGGUUCACCACCUCAAGAUGACCAUUCCUCACAGCCACAUGCAGUGCCGUAUCAGCCCUCCCAUUCUUCAUUUCCAGUGCUUGCUUGGCAUUUUUACUUUCAAGAAAGCACUUAACCAUGUCACUACAGCCAGUUCUCGAGGCAAUAUGCAGCGGAGUGUCGCCUUUGAAGUCAGCUCUAGUCAGAAGCUCUGGAAACUUCUCAACAAGAGCUUCAGCAAAGCCUAUGCACUUGAAAUUAGCAGCAAUGUGAAGAGCAUUGCGUUUCUGGGAUGUGGCUUGGCAGGGAAUACUCUGGAGGCUAUGUGGCUUCUGCAAGUAGUUCUUAUCCCCAGUUUUAGCAGCUAUGUAAAGAUCAGUAUCCAUGUCUUGACAAUGGAAAUCAGAAUCCAUGGGGAUGCUUGCUAGGAAUCUCCUUCUUUGCAGUCUACAUAUAUAUUACUAAAAGAAUAGACCAGUCCACAUCAAAUGGGGUACAGAGCCUGCUCAAAAAUAAUUGCACCUCUCACCUACUGCAUUAACAAAGCUCAUAUCAUCACAAAAACUUUUUAGUACAUAUAAAUAAUUUUGUUUCAUAAAGUAUCAUUAUUAUUACUUCAAUAUAUAUUAGUUUUAUGAAGGGUUUAUGAUUGUAGACGAGUCAAAAUUCAUCCAUUUUUGUUUUGUUUAUCACCUAGUGUGGGCAUUUUGGCUCUUUUACGGUGUGGCCAUCGAUUCAAAUGCUUACACAAAGCUUCAAUGAAUUUUGUGGCACCUCCCGUGGAAACUUGCCACCAAAGCUCCCAAUUCAGAAAUGUUGUUUUUAAAAUAAUAACAGAAUUGAGUAAUUUUCUUUCUUUCUUAUCUCCAACGUUUUUGCUAAAUACUUUCACUUUUGGAGCUUGGUUUUAUAUCUGAUUUCGUAAGUCCUAAGAUAUCUACUACCAUGUACCUUGAAAGGUUGGUGUUGAAUCUAUUGAUUAAUUGUAUAUGUUAGGACAAUGAGUCUUCAUCAUAAGUUAGCAAUUUUGUUCCUUUUAAUUUUUGUCUUAGGAAUCUUUUUAAAUAGUGACUUACUUUCUAUUAAAAGAUUCAAGGUUAUUGUUCGAUCAACUGGAAAGUCAUAUGUAAAUCUAAAAAGGUUUAGUUUAUGGCAAAUUAGGUGUUUAAAAGGGUUAAGUGGAUUGGUAUAUUUUUUAUUGAAUUAAAAAUGUUUUAUUUAAUAUUUUGAAAAUGCAAGGGAUGCUCGAGUGGUGGAAAUAGUGCUCAAGCGUUGGGACCACUCAAACACUUAUCCAACACUUAAGUGAUCAAGGCACUCAAAUGGUAGGUAAGUGCGCUCGAGUGCUCAUCCCAAAUCUACGAAAAUAUGAUAGAAUAUUUUUGGAUAAUUCAUGCAAAUUGAGUUUGGAAACUUCACUAUACCAAUCCCCUAAAGCUUGGAGGCCUAUAUAAACCCAUCUAUAACCCUUUUAGUAUGAAGUGUAUUAAAACCAAAUGGAAGAAUAAGACAAUUAAGGAGAAAGAUUACAUGAAGAUAGGACCUUAUGCUUCAACAAUAAGUAGCCUUAUGUAUGUGAUGUUGUGUCUUAGAUUAGAUAUUUGUUUUACUGUAGGAAUGAUGAGUAGAUAAUAAUCCAAUCUAAGUAUAAAGCAUUGGACAACGGUCAAGUAUUAGAACCAUAAACAAAAAGCUAAAACCAUGAUCAUUGAUUCUAAUUUUCAUAUGAAAAUUUUAAAAAUUUUAAAAAUAUAACAAUAAAAUAAUAUCGCAGGAUAUUUUUAUUUAAUUUAUACAUGAUUAGAUUUAUAAAACAAAUAAAUAUUUUUUUAGUAUGAAUAUAUAAAAUCUUAUAUCCUAAACCUCUAAAAAAUUUUAUUAUAUAUUUAUUUUUAUAUUAAAUUUGUUCUCAUUAAUUAUUUAUUAUAUAUUAUUAUUUUUUAUUUAAAAUAUCCAUAAAUAAUUGAAAUCAAUAACUAUAAAAAGAUGAAAUGGUGACAAAUUUUGAAAUUAAAAAGAUUUCAUGAAGCCUAUACAAUAAUAUAAAAAAAACAUUGCACAGUGAAAAAAAAAUAAAAUUCAUAUGGUAUGGUUGAUUGUCACACGAUAAAGUUUUUAAAAAAUAAAAAUUGUUAUAGUUCAUGGUAGGUAGGAGGACAAAAGGGUAAUUUUAGAAUUUUGAUGAAUAUAACUAUUUAAGUGUAUAUUUAUAGGAUUAGUUUUUGUAAGCGAGAAGUCAAGUCAAACCUCUCAAAAAAAAUCUUUUUUUUUUAAGGUGCACAUGAUUAUAUGAUUCUUCCUAUUCAAGGCUGGGGGCCCAUGCUGAAAUGAUAUGUCAACAACCCUCCUUAAAGUAGAGUUGUAAAAGCUACUUCCCUUCUAUGUCUCCGGCCGAUAUUUCAGUCUAGCGUGGCGGCUUUUAACGCUUCAUCUACCUAUCUUCUUUUACGUUGAGCGUGGAAUCCACCGUCAUCUCUAGCCUCAGCAUAUGAUUUGAACUUAGGAGAUACCCACACUGACUUUUCAAGUUUUGUCCAGUUGAGGAAACUUUGAAAAUUAUUUAGCAGAAGACUGAUAAUGCAACCUUCUUCAUAAGAUGGGUGAUUUUUGAACACUACUGUACUCUAACCAAAUACCAUUUGUGCUUAUAUGUGAUACAGUGGAUGGAAUAUCUUUUCCCCUUUAUUACGCAAAUACUUGUUUAAUAGGUAGGGAAUUUUUUUAAAUUAGUCCCCCAUCCAUGCCCAUUAGAGGUUCUGAAAUUCAUUUGUAACAUUUAUGAUUUUUUGGAAAAUAAAAGUACCUACUCCAAUAAUACCAAUAUGAAUGGUACCACCAAACUUUCGUACGUAUCUAUAAAGAAGGAGAAGGUGCCCAAACAAUGUAUCCAGAAAAAAACAUUCAAGAAAAUAAUCCCAACUACUAGAUUUCAACAAGUAGGAUUUUGAGCAUAAAAGAAACAAAAUAAAAUAAAAAUAAUGACGGCUUCGAAUGACAUCACUGACCCAACGCAGGCAGAGGAGUUAGGAGUUGCGUGGAAAUUGUGAAAGGCGUAGAUCACGCCACAUGGAAGCAGUGGAGACAUGGCCAGUAGGAUAAUUAAUAUCCAUGUGGAUAACAGAGUGGAUCAAAACAAUGCCAUUCCCAUCAUGAAUGAACACUCAUUAACUUCUGCGUUUACUUGACUUUUGAGAGAUUUGCAAAACAUGUAGAGAGAGAUAUCACCGGAAGAGUUUUCUUCUCAUUAAUCAUGUUAUGACUUUUAGUAAUAAAAUAAGUAUGCAGCUGUUUAGAAAGAAAGAUCAGCAUGGGUAGUAGCAACGCGCAACAAAAAGUCCCAUCAGACUUCUCAUCCCUGGGAAUCUUACACACUCGCUAGGUAGACUAAUCAAACCAGGACCCAACUGGUACAAGCUACUGUUUCAACCACUCAAUAUUUAAGGAAUCACUUCCUAGUCACUAAGAACAUAAACUAAUCAAACCCAACCUGGCACAGGCUACCUUAUCGACUAGUCAGUACUCAAGGGAUCAUUUCCUAGUCACCAAGAUCGUUAAUUUAGAAAAUCUUACACUGAAAAAUGACCUAUUCAUCUGCAUGAGCAUAUGCCUUUCACAUCCCACUGAAUAUAAUCUUAACAUCUGUUUCAUUAGUAUGAUUCUCUUAAGCUAUUGACUUCAAUAUUUACUUGGAAAUGAUAUCAAAGGGAAAAAGAUUACCGAUUCAGAAAAAUGUAAAGCAAGGUACAAAAUACUAGAUGGAGAUAUUUCAAAGAAAGAAAUUCUUUUCCUAUAGCUAAACUAAUGCACACGAUCAAAUCUAACACUGACAUUUGUUCUUGGAGCCAGACAGAAAGCCAAGUACAGAUACAGAGUGUUUUCAAGAUGGGAUUAUUUGGUGUUUUUAACUAUUUGAGUUGAAUGAUGAAAACACAUGACUUCAACAAUGACAAACCAAAUUGGUUAGUAUCCUGCUUAAUAACCGUAGUUUGCUCCAUUCACCGGGCCAUAGCCUCCAGUGUGGCUUGCAUGUGCUGGGUUGGAUGCAGGAGAUGCAUACAUCGAACCAUGAGCUGCAUAAGAAUUAUAGCCUGGGUCAGCAGAUCCACCAGUUUGGGCCUGUGCUGGUGCAGCAGCUUCAGCCAUAAAAUUCUGCAACACAAACAAUCAUUACAAGCAGACAAGUCCAAUUUGAUUACAUAAUGAAGCAUUGACAAAGAAUAAACAAAAUUUUAAUGGAAAAAUCGACUUUUUUGGUUGAGUAAGAUCCCAAUAAAACAAUAAUUAAACAAUUCUAUAUUAUAAGUAAAAAUCAAUGAUGAAGCUAAAUGGAAAAGAAUGAAGUCCAACUGUCUGAAUUGCUGACCACACUUAACAUUUCAAUAAUAUAUAUCCUAUAAAAAAAAUUCUUUAAUUCUUUAAUUCUAGUAAUAAAGUCGGUCCCACCAUACCUACCCCCACACGCACCCAAACACCACAUACAAGGAGACAUCAGAAACAAUGAUCUAAUGCUAAGCAAUGUCAUUAUGCAAAUGGAAACUGCAAUAUUAGCAAAGACAAACCAACAACUUGGUAUCAAAAACAGGGAGGAAGAGUGCCUGUAUCAGUUGCUGAGCUGCUUGGACUUGGGAAGCAGUUCCAUUGAUUCACGUGGCUACAAAAGACUCUUUAGGAGAAAGUUGAGGAGUUCACAUGUGUAUAGGAAGAUUGAUUCACAAGGCCCUUGAAAAUUUUCUAUUUAAAGCUCUUGUAAGGAAAAUGGGAGACAUAUCUUCCUUCUCCAUCAUUCCUUCUUUUCUCAUUUCUUUUUUCUUGAUAUAAAGCUAAGGAUUCUCUCAUUUCUUUCUUCUUCAUUGUAAGUUACUUGAUUGAAGCCAAAAUAUGUGCUCCAAUGGCACAUAUAUGAUGUUAUAAUUUAUGUAAUAUAAAAAGUUCAAAUCAUCCAACUUAACUUAAUUUCAUGCUAUGGCCAUAGUUAUGGAUCUAACUUUUAUUUUGAGCCUAAUUCUAAGUUUAAGGGAUGACAUAAAUGGAUAAGUGCAAAAGUCAUUAUCAACCAAGAAAGUAGAAGGGGUUAAACUAUAACUAAGAGACUCAAGACUUAUGAACCAUGAAAGUCCAAGAAAGGGUGUAAGAAGCAAGCCAUAGGCAUGAAAUACCAAUAGUAGAUGUUAUGGAUUGAGAUAGCAACUUCCUCAUGAUCAAAGACUGGAAAGUUUUUUUAAAGAACUUAGAAUAAAAUGUUGUUUUUAGCUACCAAGGCACAUAUAUGACCAGAAAAUUCAAUUAAGGCAACAUAUUUCUUCUGUCUUUUUUUUUUUUUUUCUUUUUUUUCAAGUUUCACAUAUGUAAAGAGAAAUAAAGCAGUGGAACCAAUGCAUAAUCUAAAAUCAUCGAAUUUCGAUGCACAUACCUUUUUUAUUUUCUCCCAGAUCCAUAUUUGAUUGGACAAUGUCGAUAGCCUUCAAAUAUUUCUUGUUUGAUGCCUUCUUAUCCACUCUACGAUCUCCGAGCUUUGACCCAAAAUGCUACACUUUAAAAAAAAAAUCCAUAAAGUAAACCUAAUGUGAAAAUAAUGCCCAAUCUAGUGCAUUUGUGCCACAUAGAUUGCCACAUCAUAAAACCGUAAUUGGUAACUACGGUUUUAUUUUUUUAAAACAUUCAAAACUGUAGUCACCAACCACGGUCUUAACUUUUUUAAAGUUAAAACCGUGGUUGGUAACUACGACUUUGACUGUUUUUACAAAUAGUCAAAGUCGUAGUUACCAACUACGGUUUUAACUUUAAUUCUAAAACCGUAGUUGGUGACUACAACUUUGACUAUUUUAAAAACAGUCAAAGCCGUAGUCACCAACUACGGCUUCAACUUUAAUUUUAUAUAUAUAAAUAAUUAUAUUGCUUGAUUUAAAAUAUUUAACUUUAAUUUAUUUAAAUAAAAAUAUUAUAUUAUUUUGAUUUUAGAUUGACUAAAAAUAUGUGAGUGGUUUAAUAAAAAUAUUUAACUUUAAUUGAUCUCAUUAUUUAAAGAAUAAUAAUAUAUGAAAUUAAAUAAUUGAUGUCUUUAAUUUAAUAUAAAAAUAUUUUGGUUUAGUUUUAUUAAAAUAUUUGACACUAUACUCAAUAUAAAUAUAAUUAGUUAUAAAUAUACUAUUUUAUGCCCUCAUAAUGAAGAAUAUUAUAUUAUUUUGUAACUUUGUACAAAAAGUAAAGCCAAUUAUGCAUUUGUACAAAACAUAAUAUGACUUCAAGUGGGUAAAUAAUUGGAAAAUUACUUAAAUACAACAAAAAUAAUUUUAUUUUCUCCAAUUUUUUCCUUUCAAAAUGGGAUCAAAAUGGAAUGGAAAGGCUUAAAAUUUUAAACUUAAAAUGCCAACCUAAUAGAAUUUGUUUUUCCACUUCUUAAAAUAUAGAAUUGUAGAAAGAAAAUACCUAUGUUUUUCCAAUCAAUUCACCAUUUAGUUUAACUGUUUUGGUAAAUAAAUGAAAAUGCUUUUAGAACAUUUUUGUAAAUUCAUUGAGAAUAAGAAAAAUGUUCCUUAUUGGGUUUUAACGGGAGUUUUGGACAAAAAUGAUUUCUUCAAAACAAAAAAUUCAUAAAUUAAUUUUAUUCUCAAAAUAAUUUUCAAUGUGAUGUGUGUCUUAUUCAUGAGGGUAUUUACAUCAUAAAACUGUAAUUGGUAAUUAUGAUUUUUGAUUUUUUUUUAAAUAGUCAAAAUAGUAGUUGGUGAUCAUAGCUUUAAAUUUAAACCUAAAACCAAUUUUUUUAAGUUCAAAUUUUAAACCAUGCGAAUGUUCAAUUUUUUAAGAAUUAUUUUGAUUGGAGGUUAAGAUUGUAAAUUAGUUUUAAUGCAUUAUUUUUUCUAUAUUGAUAUAGUGUUGUUGUAACUAAUUAGUUACAAAAUUUUAGAUUGUAGAAUUGCUAUAUAUAUAUAAGUUCAAUUUAAGUUUAAAAUUGAUCAUAUUUUCAUUUAAAUAUAUAAUAAUUUGUUCAUAAUAAUAAUAAUAAAAAGUUAACAAUAUAAUGCAAAUGAAAAUAAACACAAAAACUAAAAACUAGUCCUCAAUGAGUGCCACAUGAUGGGGUGGGUCUUCCUCUUUCUUUGCGGACACCUAUGAUACACAGACAUCUUUGUGGAAUCUAACUGUGCAAUCUGCCAUGUCUUAGUAUGUAUAGGUUGAGAUGGAGCUGAUGGAGGCAAGACUCGACGUCUACGUGGACCACGAUGUCUCCUAGGUGGACAUACAUCUAACUAUGUAACAUGUGUAAGGGUAUGAUGCAUGGUAGUCUCUAUGGGAAGAGGUGUAGGUGAUGGUAAAGUGGUAGAUGGUGGGGUGAUCUCAGGUACAGUGAUAUCUGAUAUGGUAGCAUCUAAGAGAGGUGAUAUAGGAGAUGAAAGAAUGACAUCUACUAUAGUGGUAGCUGGUGCAAUAACAUCUGAUAUAGUAGGCUCGAGGAGAGAAAAUAUAAAUGAUGAUGGUGAGGUGACAUGUGGUGUAGUGGUCUCCUCGAGACAAGGUAGAGGUGAUGGUAGAUUAGUAGAUAGUGGGGUAGUCUCUGGUGUAGUGACAUCAGGUAUAGUGGCGUCUGUGGGAGGAAAUAUAGGUGAUGGUAGAGUGCUAUCUGAUACGACAUGCUCUAAGGGAGAAGGUCUAGGUGAAGGUGAUGGUAGGGGUGAAGGGGGAAGUGUGGAAACCUCAGGCGCAAAUGGGGUAGAUGAUGUAAAUGGUGCUAACAUGGUCUCGGGUGGAUGCAUAGAUCAUCGAGGUUGUCGACCAGUUCGCCCACCAUCUCUCCUACUAUCUCUCCCUCGGCCUCGAAUAGGCUACAUCCUAACUGUAGUGGCUAACACAGGUGGUCUCAUAGAUGGGUAUGAUGAUGUAGGCGACUGACGGGCAAAAUGUAUGCGAUGGUCCUCACCAAUAACAUGCAAAAUAUCAAUAGCAAUCCGAUGAAUGUCGCCUAAUGCACCUGAAGUAGGCUCAGCAGAUCGACUAGCAAUCUCAACCAUACCAGUGAUCUAUUAAAAAAAAAAAAAGUUAAACAAACGAAGAUGAUUUUUAAUUAAUUAAAAUUUAAUAAACCAUUUAUAAAUUAAAAAAAUCUUACCAACAACUGAGUAGUUGCUGCUGUACUAUGAUACCUCAUCUGAUCUCUAUAGAGAGGGGGUGUGAUCAAACGUCGUGUAAUACGUCGGUACCACUCCAUAUAUGGAUCAUGAAACUGCAUAGCACCCACCAUAGGUGGUGCCGUCACAAUACGCUCCGCACAACUAGCUCAUAAGGUAAUAUACUGUGCAUGAAAUGCCUCCCAAUCAUACUUAUGUCGUCCUCGCCUAUCCACGGAAUGGAGGUGUUGCUCUAUGGAACAAGAUGGAGGUAUCCCUUGUUGGAGGCCAAACUGUCGCAACACUCGCUCCAGUCGAUGCCACUCGACAAUGUCAAAGCAGAUAAGAGGUGUCAUCAUCCUCCAAAUCUCCUAGUCUGCUAGAGAUAUCGCUGGAAGAUGGGCAACUAAGUCUCCCAUGUAAGGCUCCCAUAAAACUUGUUAAAAUCAAUAUUUGAAAUUAAUAAAGUUAACGUUUAUAUGGUUAACAAUAGCACAUUAGAUCUUAUAUGUACCUGGUCAUGGGUCUGUGCAUCUAAUUGGUCUCGAUAAAAUGUCAACACACGUGAUGGGUUUUGAGCCCAUGAUAAAGGUACUUUCCACCUACAUCCUAACAGAUCAGCUAGUAAACCCUCGUGUAACAAUGCCUCAUCCUGUAAUCCCUGCUCUAAAUGCUCAGUUGGUAAAUCAUCAACUGCAUCAUGCUCUAAAUGCUGGGCUGCUGGAGGGGCUGGUGGUUGACCAAAAUCGAGUUGACCCAGGUGGAGUCUCUCCCAAGACCAUAACUGCAAAAAAAUGUAACAUUAAAAUUUUACUUAAAUUAAAAACUUGAAACAACUAGAAAUUUCAAUCUAAUGUGAAUAAUUAAUUAUACCUGUAAUAGUGUGACACAUCCAGCAAUAUCGGUGGCACCAUCCAAACUCACUCGACACAACUCCCUAUAUAGGUGUGCUAAUACUGCACUACCCCAACUAUACAUAGAUGUUUGAGUCAAGUCUCUAAGAAGUGGGAGAUAACACAUAUGUAUGUGAGUACCCUUCUUGUCUGUGAAUAGCGUUGAACCUAUGAGUCCUAAUAUGAAAGCCCAUGCAUAUUGCUCUAAUGUGGCAUCAUCUAAAUCAAUUGGUGGAUGAGAGAACUGGUGACAUAGUCAUCGUGUCGAUAUCGCUGAUCCUUUAAUCUCAGAUGUAAGGGGAGUCACCCCUAAAAGUUCAUAACAUAGCAAUGACCAAUCUAUAUCACAUGUGCCAGUGAUGGGAAGCCCAUGAAUACGAAGACCUAAUAUGACAGCAACAUCCUGUAAAGUAAUGGUCAUCUCCCCAACAGGUAAGUGAAAUGUGUGUGUCUCAGGACGCCAUCUCUCAACUAGACUAGUGAUCAAUCCGCAAUCUAGUGUAAUGUGUCUAAUACGAUAUACAUCAUAAAAUCCAGAUCGAAUAAUAUAAGGUCAAAGACGAGGAUCCAUCUUCCACUCCUGCAUAAACCUAGAUAUAUGUUGUUGACAAGUCAAGAUUGAAGCAAGCUGUAAAAAUACAAAUAAAUCAUUUAGAUAAUAAACUGCAAUUUUUUUCAUUCUUUAAAGAGAUAUUAUGUGUUUUCAUAUACAUACCUGACCAGAGUCAACUAAAUGAGACCUAUGUCUAUCAUGUAGAACCAAAAUAGACGUAUCUAAUGGAUCUGGAUCAGAACUAUGUCCUCUAUACUCCAUAUCUGUAACAAAAUUGUGAAGAUAAAUAAACAAUACUUAUUGUUUUUAAAUAAAAAAUAUUUUUAAUGGAAAAGUUUUAAAAAUUUAUGGAGUUUUCCAUAUAUUAAGUAUAUAUCAGUUUGAUAAAUUUAAGUAGAUCAAUUCAUUUAUGACCAAUAAACAAGUCAUACUAGUUUAAAAUAAAAUUAGAGAUACAAAUACAAUGAAGCAUUUUGUUAACAUUUUUAAUAGAAAAUUUCAAAAUUUUGACAGAGUUUCCCCUAUAGUAUGGAUAUUAUUCCAAAUACAAAUAACAUGAUUAGGCAAAUAACAUCAAUAUUUAUAAUCAAACCAAAGCCAAUAAUUGAAUAAAGGUAGUAUCAUAGUAGCUUACAUCACAAUAUCCAAGAAAAUUACAUGCACACAUCACAAGGUCUAAUCAACUCUAUUACUGUUUUGACAAGAAUGACGAUUGUGGCCACUUUGUUUGCAUAACCCACAUGUAAUAGAAGUCUUGCCCUCUCUAACAUCCAUUUCAUUAUGCAAACGACUUGAUUUAGGUCGUCCACUCGAUGCACGUUUCAUCGACUUAGAAGGCAUGAUAAUCGGGCCAUCAUAAGGAGGCCACUCAUAUACAUUGAAAAUGGGAUGGAACAAGGGUGCCCAAGUAUUAUAGUACGAUUGUGUACUGUAGUAGUGUUGAACAAGUGGUCUAAAAUCAACUGAACGAAAAUGACAUGCUGCUAGAAUAUGACUACAUGGGAAUCCAUAUAUGAGUGUUUUACCACACAUGCAUGCAUACUCCUGUAAGUUGACGCGAUAUGUUCGACCACGAGUUGAGCUACUCUUAGUACCCCUAUUACUCUUCACGUGGAAUUGUCCUUAGAUGUGAUCAUAUAAAAUAAUCUCAUAAGAUCCCACCUUAACCACAUUUGCCUUCAUCUUAGCAUCAACAUAUGGAGUGUAUUCCUCACUUGAAGCAAGUCGAUUAGCACCUUGUUCCCUUCUCACAACAAAGUAACUAUUUAGCCGAAAAAAUGUCAAUUGAACCAAAGCAGUUACGGGUAAGCUACGAGCCCCUUUAAGCACACUAUUGAACACCUCCGACAUGUUUGUAGUCAUGAUGUCGUACAUUCGACCUCCGUCAUGAGAGAGUGUCCAUUUCUCAAAAGGGAUUGCUUCCAACCAUUGUUGUGCGGCUGCAUUAAUCCUCCCAAUUGUGUUCAUAUGUUUAUUGAAUUUUUCAAUCUUGGUUGCUAAGGCUCCUCUGCACAUAAGAUUUUUCAAUAUUUUAUCCUUGAAUCGAGUCAUAAAAUUGCUAGCAAGAUGACGCAUACAAACCCUAUGAUAUGCGUAUGGCUCAGACCAACCAAGAUGAACAUCGCUCAUUGCAGCCAUAAUGCCUGGAUGUCGAUCUGAUAUAACACAAAGUUUCCUCCUAUUAGUGACUCUUGUUCUAAUACAUGCCAAAAACCAUCCCCAACUAUCAAUAUUCUCACCCUCUGUUAGGGCAAAAGCCAAUGGGAAUAACUGAUUAUUUCCAUCACAACCCAUAGCAAUCAUUAAAGUGCCUUUAUACUUCCCAUACAAAUGUGUACCAUCAAUACUGAGUACAGGCCGACAAUGCUUGAAUCCUUCAAUAGAUGGUUGAAAUGUCCAAAAAACUCGUUGAAAUAUUUCUGUAUUCUCCAUAAUACCAGGAAAUGUUUUUGAAAUUACAACACAUCCUGGAUUUGCCUGCUCUAAGGCAAUGAAAAAAUGGGGCAGCUCUGCAUAUGACUUAUAAAAAUCACCAAAUAAGUUUGUAAGAGCUUUAAGCUUUGCUUUAGAUGCAUUCUUGUAUGACAUUUGGUAUCCGAAUUUCUCCACAAUACUUGCUUGAAUAGCAGCCACUGAUAAUGUGAAUUGUGCCUUAAUCAUUCCUUGGAUAUGAGCAGCAAUCAAGUUGGAAUCUAAUUGUUGAUGAUCCCGAUUCAAGCAAGGAUUUACACAUUUGUGGGGACCAUUGUGUUUAUUGAUUGCAAAUGAAGUUGUACCUUUUACAACCAUAGCAUGAAGUUUCCAUGGACAUUGCGAUUGCUCAGCCUUCUUGCAUCUUAGGACCAACAACUUUGUAGUUGACGAAACAACAACGUACUCUUGGUGUUGACUUAAAGAGUACAACUUCGCAGCAUGUUGUAAAUCUGCUUUUGAAUUAAAAACUUGGCCAACCAUGAACUCUCCACCUGAGUUUCCAAUAUUAGUGUUCCCUCAUGGGGUCCAGUCACUUGAAACGGCGUUACCAAUGUUUUCUACAUUUUCAAACUGCAAUGAUGGUGCCGAGUGAUACUGAACAGGGGAAUACUCUAUUGGAUCAUCAGGAUCUGGGUUAUUUGACAUAUCACAACAUUCCCCAUCCACGGAGACAUAUCUCCCUUGUUCACUUUCCAUUGCUUCGUAAAGAGCUAAGAAAGAUGAAACAACAUUAACAUUAUUGUUUUCCUCAUCAAUAAAUUCAAACACCCCAUCGCCAUCAUGUUGAACAUCUUCUGCUCUCUCACUUUGAUCAUCACCUUCUUGGGAUUCACAUUCUUCUUCAUUUUCAUUUGCUCUACACUCAUAAGUCAUUGCAACUGGGGCACUACUAGGUCCACAACCAUACUCAAAUUCCUCAACAUUAUCAUUUUGUCCGAGUAAUAAUUGUGUGAAGUUACCCAAAAAUUGCCCCCUCUCCCGUGGUUGUAUUGGCACUUGUUCAAUAUACAAUUCAAUUUCGUCCAUUCCAAAUGUGUUAACCAAUUUCAACAUUUGAGAUAAACUAUUAUCAUCCCAUAUUGGACAAGGUUGAAACCUAUUUUCCCUUUUUAAAGGAUAUCUACAGUUGAGGACUAAUUGAAAUUGUUUUUUGUCAAUGCCAGUUCUCGAGUAUAUCCUAGAUAACAAGUGUUCAUAGGUUGAACUAACAGGCACAUCCAAAGGCACAAUUACAACUAGAUCCCCAAUAUACUUUACAUCUGUUUCUGUCCUCAACAUUUUUCCUUUACAAAAGCAAAUCACAAGAACAAUAGAUUCAGACAUGAUUUACCUACAAAAAAUACAAUAUCAAAUGGUUUAAUAAUCAAUGAAAAUAAUAGCAAGAGAAAUUGCAUAUAAUAUUUUAACAUGUGAAUACACAAUUAUAUAAUAAAACACAUUUUUACACAUUAGGAGGAAAAAUAUAAAUCACUUCAUAAUAAUAAUUUUUUUAUUUAAAUAGUUAUCUAUGAUACAAAUAUAAUCAUAGAUAAAUGUUUUAUAGAAUUUUAAUUUAAAACUUAGGUAGUGGGCUAUAAAUCAAUAAAUGUUGAGUUAAAAAAUUACAAUAAUCUUAAAAUUAAAUAAAAAAUAAUCCAUCAAAAAAAAAUUUUAUUAUAAAAUAUCAUAUAUUAAAAUAAAAUUGAACGUUAUGAACUAUUAAAUAAUACAUAAUUUAAAUAAUUAUGUUAUUAUUCAUGAAUCAAUUGAUAUUUGAUUAAAGCUAAAAGUCGAAAAAAAAAUCAAAAUCAAAAUCAAAUGAAAGUAACUGACAAAAAAAAAUAUAUUAAUAAAAUAUCAAUUACACAAUUAUAAAAAUUUGAUAUAUGUGUUUAUUCUGUUUUUGGAAAGCUAGGUCCCUUCUUUUGACUAGUUUCAUUGAUCAGGAGCUGUCUAGAUGAGAAAUUGUGUGUGAAGAUGAAUCAAAAACCUAGGAUAAAUCAACAAUUUCAUAUGAAUUACCAAAUUGCAGAUCUAAAACAGGGGACAACAUGGGAUAUGGGAAGCAUGACCUCAAAAAGAUAGUAGAACCAAGGAUGAGACAUCAGUUUUCAUGGAUAUAUCGGUAGUUGGAUUUUACGAAUAUACUAGGAUAUAUCGGGAAAUAUCAAUGGAAAUUUUGACAAAUAAAUCGAUGGAAGAAAUUUUGAGGAAAAAAAAAAAGAAAAAACAAGAAAUAAUAUGCAUAUUCAAGUUAUUACUUUUAAAUUAUAUAUAUAUAUAUAUAUAUAUAUAUAUAUAUAUAUAUAUUAUUUCUAAUAUUCGAUAAUAAAUUAAUAAUAUAUAGAACUUGAAAGCACAUUUUACAUUGAUAUAUCUAAAAGAUACAAAAGAAAUGAUGAUAUAUGUAUGAUUUUUAAAAUAUUUGAAAUUUUUUUUUCUAUUAAGUUUAAUUAAUAAAAAAAUAUGAACAAAGACUCAUUAAAAAAUUUAUGAUAAUCAUUUUUAUAUUUUUUAUACUUAAAUCAAAUUUGGAAAUAAGAUAAUUAAAAUUAAAUUAUUUAUUAGAUGUUUAUUUUAAUAUCUUAUGUAUGAUAAAAAUGUAUUAAAAAUAUAUUUGUCUCCAAAAUUCCUUUAUUUUUUUUAUUAAAAUGAGAAAAAUAAAAAUUUGUGUGUGUGUAUAUAUAUAUUUAUUAACAAUUGUAAAAAAAAAAAUCACAUUAGUCCCACUGGUCAUGAACUCUUUUGCCAUGUAUAAGAACAAGGGGGUUUGAGUUUUUAAUAUGGUUUUCCCAAAAUUUAAAUUAUUUAUGUUGUCUACCAUAUGAAGUAACAACCAUCUGGAGUGGCAACAAAAAGGUCAAGAUCAGAUUCUGAUGGCUAGGAUAAAGGCCUUGAACCCACCUUAAUAAUAGCAACCAUUACUUUGUUUUCGUGUACACUCUUUCCUCUCUAAAUACAAGGCAAAAAAAAAAAAUUGUUUAAAUGAAGGGCUCUCAUUUUUUCUUCUUCAAAAUUGGCAACUUCCAUACAUAUCAAGAAGAUAACUAUUAGGCAAAUACUAAGUGGAAGGAAAUUAACAAAAGUUGAACUGUUACAAACUUAUACUAGAGGCCUUCUACUCCAAGUGUACUAAGCCUUUCAUUGUACCAUGUAUAUUGUGAAAAGAUCAUAAGCUUAAAGCUACUAUACUUUUUCUCUUUUUCACAUUAAUUACUUUUCUGCAUGGAAAAUGAAAGCAAAAGAGAAAAACAUGUCCCUUGACACUUUCCAUACCAAACAAUCCAUGGUCAGCGUUUUUGUCUAUUUUACUUGUAACUUUUAUGCACUGCACCUCAUUUACCAUUUUUGUAUUUCUCAAAAACUAGCUAGCUAGGUUCUGUUUGACAGCCUUUAAUUGGUAGGAAUAAACUUCUUUUUGAGAACCCAAAUAUAGAAGUUUUUUUUUUUUGCUCGAGAUACUGUACACUUAAGAAAUAGUACAAAAUUUUCCAACUUAUUCUCAUUAUUUUUAGAUUAUUUUUCAAAACACUCUACAAAAAAAAUAUGUGAAAAAUCCUUAAACUUAUUCAAACAAACCACUCUAUGUUUAGAAUAAAUUUUCAAAAGCUAUUUCCAGUCUACAACUUACCAAACAUUGAAAAACCAUUGUUUGUUCUAAAAACAAAACUUUUUUAGAAAAUAGGCCCCCUAAAGGAUCCACAAGAUGAAUAGGGCAAAGAUCAAGGAGAUCAAUAAAAAAUGAUCAGACAGUGAGAUCUAUUAACAUAGUGCUCAAUCUAAACAACCUUGUUCACAAAAAAAAAUAAAAAUAAAUAAAAAAAUAGGUCUAGUUUUUUCAUGAGUUUUACAGUGGUAUGUAUUCAAAUUUCCAUGGAAUGUUUUUGACAAUGAGAAACGUAAGAUUGAACCCACAAGAAGAGAGAAAAACCAAGCUUUGAAGCUUACCUAUCCACAAAUACAGGAGAGCAACCUCAGAAGAAGAAGAAGAAGAAGAAGAAGAAUAUGCUUGUACUAAAGCUUUUGAUUAAGGUUUAAUUUGGAAGAGAAUGGCAAAGAGAUUCUUGAGGUAAACCAAAACAGUAGCAGGAGAAGGAGAAGAAGAAGAAGAAGUAGAAAGAAUAACUAAAAAGGAAGUUGAUCAUGAGCCCUGCCCUUCAUUCAAUUCAUCUGUUUCCCAUGAAAAUAUAUAUGAUGUAAGUCCGAAUAUUGGCUAAAAAUCCAGAAACACAGAUAAUAAAUUUAAAAAUUAUUUUUUACAUUGGGGGUUUCAAGUAAAAUUUUGAAAAUAACUGACAGAUAGUUUAAAAAAUUAUCCUCAAAAAUUGUUUUUUAUAACAAUUUUUAAAAACAGUAUUAGACAAGUUCUAAUAAUUUCUUACUGAGUGGGAGAAUGAGAGAAAAUACAAAUAAAAUAAUUAAAAAUCUUAUAUAUACCAACUGAUGAAGGAUUGAAUGUUCUAGUUUUCAACUUUUCAUUAGUUCAAUAAAAUUACAAUAAAAGGAAUGAGAAUUUCUGCAGAUGCAAAGAAGAGAAUAGAUUUAACAAUAAAAAAUCAUUAAAUUAUGUUUAAUCAGAAUCUCACAGGAAGUUGAAUGGAAAAAAAAUCAAGUAUCACCAAACUAAAGAACUAUAUAAACAAAUCUCAAGGUUCCAGGAAGUGGAGAACUAAACAACAAAACAUUUUGCAUAUAUUUUGAGAAUGGGUUUAAGAUUCUUGUUCAGAUAUUUGAAGAUAUACCAUCUGAGUGGUCCCCUCACUCUUGGUAACAAAUAUUUGAAGAUAUUUUCUAUUUCUAUAACAAAAAUCAUCGGAGUUUUUUUUAUAGUGGUUCCCUCCAUUUUUGGUAUCUUUAACAAAAAGAAAUCCAUACUGGUCCCCCAUUCCAUAUCCGUUUUCUUUACCAAAAAAACCAUUUUCUUUCUGCUAAGCUCAAAAUCAAAAUAAAAUCAAACAUGUCUUUACCAAACAGAAACCAAACAAAUCUGUAACAACAAACCAAACAAAUUUACAAAAAAAAUAAAAUAAAAUUUACGAUUAACUGAAAAAUUCAUAAAUCUUACCUGACAACGACUUCCAAAAUUUGAAUUUGAACCAAGGAUGCAAAGGGAAGGAUGAAACCCUAAAGGGAAGAACGAAACCUUAAAGGGAAGAACAAAAGCCUAAAGGGAAGAAAGCCAAUCGGGGAAAUGGAGAAACCUAAUGGGAAAGGGACGAAAAAGGAAUUCAAAACUGUAGUUACCAACUACGGUUUUGACCAAUUUAAAAAAAUUCAAAACCGUAGUUACCAACUACGGUUUUAUGAUGUGGCAUUCCACAUGGCCCAAACGCACUAGAUUGGGCAUUAUUUUCAUAUUCGGUUUAGUUUAUGCAUUUUUUUUUAAAUGCGGCAUUUUGGGUCAAAGCUCACGAUCUCCGGCCAAAAUCCGGAUGCUGUUGUACUAUCCGUACAUAGCAGCUAGAUGCAAAGUCGUGUUGCCUUGAUUAUCUAACUCAUUUAUUAGGCUUUCCCAUCUUGGUUCUUUUAGAGUAUACUUCAUCACUAUAGACUUCCCACAUUGGGCUGCAACGUGAAGAAUGGUCCAACCUUUAUUGUCAACCAAAUUAUUAGCACAUGGACAGCGUUUGAUGAUCUCUGCCAUCAUAUCAGGGUAGCCUUUUUUAGCUGCUAUGUGAAGAGCAGAACUAUCUUCUUUAUCCCACAAGUAAGCAACUGAUUUAUCACAUUCCAGCAAUUUCCUAGUCGCUUCAAGAUGUCCCAAUUGUGCAGCAUAAUGAAGGGGAGUCCACAUAAAUAUGUCUGUUUCUGUGACCAUAUCUUUCUUUUUGUCCAGUAGUAUUGCAAUAAUGUCAUCUAGCAAUUUAGACCAAGAAAAAGAAAUAUAAUUAAAACAGACUUUUUCAUCCAGAGUACUUUUAGAAAAUAUAUUACGUUCUUUUUAUUUUAAUAUCAGAUAACGGCUCAGGAUUACUUCCCCAUGAGAAGGAUCAGGCAUUAUGCAAUGAAUUUUCCCAUCAAUUAUAAAGAGGGUAGCUACUAGCCAGUGUGGCAUAUAUUGUAAAAGUAAUUGUGUGAUUUUCUUUCCCUGGUCUUACUACUUUUCUAGUUUAGUUAAGCUCUCCACCUAUCAAUUAGAAAAGCAGAAGUAAAGGUUUGGGCUUGGGUAAGUAUUCUUCAAAAAUAAUUCUAAAAAAUAAUUUAUAAGAACUAUUGAAAACCAUUUUCUGAUGAUAUUUUAUAAAACAAAAGUUCUAAUGGCUGUAUUAUUAUGCUUGGUUGGAACUAAUGAAUACAAUUCUGAUGACUAUCUGUCAUAAGUAUAGGAAGGCCAUGCACUCCAUGUAGAUUUGUUCGGCGUCUGUCAGGAAUCAAGAAUCAGUUAAUGGGGCUCCGAAUGUUCUACUAGCCUUGCCAAAAAGUACUUCAUGAGGCUAAACUCAUCCACACUAAAGUGGUGUUUUUUUUUUUUUUUACUUAAUUCUAAAUAGAAGUUUAAUGCUUAAUAGCGUUAAGUAUUAAGUUAUUUAUUUUUAUAAUACUUUAUUUCUAUUAAGCAUUAAAAAGUAAAAAAAAAAAAAAAAAUCAACAUAUCACUUUUUCUAUUCAAUAAAAAGUUUAUAAUAAAUCAUGAAAAAAUAAAAAAACAAAUGAUCUAAAGUUUGAAAGCAAAUUGCUUUUAGCAAAAAACUAAAAAAAACGCUCUCUAAGUCUAUAGAUUUAUGUGUUCUUGGCUUUGUAUAUCUUAGACAUGUUGGAUAAUGGUGUAACAAAGAUUUCUCCAUUUUUUUCUUAUGCAUUUUCUUCUACAAUAUUUUUCAAGCAUCCCGUUGUAGGGAUAUUUACACAUAGUGCAAUUUUGCUUUAUUUUUGUUGGCAACUUCUUCUCUCUGUUGUAUUAUUCCAAGUACCUUAUGUUACGUCUGACUCUAAAAAAUUAUUAAAUGAAGGAAAAAUAUCAAGAAACUUAUUAUUAUUAUUAUUAUUAUUAUUAUGUUUAGUUUAUCAAAAAUUAUUAAAGGAAGGCAAAAAUUGUUAAAAAAAAUAAUUUUUAUUAUAAAAAAAUUAGAAAAAUAAAUACAAUUAAAAUAGGUUAAAAAAAUUAUAUAUGUCCAAAUUAUUUUACAGUUGUGUAAAAAGGAAGAAAAAAAAAAUGAGAAAAAUGAAUUUGAAAAAAUAUUAUUAAUAAUUUUUUAACUUUCAAUUAAUUUUUCAUCUUCCUUUAUUUUUGUUUAUGUUUUCCUUGUCUAGUAUAUUCCUUCAAAAUUUCUAAGAAUCAAACAUGUGGGUUGCGGACUGGUUCGCUGGCCUGCUGGCCUGCUUGCCCGCUUGCCUGGUCCAAGCAUGAAGUUGGGUUGACCUCUAAUGGUCCCUUGGUGGACCAACCCACCAACCUAACCAAACGAAGGUUGCUACCUUGGAUCAAGUGUCUGGGAUUUGAGUAAUAUCUUCUCCUGGGUUAUUAAAUUUUUAUUAGUUUUCAACGGUUUUCUAUUUGUAAUGAUUAAAUUUUUAUUGUAAAAAUGGCUCAUAAAAACAUUGAUUAUCCUAUAACAAUGUUCCAGAAGCAAGAGAUUAUUUACCAUAGCUUUGAACCGCUAAUUUUGAAUAUUGAAAUAAGUGGAAAUAGAAAUAAAUACUAUUAUUAUGUUUAACUUUAUGAAAAUUGUUGUAAAUGAAGUGGUGAAUGACCACAUUGAUGGUCAUUUAUGAACUCCAUUCACUACUACAAAAAUAGUUUAUGGUGUCACUAUUUACGGUGUCACUUUUAAAAUAAUGACACCAUAGGAUUUAUAAUUAAUAAAGGUGACACAUCAUAUAAAAAAUCUUCAAUUGAGGUAGUUAGAUGAUAUUAAUUUUAUAUUUAUAGUGUCAUUUUUUGGGAAGUGACAUCAUAUAAAAUAAUUUUUUUAAGUAUUAUAACCCAUUUUUAGAAUUAAUAAUGAUGGAUACUAUAUAAAAAUCCCAUUGUUUCCAUAUCUCACCCACAAUCCAAAAAAUCUCAAUAUAUAAAUCCUAUAUAUAAAAUCGUGAUCUUCUUCAACCUUUUCUCUCACCCAUAGUCAACAUGCUCACAACCGACAUUCUUCACUUUGUGGACUCCCAAGUAACCCAAAAUCUCUUGGAUCUAUCAUUUUUUUUUUCUUUUAUUAAUGUCAUUAUAUUAAUUGUUUCAACAUCUUUGUAUUAUGAUUUUUGUGAAUUGUGUAUUCUUGAGUUGUAGGGAAGAAAAAUUUAGGUUUAAUCUUCUAGCGUAGAAGAAAAAACUGUAGAUUAAUUGAUUUUUUAAUCUAAACCAAACACAUGAUCAAAUCCUUAAAAAAAGUGAAAAACAGAAAAAAAAAAUGAAUGAUUUUUAAUAUCUAUUUGUGUGAGAAUGACAGGCACAGAAUUUUUUUGAGAUAUACUAUCACAUAAUCUUCAUCCUUUCUAAAAAACGAGAGAGGAAAAAAAAUGAUUUUUCUGUUUGUAUCUAAGUGGGAAUGAGAUAUAGAAUUUCGUUGAGAGUAUCCAACCCCAAAAGGACCAAUUCGGGAAGGCAUGUGUGGUAUUGGCGGAAGAUGAUAAGAUGGAAAUCAUAACCAUAGCCAUGUUCGAUCUCUCUAUGUCUUUCUAUCCUCUUCAAUUAAUUCAUGGGCAUAGAUAUUUUAUUUAGUUUUUAUAUUUAGUUUAUUUAGUUUCUAAAAUCCAAUUAGCUAGAUUUUUUAUUUGAUUUUAUUUUUAUAUUUAAGUAGUUGAGUUUUGGAAAGUUUUUAUAUUUUGUUAAUAGAAAUAGAAAUUUUUAUAUUUUUUAUUAUUAGGAAUUUCUAUUUUGUUAAAUUGUAAGUAUCUAUCUCAAUAAGAGAUUAUUAAUAUUCAAAUGAAAGUGAUGAAAGAGAGUAAAUAUUUUAAUGCUCAAUUAUAUUUUAAUGUUUUUUUUUUUUACAUAAGGGUUUAUUUAUGUUUUCAAUUUUGAAGUUCCCUUUCCAAGUCCAUCAACAAAAGUAGUGUCCAACCUUAAAAUGGGCAUGUGUGGUAUUGACGGGAGAUGAUAAGAUGGAAAUCAUAACCAUAGCCAUGUUCUCUCUGUGUCUUUCUAUCCCCUUCAAUUAAUUCAUGGGCAUAGAUAUUUUAUUUAGUUUUUAUAUUUAGUUUAUUUAUAGUUUAUUUAGUUUCUAAAAUCCAAUUAGCUAGAUAUUUUAUUUGAUUUUGUUUUUAUAUUUAAGUAGUUGAGUUUUGGAAAGUUUUUAUAUUUUGUUAAUAAAAAUAGAUAUGAGGACUUAAAAGGGUUUAUAUUUAGGUAGUGCUUGAGCCAAGGAAAAUGAUAGUCCACUAUCUUGACCCUAUGCAUCACAAACCAUGUGAGGACUUAAAGGAUAUCGUAAACAUGUAAGUUCUUCCUAUUAUUUUUCAUAGUAUUAUUUUUAAAUAAAAAAAAUACAUUCACCUCAAACACAUUUUUUUAUUAUUUAUAUAUAUUAAAACAUAUAACAUUUACCUAUUUUUAAAAUGUACCCAUUGAACUUAUUUACAUAGGACUCUUCGAAUAUCUGCAAAGAAAACAUCUAAGAGGGAGUCAUCUUAGAAACUAGUGCAAGUGACAUCCAAAAAAUUUUCUUUACACAUUAGCUUAUGCAUUUGCACCAUUUAUAUAUGUGAGUACUAAUGUUAUUUUAUAAUUGAUCGAUUAGUGUCCAAGACAAGGAGGGUUCGAAUGUGGCUACUUUGUUAUGAGAUUCAUUAAAGAGAUAAUUUUUUAUCCUACAAUUAUUGCUUCAAAGGUAUUACUUAUUAAAUGAAUUGUACAUAGUUUUAGGCUUCCAAAUGUUAUGCAUUUUAAUGUUAUUUUCUUAUUUGAUUUCAGUUUUGUGAUAAAAAAAAACAUAUUCUCAAGUAGAAUUAUAUUUCCAUUUAUUCAUUAGAAGAAGCACCCUUCGAUGAAAUUAGAGGAGAAUGGGCUACUUUUGUGCUACAACUAAUCAUGAAUCAUGUUAAUGCAUCAUGAUCACCAUGCAUGGUGAGUCCCUUAGCUACUACAUGAAUUUUUCCAUAGGUAUUGUAUAGUAAUGCUUAUUCUUUGAAUAAUGUUUCUAUUUGAAAAAAAAAAUAGUUCUUAGAUUUGUUCAUUUAUGAUAACAUCGAUCCAUGUUUAUUUUCUUCAAUAAAAAUCUCUAAAACUCAUUAAAUUUUGAAAUGCAGGUAUACACUCUUGGGAUGGUGAAAUGGAGAAUAAAAAGAAAGAAGAAGGCAACAAGAUUUUGGGUUUUUAAAUGCAACUCUUAUGUUAUACGUUGUAGGACAUAAACGUUACUUUAAUUGCAACUGAGAAAUUUAGAUUUUUAGAUGGGACUUUUAUGUCAUUUUAUGGUUAGCCGGUUUUAUGCUUAGGAAAUGGAGGUAUACAUGAAUCUUGGGAUCUUUAACAUUUCUAAAUCAUGUUUUGGUAUGUAUUCACUCUUCUUUUUUAGUUUUGAUGGGUUUGAUAUGUUGGACGUACUAUCCUUUUGUGAACAUUUGAUAUACAAAUAUUAUUAGAUGAUCAAUGUAUUAUGAGUUAUUCUAGAAACAUUACAGAAAAAUGAGUUAAAUAUAAUAUGAUUGUUAUAUUUAUGGACAAAAUAUAAAUAGGUUAAUCUUAUUAAUUCAUAAGCAUUACAAAAAUCAACAACUAAAACCAAUCAUAUCUUCCACAAUAAUUUACAAUGAUGUGAUACCAUAACUUAAAGGUGAUGCAUUUAAUGUGACAUCAUAACUCAAAGAUGAUGUAUUUAAUGUGACACCCUAUCAUCACUAGAAAUAUAUGGUGUCACUUCCAAAUGGGUCACCAUUUAUCUACUUUGGUGUCACUUCCAAAUAUGUCACCAAUUGGUACCCUCUAUGGUGUCAGUGGAGAAAGUGACGCUAUGUUGUAGUGACACCCUAUGUUUAUGGUGACUCGUUAUAAAUGUCACCAUAUACCUUUUUCCUUGUAGUGAUUUACUCAUCUUUAAGAUGAGUAAUGGGAGUUCAUAUUAUGAAGCCUAUAAAAGGCUUUUUACAAAAAAAAUAAAAUUCUCUUCCUCUCAUUCUCUCUCUCUUUCUUUCAUUCUCUCAAUUUUCUCAACUCUCUUCUCUGAUUCCUUCUUCCCAUUAUAUAUAUUGUUAAAGUAAGAUAUAUUUUAUCUCUACUACUUUAUUUGUGUUGCAUUUAUCCUUGUUUUACAACAAAAAUUAUAUUUUAGAAUAAUUUUUAUAAAAAUUAUGGUGAAUAUUUGAAGGCACCCAAAGCAUAUUAACUUGUACUUAAUAAAGAUAAGGCCAUAUUGAAUGUUUUGAUAUUGGUUUAUGAAACUACUUAGAGGAGAGUGAAUAGGCGGUCCUCUGCUUACAACACUCAAAUUGAAGUUUUAAAUAUUUUUAUUAACUCUUAAUUUAAUCAAUAUAUGUAAUUAAUAAAUAGAGCAAAGAAUAAUCUUACACUUGACAUGUGAUGUACAUGGAAAAUCAUCUACAGAAUCUAUAAAAAAAACUUGACGAUGAAAAAUUCAUGAGUCAAUUGAUCAUAGAGCAAAUUCACUAAUUUUGAUAGAAUAAAUACAUAAUCUUACCUAGAUGAAAUACUACCUUCCUUCAAGCAUCUUACACAGGUCAGUACUUACACUUGCUUUCAUGUUCAUAAUGCAAAACCCAUGUAUUCCUUAGUGAAUACCUUAAAACUUUAAGAGAUGUGAUCAACCACCAUGAACAACUUCAAACAAGAUAUGAGCUUUUGGAGUAUCAGGAAUAUGCAAAAGAUAAUAACAAUAAAUUGUAGGGUACGAUGAUGUAUGAAAGUACAAAGUUGAGCAAUGUAUGAUGGCAAAAAACUAACUAAAAAAGAUUUGAAAAGCUGACAAAUAUAGGAUAUUUAUGCAUAACAUCAAGACCGCUUAAGCCCAUUUUGUGGGCACUCGAGCGCUCCUUGUUAAUUUUAGCUUUUCUAAUUUAGCUUCAAGCCCAUUUUGAAUCUAAGUCCACUUUACACCUUAUUCAUGUCAUUAUAUUGUGAACAAGAUAACCCUACUUACCUGAACAAUCAUGUGAAUGAAUAAAAAAUGAUCACAUAUCUUCAAGGCCAGUGCAUACAUAGAGUUGAGUAAAAAAAAUAUUUGGAAUAAAAUUGUUAACUUAAACUAAUUAGUCUAGAUCACUAACACAAAUAAUAUCAAAUUUAGUUAAAAUACAAAUACACCUUCCCAUGAGCAACAUUAUUAUGUUUUACCUUCUUCAUCUUUUACAAGUUUUUAGUUAUAGAAAUAAUGAGAUUAAAAAAUUGAAGGGUAAAUUGCUCCGAUGACUAACUUGAGUGCCUUGGGGCAAUUUUUCUUUGCUUUACAUAUCUCAUAUACCUUAUUAUUGGGAGAUUAUUAAAGAUCGAAUCACAAUAGGACCAAUCCUAAAAUAAAUUCCCCAAAAUCAUUGAUAUUUGAGGCUAUGUAAUUUUUUUGCUCCAACAAGUUCAAUAUUUUGAAUAAGUUUAUCAUACAUGCAUGGAUGUACUUCAUUCUACUACUUGACUAGGGUAGCAAUCAAAAUAGAAGCAAACCUAAAAUCAAUGCUCCAAUAACGUUAAUGUUUGGAGCUUCAUAAUUUUUUUGCUCUAAUAAUUUUGAUAUUUUAGACAAAAUUAUUUUACAUUGAUCGACUUGCUUCUUUAUGUUUAAGUAAAGGGAGAGUUUUUCUUGCCUAAAUCUUGACACUUAAAGAUACUAAUAUUUAUGUUUUGAACAUGAGAUAAGGGACAAAUCACUAUCUUUAACUUGAAUUUAUGUUAAUGCAUGCUUUGAGAACUAAUACGCCAUCUUUCUUUUUUUUUUUAGUAUAAAAGCAUAAAAAGGGAGGAAAUGUAAGCAACUUGAUGUAAUUCUAGCAUUUGGGAUGGAAUGGAGGAGCAAAUAGGCAGCAAGAUGAGCCCUAGUGCUUGCUAAAGUAAAUAAAUAAAUAAUAAAAGCGAAAAGGCAAAAGAAAACUACAAAGGCAUUCUAAAUUGGUUUAGGAGUAGCUAAAAGUGAUUUGGAGAAGCCAAAAUCGAUUUCAAAAGGUUAUUUAAUCAAUGUUAAAACCAAUUUGUGAAUGAGAAUUUUCAUAUUAAUGGAGUCUCACAUCAUAAAAGCGAUUUAAAGGAGGUUGAAAUCGAAAUUCCAAUCUUAGGUUAAAAGUUAAAAUUGGUUUCCAUAUUGAAAUUUUGAUUUUAUCUUGUUGAAAUCAGUUUUUCCAAAAUUUACAGCAUAUGCCAAAUCAAAAUUUCACACUUUGGUUAAUUUGGUAUCAAAAUCUAGAUUUUAGGCAAUUUUGAUGUAAUUUCAACUAAUUAAGUUAUACGUUUGCUAUGGUGGCCAAUGAGAUUAGGCCAAGUGCCUUUUUAGGGUUAAGAUAUUUAUAUUUUCAUUUUUUUUUCAAGGUUACAAAGAGAACAUUUUUACAAUUUUGUUUGUAGUCACACUUUCUAGACUUUUGUUUCUUUCUUUUUAUUAAUAUUCUUUUUUUUUUCUUAUGGAAUUUGGGUGUGAAAUCUCAAUAUAAGAGAUUAAGAUCUUUAAUUUUGGAGAUGUAGCAUGAAGAUACAUGGAAGAUUUGGACAAGGAGCAUAAGAAAAGUAAUGUCAAAUUAAUUGAUCAUUAGGUUUUCAUUUUUACCUUAUUAGAAUGAGAUCAUCUAUGAAAUUAUGGUUAGACUAAGAUCCUAGUGAUACUUCUAAAACCAUUUGAUCACUAGUUAACAUAAUUUGAUAUACUAUCAUGAUUGAAUUGAAAAUUGAUUGUACAAGAUAGAUGAGUGGUACGAAUGUAUAAACAUAAACCUCAAUUAACCAAUCUAUAUUAUUUAUUUUAGUGAAUCAUGUAAAAAGAGUAUAAAUGUCUUAAAAUUCAAUUUGAUCCCAUAUUGACUUUGGUCUUAAACCCUAGAUCUAUGAUUUACUCUCUCUCUCUCUCUCUCUCCUUCUCUUCUUAUGAAUUUGAAGCUAAAUUUUGAAAGCUCCAGAGUUGUUAUCAUAGAUUUGUCUUAAUCAAUUUAAUCUAAAUUCGGUCUUUUUAGAAAAAUUUAUCUAUUAAAUUCACAAUUUUGGGUAUAAGAAUACUUUGUUCAAUACAUAAAUAGUCAAAUGUGUUAGUCUUUAAAGGAUGACAUCUAGAUACCAUACACCAUAACUAUCCUCUCUUUGUUUUUUCUUGGCUAUGAUUUUUAUAAUAAUAAAGAUUUUCGUUCUAAAACAAAGAGUAUCGAUAAAAAAAAAAAAAAGUGUCAUUUUUGUUAGAGAUUGACGACUAUUUUGAAUUGAUAGAUUGUCUUAGUUUUUAGGAGCUUAGAGCUUGUUUUACGACGUGAUUUAAAAAUAUCUUUCUAUUUUUCUAAAAAAAAUGACUUCUAAAAUUUAAUAGCAUUGUUUAGCAAUUGUUCUCUAGAAAUGGUUCAAAAAAAAAAUUAUGAACGUUCUCUUAGAGAACAUAGAGAAAUAAGAAUAAUAAUAAUUAAAAAAAUGAUAAUAUAAGAUUGUGGACCCCGCACUUCUGCACAUGCGUUCCACUCGAUGACGAAACUCAUUGUUUUAUUUGUUUAGUGAAAUUUUGAUUUUUAGAAAAGACUUGGAGUCACCACUUAUUUUUGUUUUAUUUUUAAGGGAAAACAAAAUAAGAAAGAAAACUCUAAGUGUGACUUCUUAUUUGGAAAAGAGGGUCUAUGGAAAACCAAACUUGGGUUUGGGGGUCAAGUUACUUAUUGGGAAGGUAUGGUAAGGACCAUAACAUCCCUCCAAACCCCUAAAAAUGAGUCUCUACUAAAUAAGGUGAAGCAAACGUGGAAAUUGACAAGGAAAUUGUUAGCCCAAGGGUUCUCCUAAUCGGGUUUUGAUGGUAACAAACCAUGGUUAAGUGACUAAUUGGUUUAAAUGUUUAAGAAUCUCAGGUACAAACCCGAAAAUUCAUCAAAGAACCAAAUGGAUAAAAGAUCGAGACGCUUAGAAGACUUGUGAUCAUAGGAAACUAAUGCAAAAUGAAUGCAUGAGUGCACUUAGGAUUUUCAUAUGUUUCAUGCACCUUAGUGAUAACCCGACUCUUGGUAGCUUGGCAUGUAAGGGUAUCAACAAAAUUUAUACCUAACGUCCUUACACUAAAGUAGCAAAGCUACUAUAGCAUAGUGGCUCUAGGAUCGAACACUGGGAAGGGUUUUUACUUUAACUGAUGAAGUUCGGAGGAUGGAGUGAACUUUUCUUAAUAAAGAUUAGGUUAAGAUGAAAACAUAAAAAGAUGAAGGUGUUGUAAACUAAACUAACAUGCAAAUAGGUUAAAAGAUGGGAAAAGAAGUUUCUCAAAGCUUUGGAUAGCCAUGCUUAACUCACCGUGUAAAAAUAGAGAUUUUGGAACUUUUCACCUCGAGUUGGGGAAGCAACUCAGGUGAUGCUUACUUCUCGAACCGGUAUGUGUUUAACAACUGAGUUUUAGUCCUUCAAAACUUACAAAAAGGGUAGCUGAACCUCAUAAAUGCCCUUUUAAUGAUAUAGGUCAUCUCCUCGACUUGCAAUACAAUGGCUCGUAGGAGAUAACUAAUGAACGUCAGUGGAUCUAACAAUAAGAAUCCACUGAGACCAAAAGGUUAUCAAGUAUUGGCCAUUCAAAGCAAGUCAGAGGGAUUAAAAGCUUUACUUUGAAUGAAAACAUUUAUGAUGCUCAACUACUUACAUUUAUGGCUUGGAAAUCUCCAUCCUGACACGGGAGCUUCACAUGGCAUCCAUUACUUCAAGAAACUAAAAGGUUUUAGCCUCUCAUCCUUGGGGAUUUCAUCCUCCAAGGAUGUUUGGCUACUAAGAAAAUAGAAAAUAGUAGAGAGAAAAAGAAAGCAAAAGAUAUUAUGUAUUUAGCUAAGUGUAAAAUUUUACAAAAGAUGGUCCCCUGGAGAAAGUUCCCCCGACCAUCCUAAAAUGAAAAUUACAAAACAAUAUAUAACAGGUUGUUUACCCCUGUAUCCUUGCUUAACAACUAAGGAAUCAUUUAAUUGGUGGAUUACAAGGAGAGAAUUGGGAUUUAGACAACAAAUAUCUGAGGCAAAAUAACAAAAAACGUUGGUCGCAAAUAUCUGGAAGCACUCAGGAGAAUUUCGCAGGCGCACAAAAUGGCUGCGAAAUUUCGCAGAUGAACAAGAUGGCUGCGAAAUCAUUUCGCAGCCGAAGGCUGAUUUCGCAGCCAAAGGCUGAUUUCGCAACCCUGCGAAAUUGGCCUUCAGCUUGGAGUGAUCUGCUUCCAUUGGCUCUAACUUCUUCAUUUCAACUCUAAUUUGCGAACCGUUUGAAGCAUUGGAUUGUUGACUUCCCGAUCUUCGAAACGACAUAAAGCAUGCAUAAAUUGGACUAUAGGAAGUACUCCAAAAGUGGCUGAAAUGACUGUCAUCAAGAAUGCUUCAAGGUAGAUUCUCUCUUUACUUCUCCUCCUUGCAUUCCGGAUUGGUUAUGGCAAAGGACUUUAAGGCUUCAAAGCUCUGAUUCUUCAUGUUCCUGAGCUUUCCAUUGCUUUACCAUGGAUUCCAAAUAACUCUCCUCCAUCUUGGAUUGCUUUGGUGAUCAAAUUACUAACAAAAACACCAAAACUUACACAAAGUGAUUAGAAGUGAUUGCAAAGGUCCUUAAUAUGUUAAUUGGGUUAAAGGGCGAUAAUUACUACUCAAAAGUGUUUAAAAGAGUUAAUUACAAGCUAUCAAAUAGCCCUUUUUGAGUAGUAAUCACUUAGAAAACUCGGUUUAUUCUUUAAAAUGUCGAUUUCAUUAAAACUUGAGUUUUUAACUAAUUUACCUUAGGCAAAAUGUUUCAAAAUUGACUUAAUAAUUUACCUAAAGACCUUGCCUAAGUGUUAGAAAAAAAAAAAAGAAUCAAAAAAUAGGUUUUUCCGGGCCAAAAAGGCUCAACCGGUCGAGGCUAUGGCCAACCGGUCAACUGGUUAAGGAAUCGGUCGAUCGGUUGAGGUUGUCUGGUCGAGGACCGGUCGAGGAAGGUCAAAAACCUUCUCUCUCUCCCAUAGCCUUCUCUUCCCAAUCGAGGUGAUUCCCUUACCGGUCAAGGUCCGGUCAAGGACCGGUCAAGGUCCGGUCAAGGACCGGUCAAGGUCCGGUCGAGGACCGAUCGAGGACCGGUCGAGGACCGAUCGAGGACCGGUCGAGGACCGAUCGAGGACCGGUCGAGGUCCGGUCGAGGACCAGUCGAGGUCCGGUCGGGGAAUCGGUCGACCAGUUGAGGUUGUCUGGUCGAGGACCGGUUGAGGAAGGUCAAAAACCUUCUCUCUCUCCUAGUAGCCUUCUCUUCCCAGUCGAGGUGAUUCCCUUACCUGUCAAGGUCCGGUCAAGGACCGGUCAACGAGGUCCGGUCGAGGACCGAUCGAGGACCGGUCGAGGUCCGGUCGAGGUCCGAUUGAGGCAACGAUAACCUAUCAUGCAUUAAAUGCUCCAACGGCUAGUGAACCGGUCGACCCCCAGCUCAACCGAACGAGGUUGCCUUUUGCUGUUUUUGACUCCCGAGCUUAGAAACCUAUAAAUUGAGAGCUCCACUUCAUUUAUUGAUAAGAUAACACUUGCAUUCAAAGCCCACCUACCUGUUCUUGAUCAAAAAGCUCUCAUUUCUUUCAUAGUGCAUUAAAUUACCACUUACAUAUCCUUUAGUGCACUCUUGUUUGUCAUCCUAGCUUUGUCUUGUAUUUGAGCCAUUUUUAAGCUAGGUUGAGUGAUUAUAUCUUGUAACAAUCCGAGUGUUAAAGUCUUCAAGAGGGUUGAAUCUUGAAGAGGUUGUGUAAGAGCCCAUUGGAUUCGGAAUCCAAGUGUAAGAAGAUUGGAAGCUUGGUUGAAGCUUCAAAUUAGUGGAACCCUCACUCGGUUAGAAGGUUGAAGAGAGUGGACGUAGGCAAGGAAGUGACGAACCACUAUAAACCCAAGUUUGAAUUCUCUAAACUCUAUCUCUUUACUUUGUUCAUAUUUUGUUUAAAUUUGUUGUGAUUGAAAAGAUUUUAAAAACCCAAUUCACCCCCCAUUUUGGGUGUUUUUCUUAACUAAGCAUAGCCUUUGUUUUCUCAUAAAUCAAUAGAUACCAAUAAAAUGAUUGAAUAAUAAAACAAAUCGAGCAUGAGAAUGAAUAAAUAAAUGAAGUAGGAGUGAGAGCGUACCUUAGCAGCAAAUAAUAGUGCACUAUCAUGGAAAAAAUGUUAGCUCAAGUACAAAAUUUAUCGCAUGCAUAUCAAAGAGCAAGACAAAGAUCAAGCAAUAUUCAUUAAGGUGUGGCUCUUAUAAAGGUGCAAAAAGAAGUUUGAUAAGCCCACAAUGCAAACAAAAGAUUCUCUGACCAAUCCCGAGAAGUCUCAAUCAUCCUCUGCAAGAUCCUCUUAAUAUUCUUAUUCACAGCCUCUACCACUUCGUUAGUCUGCGGCCUAUACGCAGAUGAUCUAUGAUGCUGGAUAUCGUAUCUCUGUAAUAAAGUGUCAACAUCUACUCUAAAAUGUACUUCUAUGCUCAAAAUCAGCUCAUGAGGGACUUCAUAGCGACAAAUAAUGUGUGAUAUGAUGAAACUAGCGACCCAAAAUGAUUUCAAUCUCGCAUAUGAAGCAGCCUCCACCCACUUGGUAAAGUAAUCAAUGACGACCAAGAUGAACUCAUGACUACUGGAAGACUUUGGCGAAAUCUUCCCAAUAAUGUUUAUACCCCAUACUGAAAAUGGUCAUGGUGAAUUCAGUGCAUGUAACUCUAAAAAGGGUACGUAGAUAAGGUCUUUAUGAAUCUAGCACUCUCGACAUCUUUAAACAAACUGGCAAUAAUAUUUCAUAGUCAACCAAAAAUAGUCGGUCUUCAUGACCUUACAAGCUAAUAUAUGUCCUCCCAUAUGUGGUCCACAAACUCCCACAUGAACCUCUCUCAUCACUCAAUCGGUAGAGGCGUGGUGAAAGCACAAUAGUAAUAUCCCAUCAACUGAUCGUUUGUACAAUGUCUCCCCACAGAUCACAAACCAGGUGGCUAACUAUCUCAAUGCUCUCUUAUCCUUCGUUGUGGCAACCUCAGGAUAUAUGUCAAGUCUCAAAAACUGAUAUAUGUCAUAGUACCAAGGCAAACCAUCAUCCAACUCUGCCUCAUCAAUCAAGCAACAAUAGGUAGGAACUAAUCUCGACUCAAUCAGUAAAGGGCGAACAAUGGUAUCAGCGGGAAUAUCAAUCAUGGAAGCUAGAGUAGCUAAGGCAUCAACAAACUGGUUUUGUGCUCUAGGCAGAUGAGUAUAACUCAAAUCAUCAAAUCUCCCAACCACUAGCUCUAAGCAUGCAUGGUAAGGCUUAAGUUUCACAUCUUUAGUCUUCCAAUUGCCUUAAAUCUAUCUCAAUACCAGAUUGGAGUCACUAAACACCUCCAUCUGUCUAAUCCCAAGCUUAAGAGUUGUCUCUAAUCCCAAGAUACAAGCCUCAUACUCAACAAUAUUGUUCAUGGCAAGGUGUCGAUCAAAGAAUGCCAAACGAACAAAUCUAGGAAUGUGGUCACCAUGAUGGGAUAUCAGUAGAACACCUAUCUCGUGUCUAGAAUGGUUGGCCGCACCAUCAAAGUACAUGCGCCAACCUGACGAAGUAGUCACUGCAGCAAUAUCCUCAUCUAGAAAGUCAUCAUCAAUAGCUCUACCAUCAGAAAAACUAGUAAUGAGGCUAAGUAAUCUACAACAAUGCUCCAUCUGAUAGACUUUUGAGUGACAUAAUGAAUAUCAAACUCAAUCAAGAGUACCAACCAUCUUAUGAGUCGAUCAAUCAAAGCAAGCCUGUCAAACAAAUAUCUCAGAGGAUCUAGACAAGAUAUCAAGUGCACUAAAUACUCCAUCAUGUAAUGUCUCAAUCUCUUAGUAGCCCAAACCAACGCCAAACAGAAGCGUUCAAUCAUGACAUAUCUUGUCUCAUAAUCAAGCAUCCUCUUACUCAAAUAAUAAAUAGCUCGCUCAUUUCCAGAAUCAUUAAGCUGAGCUAGCAUGCAUCCCAAGGCUAUAUCUGAGACUGACAAGUAUAGGAAUAAGGGACGACCUGGUGUAGGAGGCACCAAGACUAGAGGCGAAAACAAGUACUCCAUGAUCCUCUCAAAUGCACGCUGACACUCAUCAUCCCAAACAAGAGGUCGACUCUUCCUCAAGAGUAAAAAAAUGGGCUCGCAGAUAUCUGUCAAUCUGGCGAUGAAUCUACUGAUGUACUAUAGUCUACCUAAAAAACCUUUGAUCUCUCUCUCAGUUCUCGGCGCAGGCAUGUCAAGGAUGGCUCUAAUCUUAUCUGGAUCUAUUUCUAUGCCUCUCUCACUGACCAUGUAUCCCAGAAGUCACUUAAAAAGUGCACUUCUUAGGAUUCAGUCCUAAUCUGAACUAUCUGAUCAUAUCAAAGAAUCUCUUUAAAGCUACUAGGUGAUCUACUCUAUCUUGGGAUUUCACUAUCAUGUCGUCUAUAUAGACCUCGACAUCCUGAUGCAUCAUGUCAGGGAAAAGGAUAGUCGCUGCUCUUUGAUAAGUAUCUCCUGCAUUCUUCAACCCAAAUGGCAUAAGUAGCAGUAAGUACCCCACUCAGUAAUCAAAGACAUCUUCUCCAUGUCCUUUAGAGCCAUCAUAAUCUGAUUGUACCCAAAAAAUCUGUCCAUAAAGGACAACAUCGAAUGACCUGUUGUACUAUCAACUAGCAUGUCAAUGUGUGGGAGAGAAAAAUCAUCCUUGGGAUUGACCUUGUUGAGAUCUCAGAAAUCAACACACACUCUCACCUUGCCAUUCUUUUUGGGAACAAGGACGACAUUGGCCAACCACUCAGGAUACUCAACCACUGAUAAGAAUCCCACACUAAGUUGCUUCUGAAUUUCUUCUUUCACCUGCAGACUCCAACGAGGAUGCAAUCACCUCAACUUCUGCUUAAUCGGUCUAGCAAGGGGUAGUAGUGGCAAGUAAUGUUGGACUAUGGAUAGAUCAAGGCUAGAUAUGUCCUCAUAAGACUCUACAAGUGAUGUUGGACUAUGAAUGGAUCAAGGCCAGACAUGUCCUCAUAAGACCAUGCAAAGACAUCCAAAUAUGAUAUGAGUAACUGGGCAAGGCCACCACUCUCAUCUGUAAACAAAUCCAAUCCAAUCCUUAGCUCCCUAGGCUGGUCUGUUGUACCAAAAUCAACAAUCUCAGCGUCUCCUGUGGUAGGUGAAACUCUCUGAUCACUAGGACUCAAAUCAAAAGCAGAAGAAGAGUCCGCAUCUGAAUUGUGAUGUACAAUCUCAUCAUCUAUAUCAAAUAUUUGUGAUGUGGGUGAAUGAGGUGCAGAUAAAGUGUUAUCACAAGAAAUAGGCAAAUACUCAAAAAGACUCAUAUCCAUAUAUGAAGAAAGAGUCAGUAGAUCAUCAGAAUGGGAGACAAACCUUGAUAGUAUAUCAAAAGAAAGUGGUGGGUCCACAUGUUUGGACUCUACCAUGACUGGGCUAUUCACACACACAAAUACAUCAUCAUCAACUAUAUCAUCCUCUGAAAACUCCAAAGCAGGAGCAAUCUGGAUCUCCUCAGCAACCUCGAUGGCGGACACCCCAAAUAGAUCAAAUGGAGAAGCAAACUCAGGUUGGACUAUCCCAUCAAUCUGACUCAUACUCAUCGCGAGCAUCUCAUCAAUGUACCUGUCAUGUGGAACAACUCCAUCCACCAUGUCCCUAAUCUCAGCAAAUGUCCCAUGCUCGUCAACCUCAUCCAAGAAAUAGAGUGUCAUGAGGCUCAUAUGAUCUGGAAAUGAUGGGGUGGCUAAUGCAGAAGCAGAAGUGCCAGGAGCUCCAUCACUCAACCGUAGCUGAUGGACAAGACGCUGAAGCUCAACCUCCUGAACAGUGUUGAAUCCAUCAAUAAUCACACUUGAAUGCGUCUAUGGCUUUGACGCCCUCACAAAGUAGUCCGCCAAGCUCAUGUUGCAUGAGCAAAUAGGAUAGUCAAAUGGUGUGUGAGUCAAUCGGGCUUUCACUCUCUCUUUGCUCAAUCACACCAUAUAUCAAUAAUCGGCCUCAAUAGAAAUAAACCCAAAUCCAAAUGGUACAUCACGAUAAAAAAUAGUUAUAAACUCAUUGGGCCCAUGCUAACAUCGCCCUAAUCCCAUGCUCGGUAGAAAAGACAUGCUCCUCAUCAUGUCAAGCACCAUUGUACUACCGUGUUGAUCAAAUGACAUAGCCAUAAAGUCCCUACAAAAAUCCUCAAUCUCCAGAGUCUACACCUCAUCAAAUGUGAACCCAGUAAAAAACAAAUCAUCCUCAUUGUGACUAAUCUGAAGCAUUGGCUUGGAAGAAGCAAACAUAUCUCCAAUGGACCGCACUAUGAUGACCUGGCCAUCAUGAAUGAACUUCACCUUCUGAUGAAGGAAAGAAGGAAUGGCCCCAGCACUAUCAAUCCAAGGUCGGCCAAUAGUAGGUUAAAAGAUGUAGAAAUCCUCAAAACCUGGAACAGAAUAGGAAAUGUAGUUGGACCUAUCAAUAGCUUGAUCUCCAAAGUGCCCAUGACCUCCCUCUUAAUGCUAUCAUAUGCUCUGACUUUCUGAGUAGAGGGACCAAAGUUUGAGGAUGCAUAGCCGAGGGCAAUGACAUAAGCUAAGGGACAGACGUUCAGGGUUGGGUCAUCGUCCAAAAUGACAUAUAGGACUCGGUGGCCUAAAAAACCAACUAAGAUGUAUAGAGGACAUGUAUGGUCUGAACCCUCGGGUGGCAAAUCAUCAUCUAAAAAUAUAAUACAAGUGGCUCUGCCAACCGUCAUCAUGUGAAUCAACCCCUCGAGAAUAGUGGUAGUCUCGACUCUAAUCUAACUCAAGGCUCAAAUCAAUGCAUUUUUAUGAGUGCUAGAAGAUGCCAAUAAGCUCUAAAUAGAUAUACAAGUCUGGGUACUCUACAACUGUCUCAGAAUAUCAUCAUCAUCUCUCUUGACCUCCUCAUGAGAGGCUGCACCCUCCAAGGGUCUAGCGGUUGUGAGGGGUUGUUGUCAUACUACCUUACCUCUGUGAAUAACAUAUUGUAUAUCUGGAGUAUGAACAUCAUCAACAUAUGGAGUAUGUACCUCAUCAACGUCUGGAAUCAAAACAAACGGAGUCUGAACACUAUAACAUGGAAAAAUCAAUGGCUCGACUAUAGUCGACUGUAUUGAUGUCACAUCGGGAACCAAUUUGAAUAGUGUGGGCAUCCAUGGGCCCAAGGUCAUUCUACUUACCUCAUAAAUCCCAUCUACUACUAUAGGCUCUAGCACUGACUCAUCCCAACUCAGCAUGUGGAUAUGAUCAUAUGGCUUAGUGAAAUCCAUGAAAUGUAUACCGUUGGUUGGUAGAGAGACUGCAUGUGAAGUAUAAGCUGACAGAGGGUUAGUGGUUACACUUGGCUGACCCAAGUGAACCAAACCCUGAUCUAUCAAGUCCUCGAUGGCGUGCCUCAAAGCAGUGCAAUGGUCCGUGUCAUGCCCUAGACCUUGAUGGUAAGAACAAUAUAAAUCCAUCCUGAAGAGAGGUGGCAUGAGUUGAGGUAUAUGUCGAGGAGCUAACUGAGUUAACAAACCACCCUCCAUGAGCUUUUAGAAAGCUCGGUUCAAAGGCAUACCUAGUUGGGAGAACUAUUGUGUCAACCUUUGUACAAAAGAAAUAAUAGUCUAUGGGGCUCGGGGCUGAGGGUAUAAAGUAGGAGGCCUAUCUAUGACAUGUGCAGCAAAAACAGGUUGUGAGACCAGAUGUAGAUAAGUAUGAGUCAUAGGUUUGGAGGAAACAGGUGGCCUAUACUGUACAUGAGGUGGUGGUGGGUAGUAGAAUCCAGAAGGCUGCCCAACUGUCUGAUAGCACUCACAUCUUUUAGUCUCUGUCCUCCUAAAGGCUUCUUUCCCUAAGAGUCAGUAGGGGAAGACUCGGACCAUAAUCCUCUAGUUAUGUCCUCCUCUAUACCAUAUAAAUCCUGUACCAAAGAUCCAAAAUCCGUAUGAGGAAAUCCCAUCAAGUGCCUAGCAAAUCAAGGCUGCAAGCUCCUCGUGAUCAUACUAAUCUAAUCAUUCUCUGAAGGAUGAUCAAUAACCUAUGAAAUCUUCUCUCUUUAGCGGGAGAUAAAUGAGGUGACCGACUUCUCUAGCCUUUAUCUCAAAGCCUCUAACUCUCUCCUCGAAACAUCAAUGACAAUGUUAAAUGCAAACUGUCUCAAGAACUUCUAGGCCAAAUCAUCCCAAGUCCGGCGGCAUGAUACAUCCAAUGAAGCAAACCAACGUUAUGCCACACCACUCAGGGAUAUAGGAAAAAACAUAACCAUCUAGGCCUCAUCCAGUCCAUGGGCCCUCAUAACCGUACUAUAAAGCCUCAAAUGGAUGCGAGGAAAGCCAAUGUCCGUGUAUCUCUCAAUCUUAGACAUCCUAAACUUGGUUGAUAAACUGGCCACUGGUGCUCCAUUAAAAUCCUCCCAAGUAAUAGCUUCAUCUGAAGUCUUCAUCUGUCUCAUCCUCCGCUCAAGUCUAUCCAUACGAGCAUGUGGGUCCUCUGAGAUCGGGGUAGGCACUAUGACAGGAAGCAAGGCAACCUCAGUCUGACUCUAUAAAGUAAAUGAUAUAGGUUGUGAAACUAUCUAACCAAGUGGGAGAAGUGGCGGAAUAGUGGGAUCAUACUGCACACUCUCCUGAACUAGAACCUUUUGGGUUUGCUACCCAUCCAUCAUUUGAUCAAGACUAGUUAUGGCCUCCUGGAUCGAAGCCAUAGCAGCAACGAACUAAUCAAAUGUAACCACCUACGAAUCCAUAUCUGCCUAAUCUAACUGGUCUGACACUCUGAUCAAUCUACCUUUAACUCUGAUCUAAGAAGUUGAACUCAUAUCAAACAUAUCAAUACACCUACAAUAGUGGAAAUACUAGAUAAGAUAUUGUGUAAGGGAAACUCUACAAGGAGUGUUUAUCAACUAUGCAGGAAGGUAACCUGGAAGUAUUGAAACUGAUAUCUAAUUCUGAGCAAAUAUAUAAGAGACUACUACGAAGGUAACUAAAUUUAUCACUACUGACCCAGCUCUGAAGGCCCAUAGAUGCACCCACGUGUGGGAAAGGAAAUUCUGAUCGAAUAAUCUAAGGCUCAACCUAUAAGGUCAAGGUGGCUCUAAAAAAAAAAAAAGAUGGACUUUAAAGGAUCCAUAGCAGAAGCGAUCAUACCCUUCGACGGUAUGCAACCCUUUGCACGCCUUUGAAAAGACGAGGCUCUUCCAUGCAAGAUGGUCAUCACCUCUACACAUGCACUACCUCGACAUCCUAAGGGUAUUUGCUAUAGUGAAAGCUCUCACAACUCUCAGCACUCAGUAGUCAACUAAAGUGCAUAGUGAGUGGUGCAGGUGCAUCCGAAAAACCUAUGAAGCUAAAGUAGAAAAAAAAAUACAUUAGUCACACAAAUAUCCAUGAAACCUAGCUCUAGGCUAUUCAGGUCUUCAAAGAUCGGACUCCAAUCAACAUCAAUGUGUCGACCUCCUCAAGAAUGCUCCUAAACAUCAAUAUAGCCCAUCACUAGACCUUACUCCUAACCACUAGCUCGGUCAUAGAAACAAGUACACACAAGGCCUCACACUUGCAAAUAUAAGAACCAAAAUGAAGGAAAUGACCGAAACCAAAGGGUUGGAGGUAAGGGGAUAGAUGUGUGAUCCACACGGACAACCAACAUACAAUCACAUAGGAGAAGAUUAGUUAUGCAACAAGCAGUCAAGCAGAGCGCAAGUAUAUCAUCCAUGUCCAUACACAAGCCAAACAAAAAUAUGACAAUCAAAAUGACUAGCAACAAGGAUAGCAUGCUCAAAUAUAAUCAAGAUAACAUACAAGCAAGAUAAUCAACACUAAGACAAAUAAAAGAUGCAGCAAAGUGAACAUACAUGUCAAAGUAAGUAGGAUAAUCAAGGCAAGAGCAAGAUCGAUCAAUACCAUCAACAUGCCAAUGUUGCAAAGGGAUAUAACAAUUAAGCAUAGAAAAUCGUUGCAUCAAAAUCCUCAAUGUGCUAUGAUCACUCAAGCAUUGAAAAUUGUAAUUUUGAAAAAUUAUUUGAAAAUUGGAGUUUUGAAAAUUAAAUUUAAAAAUUAGAAUUUUGGAAAAUUAAAUUUAAGAAUUAGAAUUUUGGAAAUUGAAUUUGAAAGAAAUUGGAGUUUUGAAAAUUAAUUGAGAAUUGGAGUUUUGAAAGUUAGUUUUAAGAAUUGGAGUUUUGAAAAUUAAUUUUGAAAGAAAUUGGGGUUUUGAAAAUUAAUUGAAAAUCGGAGUUUUAAAAAUUAAAUUUAAGAAUUGGAGUUUUGAAAAUUAAUUUUGAAAGAAAUUGGAGUUUUGAAAAUUAAUUGAGAAUUGGAGUUUUGAAAAUUAGUUUUAAGAAUUAGAGUUUUGGAAAUUAAAUUUAAGAAUUUGAAUUUUGGAAAUUAAAUUUGAAAGAAAUUGGAAUUUUGAAAAUUAUUUGAAAAUGGAAGUUUUAAAAAUUAAAUUUGAAAAUCGGAAUUUCAAAAAAUUAUUUGAAAAUUACAUUUAAGAAUUGGAAUUUUUUUAAAAUAGAAGUUUUGAAAAUUAAAUAUGAAAAUCGGAAUUUCGAAAAAUUAUUUGAGAAUGGAAUUUUUAAAAGAUCAAUUUUGUUAACAUAAAAAGAUGGAUUAGGAGGGUGACAUGUUAGGCUUGGGAUUUGGGUCUAAUAGAUAGGCUUUGAUAGAGGUUUUGCAAAGGUGGCCAUACAGGAGUUAUUCACAUGCUUAUGAAUGGUGGGGGAAGAAAACUCAGACCAGAUUUGAAAAUAAGAACAUAAAUAUGAUCUCCAAUGCAUAAAAUAGCUUAAAUUAAAUCAAAUUAUUCCCAAGCCAAAAGCCAAAGUAUAAAUAAAUAAACCAACAACAGCACACCUAUGAAUGGCUCAGAAAUCCAAUAAAUUCAAACACAUAACCUAAUGUUCAUGCUUAGCAAACAAUCCACAAAAAAGAAAAUAACAAAAAGGAAGAAGAGCAUAUUAUGGUGAAGCAGAAUCAAACCUAAGCAAGUCCUCUCACUCUUUCUGUUUUUCUCUCUUAGAUACCGACUCUCUGUUUUUUCUUUUUUUCACUCAAGCUCUCUUCCUCAAGCUCCGUUUUCAGCUUGUUUUUCUUCCCCUUCCAACUUUAAAAAAAAACCUCUCCUUGCUCCUCUUUCUUCCUCCCAACGGCCACCUCUUGCUCUUGCUAAAAAAACCUCAUUUUCCUAUCUCCACACCAGCUCAUUUUUCUUCUCAAAACGUCUCCUGUUUUUUGUCCAGCUCUCAAAACCCCCACCUGUUGAUAACCUCUCCAAUCCGGCUCCCCCUCUCCAUCCCUUUUUUUUUUUUUCUCUUCAAUCCUCCCCUCCAAGCUUCAGUUUUUCUCUAAAAAAAAAACCAUCCUCUCCUAGUCUCAUCUUCCCUCUUAAAAACAGCUCACCCAUGGACAACCUCUCCAUUUUUCUCUCCCGUUAGCUUCCACCAGCUCUCUGCUUCCUGUCCACUCCUCUAUUUUUCAUUCAGAAAAAGUCUCAUCUCAACCACCACCAUGGCAAGGUGGUGGUGUGUUCUUGCCACACAUCCCAUGCAACUUUGAGCACUCGUGAAAAGGUCGUCCCCCACUUUUCCAAAAAAAAAGCCCAGCUCACUGUAGCCAAAUAUGGGUCUACAAAUAUGAUUAUUUUAUUCUUUCAUUUAUUUUCCACCAAUCAAUACCGAAAAUCUUAAAAUAUAAUCAUUUUCUUAAUUACAUGUGGUUUUUAUAUUUUCUUUAAUUUCUCUAAAUUUUGUCAUUAGGAAAAUAAAUUCUAAAUUAAAUAGUAUUUAAUACGUAUGAUUUAGUAAUGUUUUAAAAUGAUUUGAAACUAAAAAUUUAUGUAAUUAGUAUUAAAAAUCAUGAAACUAAUAAUCAAUCUAGGUAAUAUUAGAAAUUUACAAAACAAAAUUCAUUAUAUAUGCCUUCACUAGUUUAUGUUUUUAUACAUAAUCAUAAUUUUGUGAAUUUUUUCACUAGACAAAUAGACUUCAAGUAAGCAAAACUUAAUCUAUUAGAUUCAUGAAUGAAUCUAAUAAAUUUUAAACAUAAUUUGAAACUCAAAUAGUAAACCAAUUCAUACCAUAAAUUUAUGGAUAAAAGUUAAUCAAGAAUAACUCUAUUAGUUCUCUUUUAUGUAGAAUCAUAUUUUUCCAAAAUUUGCUCACCAGAAAAAUGGAUUUCAAGUGAAACAAGACUUAAUACGUUAGAUUUAUUAACAAGUCUAUUAAUUCAAAAAUAUUUAAAAAUAAAAAAUAAAACAAUUAUUAAUAUAAGUUGACAAACUAAAAUUGUUCCAAAAUGACUCUCCUCUACACAUAUCUAUAUUAUUUUAAAAUUUGUUAUUAAGCAAAUAGAUUUAAAAUCAAGCAAGACUUAAAAUGUUGAAUUUAUUAAUGAAUUUAAUUGUUUUUAAAAUAAUUUGAAACUUGAAAAUAGAUAAAAUCACUACCAAAAAUAAUAGAUCAAAACUAGUACAUAAUGAGUCAUAGCUUUAUUGCUCUUUAUAUGUACACAACUAUAUUUUACGAGUUUUAUCACUAAGUAAAUAGAUUUUAAAUUAUGUGAGACUUAAAACUUUAAAUUCUUUAAUGAACCUUCUAAAUUUUAAGGAUAAUUUGAAAUCUAAAAAUUUGAUCAAAUUAAUUAUAUACUAAAUCAAAACUUGUCCAAAAUAGGUCCAUGCUAAAAUACUAAAUAUGUACAUGCAACGGUUUUAAAUAGAAUAUUAUUAACCAUUAUUAUUUUUUAAUUAUUAUUUUUUUAAAAGAAAAAUUAUUAUGCUUUUAUGAAGGUAUUAAUCUCUAUAUUUUUAUAAUAUAUAAUGAAAUAGUAUUAGUUUUUUUAAUAAACAAAAUAUAAUUUAUGAUCUUAAUAUUAGUUUUCAUAUUUUACGAAAAAAAUAUUUAUUUUAAAAUUUUAUUUGUAAUUAAAAAAUUAUUUUUAUUUUUAAUAAGACUUGAAUUAACUUGAAUUAAUAUUAUAAUUGAAUUUAUAAUUUUUUUCUAAAAUCAAAGCAUAAAAACUAUUUAUAAAAACAACUUAUUUAGAUAAGGUUUUUUUUUAUUUCUUUGAAAAGUGUUUUUAAAAGAUAACUUGCCAAAUAGUCUUGUCUUUCGAAAAUAUACAAAAUAAAAUAAAAUAAAUUAUUUUUGUUCUUUAACUUAAAAACUGUUAUUAAAAACAAGUAUAAGAAAAUAUUAUCAAAGUGAGCCGUUAGUUUUUAGUAAUUAGUUAUUUUUGACAAAGUUUAGUGUUUCCACAUUCAGAAAGUUUAAACUAAUUUGUUUUCAUUUUAGUUUAAUAUUCUCAUUAGCUGUUCUUUUCUUUUUUUACCUUAGAAUUUCUCCAAUUUUAUGCUUAGUAGGUAAAUAGAUUUUGCAGGUAGACUCCAAUGAAUUAAUCAACCAAUUCAACCUAUGGUAGAAAACAAUUAAGGUCAAAACAACAAUAACAAUCGACCUAUGAUGUCUUCCAUGAAUACAGAUCAAUGGGAGAGCAUUUGAACCCUCCUCAUCUUAGUACACCUUCAUGCUUCAUCAUGUCGUAGGAUCAUGUGACCAUCAAGCCUCAAUUGGUGCCUUUACUCUUGAUCUUCAAAGACAAUGGAAAUGAAAACCCUCACACCAAUAUCAAGGAUGUCAAAGAAAUUUGCUUCACCUUUCAAGAAGCAAACAUGCCUCUAGAUGCGUUAAUAAGAAUAAAGCUUUUUCCACUUACGUUGAUAGAUCGAGCAAAAACAUGGUUGAACACCCUUGGACCACAAGGCAUUGGGACCUAGAAUAGGUUGCAAUUGAUCUUCCUUAAAAUUUGUUCCUACCACACAAGACUAAUGCAUUGAAAAGGGAAAUGUCAAAUUUUACAACCUGGGAAAACAAUAAAUUUUUCUCAUGUUAAGAGCACUUUAAAUGGAUUUUCAAAGCAUGCCCACAUCAUGUCUUUGAUAAUUACAAGUUGAUUUUCAAAGCAAUGUUAGAGACGAUGUGCGGAGGAAAUUUCAUAAGAGUCUAGAUAAAACUCCUUCAAUUUCUAGAUUAUGUGGUUGAAGCAACAAAGAGUUAGAUAGAUCAUGUGAUUAAGGAAUCACAAAGAAUGCAAAGUUCCAAAAAAAUUGAAAGUUUGUGAUAUCUUCAACUUGUUUGAAAGCAUGGAUUUUCAAUUAAAUAUUUCUACCUUAACUAGGAGAUUAGAAGACUUGGAGACCAAAGGAGUCUAAGAGGUCAAAGCAAUGAAUAAGUUAAGAGUGAUGAGAUGUUUGAUAUGCUAGUUAAAGGAGCACAAGGUUACAAGUUGUCCAACACUUCUAGUAGUGAGGCACAUGUUAUCAAAGUUGGCCAACACUUUUGAUUCAUUCAGAUAGAAUAGUAAAACUCUCCAUUCUCCAACACCUAUAAUCUAGGUUAGAUUAAUCAUCUUAACUUAUCUUGGAGAUGGAGUAGUCAAUUUCGUUAGCAAAAUCAUGCUAUGAACCAACAUUCAAAAUGCUUAAUAUCCCUAAUUAAUGAAAAUAAAUUACACACAAUAGAUAAGUUGUGAUUACUCAAUACAAGGUUGGGUGAUAGUUGUAUUUUCCAACACAUAAUGAUGUAAUUGCAAUAACAAUUUAUGGUCGAUAGUGGCCACACAAGCCCCAAGUAAAGGCUUCCCACCUUUGCAUUCAUCAUUCCCAACAUUAGGAAUUCUAAUUGCAUCUAUGCCUAAUACGUACUCUAUGCAAAACUCUAAAGCUUCCUUUGUAUCAUGGCAUUCAACAAAACAUCCCUCUCAGCAAUUAUGAUUUUGUACAUAACCCUUUAAUACCUUCAUAACCUUUCAAAAGAAUACAUCCAUCUAAGGUAAACUGGCCUACAUGAUCUCGUUUUUCUUGUCAAGUGCAUUAUUUAAUGAAGCAUAAUGUCAAAAAAUGAAGGUGGAAUUUUUUUUUCAAGUAAGCAUAAUAUCACCACCAACUCAUCUUAUAGUCUAUCUAAUUUAAACACAUAGACUACUUUGCUACAUGAGGCAUUGAAAAAUAAGCAUAAUCUAGAUAUAGUGUUUCACAUGUUUAAGUAGAAUAUAUUGUAAUUCUACUAGUAAUAUGUUGCAUGAGUGCAUGAUAAUCAUGGGAUUUAAGACCAUAAAGCUUCAAAUUUUCCAUUGACACAAGUUUUAUGAAGUUAGAGGACUAUCCUUCAAGGACUUUCAAGUCAACUAAGGUUUGAUAUACCACUUUUUUCUCUAUCCUAGAAAGUGUGUAGCAUGUAGGUGGGAGGCAAGUCUACUUUAAGUCAAAUUUUGGUGCCAAUUCAAACCUUAUGCCCAUCUCCAUAAGAUCCAACCCAAAAUUGAGUUCAUCUUUUAUUUUCCUGGAAUGUUAAGCAAGGUGCCAAUGAUGCUUUCGCACACAUUUUUCUCAAUUUGCAUAACAUCUAAUUUGUAAUCGACAUACAAAUGUUUCCAAUAUUCUAGAUCAAAGAAUAUGGGCUUCUUUUUCCAACAAAUUGUAGUAUUCACAUUAGAAGUACUUGCUUUAACCUUCUUUUUUCCCCAUGAUUAAAAAUGGAAUCAACUUCUUCUAGUAUUUCCUCUCUAGUUAAUGGUUAUGGAGGUAGCCCAAACUCUUGCUAACCAUUGAAUGCCUUCUUUUGUUUCCUAUAAGGAUGGUUAUAUGGAAGAAACCAUCUAUAACCUAUAAACAAGUUCUUCUUCCCAUGUUUCGAUCUACAAGAAUAUGUUUCUUUCCCACAUAUUGGUAAGCAUAAUGUCCCUUAACAUGAACAACUCUCGUUAAUGUGCAUCAUAUACUUUGACUCUUACCUCCCAAAGAGUUUUAAGAGCUUCCACCAAUAGUGCCAAGUAAACAUCUAUGUCAUUUCCAGGUUAUCAUGGAUUUGAUAUCAAUAAUGAUAACAUCAUAAAUUUCUAUUUCAUGCACAACCAUGGUGGAAGGUUAUAUGCGAUCAUUAUAUAUAAUUGACUAAAUACUAUGACAACUACUAAGAGAAUUGUGAGGAUUUAUGCCAUCUAUUAAAAUAGUAAGUCUAAGUUUUCUAGUCUUAGAAACAAACCUGGGCCAUAAAUGGUCAACUAGCUUCCAUGAUGGAGAAUCAAAUGGGUAAUGCAAAUUCCCAUCAAAAUUUCUUUCUUGGGCAUGCCAUGUGAGAUUUUUUUUACUAUUUGUGAGGAUUGGAAUGUUUUUUUAAACCUUGAGAUAGGUGGAAAAUACCACAAGACUUUUGCAGGAACACUUAUUCUCCUUUUGUUUCCUUUUUUACUUACCUUCUACCUUGAUGUUCCACAAGUACAACAUAAUGAUACAUUUUUAUGCUUAUUUCUAUAAAGAUAACAAUCAUUAGGGCAAACAUGUAUUUUUUCAUAUUCCAUUCUCAAUGCAUUUAAGGUUUUUUUUUUUUUUUUUUUUGCUUCAUACAUGCAUUUCAUUGUUGAUUGGGAGUGUAUCACUUAACAUUUGAAGUAACUCUAAAAAAAUUUUGUCAAACCACACAUAUCUUACUAUCAAGUUAUACAAUUUUACCAAUGCAGAUAACUUUAUAAACUUUGAACAAGCAAGAUAUAAAGGUUUUUUAGCAUCUUCAAGUAGUCUUUUAAAUGAUUAGGGAUCCUUCAUAUAAUCAUCUUGUGCAGCAUAGACCAUCUAAAUGGUAUUGUCUAAAUCAUCACAAUUAAGUUGAUCAUAAUGAUAUCCUUCACAGUUGUUGCUUCCUUACUAAGAACUACCUCUCCAUGCUAAUACCGUGUGCAGUAACUUUGAUUAAUUCCAUUGAAAUAUAAGUGUUCUCUAAUCACUUGAGGAGUAUGGUUCAUUAAGUUGCUAUAAUGUAGGCAUGGACAUCUAAUAUAGUUCAAAUCUCUAGCAUUUAGACUUAUAAAUUGAAUAAAGCUGUCAACCCCUUCUUCAUACUCUUGUGAUCUUCUAUCCUUAGACUACAUCCAAGAUCAAUCCAUUUUUGGGUUGAUUCAACUAAAUUCCUAUAUAACACAAGUUGCAUGAUUUAUUAAUUAUUAAUUCCUAAACCAAACAAGGAUAUAAAUUGAGCUAUACAACUAAUAAAUAAAGUAUUAAAACACGAAAUAGCAUCAUAAUUGUACCUAUAUUAUAGCACAUGCAACCACCUACAUAUGUUCAAUCUUAAACACUUAAUGUUACUUCAUUCAAUAUAAAUUAAAUAAAUGCAUAACUUCAUUUAUUAGCAUGCAAUAAAUUAUCAAUAGAAUGUAUGGGGAUAAUACCCUAAUUAGUAUUAGUGAUAAAUCAUAUCCCAUGAUAAUCCAUUAUGUAAUAUAAAUACUAAAACAAGAUAGGAAGACUAAGAACUUAACUAAUUUAGCAUCAUACAACUAAAUCUAAAGUACCCAAUUUUAUUGUGUUCACUAAAAGAAAGAAGUAGUAGAAAAUUAAUUUACUUUGCAAUUCUAUAUGAUCCAAGUGUAUAUAGUAUAUCAAAUCCUCAAGUAUGAACUCUCACUACAAGAAAUAAGUUUUUAUUAGUUGGAUUCUCAAAAUUAAGAUACUAUUAAUGUAUAUAGAUUCCAUGAAAAUGCUUGUCUUCACAAGGUUGGAAUUUCUAUCCCAUCUAAGAAUUGUAUGUUUUUAAAAUAUUACACAAAGAAGCAAAAUUUAAAAUUGUCAUGAAAAUUUCAACAACAUUUCUCUCCUAUUCUCGUAGAUGAGCCCAAAUUCUCAAUGAAAAUCCUUAAUCAUGUUUUUUAAGUAACUUUGUAAAUUUGGAAUGGCUAAAUGCAGUUUCUAUAUUUUUAUCUACUAGAAGCCUUAAGUUAUAAAAUUGAACUAAUAAAUGGGUUAGGUCAUGAUUGGGAAGCUUGUUUUAGAUCUACCAUCUAUAUUAUUUUAUUUUAAUGGAGCCCAAACUAAAUAGGGAACCCAACCAUCUACCACAAUACCAUGUCAUUUUACUAAUAUGGCCUUUGUUUAUUGGUCAAAUUGGGUCCUAUUUGUUUGUACAAAUUGACACUGUAUGUGGAGUGCAGUGUUCAAUAGUUGGUGAUCCAUUUCAUAAUUUUAAAAUAAAGAAUUUGUUUGUUGAUAAAACAACAACCAUCCACCACCCAUUCAACUAACAAGAUUUAAGAUUAUUGUUUCUUUCCUAUGGGUGAUAAUAAAAAUAAAAAAAUUAAGCCCUAAUACAAUGAAAAUAGAAAAAAAAAAAUUGAAUAGUUUGAUUUUAAGAAAUUAUUAAACAAAAUGAUGAAAAUUGCUAUUGGAAUUCACCAAUUAAUCAAUUCUUCAACUACCACAAUGAUUCCCAAACAAUAGACAAAUCCUAAGUCUAAAGGUACCGUUAUGUCAUCUAAAAAUCCAAAAUAUUUAUCCAAACCUAAACUCUAAAACCCAAUGUGUUUCAAACCUCAUCUUAGUAGGAUUUUUUUUUUAAACAUUAUUUUAAAAAAUUAUAAUUAAAGCAUUGUUGUUUAAAAAAUAAAUAAAAAAAUACAACACUUUUCAUCACUUGUUUUAUUUUUGCACUAAACUCGUAUUUGUUCAAGAGGCGAAAUCACUUUUUAUAUUGAAUUGAAAGACGAGUUCACUUUUCACCUUAAAUUUUUCUAUACAGAACUUGCUUUUUCAAAAGAUAAGUUCACUUUUCCAAUGUUGAACUCGUCUUUUGAAAAAUACAACUUCACUUGAAAUCUAAAAAUGUGAUAGUUUAAAAAAAAAUAAAAAAAAAUUGGUGGUACAACCUUUUAAAAAAGUACACUACUCUUGUAGAAAGGCCUAUCUCAAUACUCCUUUGACUACUAGACUCAAUAGAGUGUGACUUGGUAUAUCAUUUUACAUGCAAUGUUAGAUUUAUUUUUUUUAUUUUUUUUUGGUUUUCAUAUUCUCAUAAACCAAAAAUGGAAACUAAUGAAUAAAAAUAAAAAUUAAAGAAAAAAAAAAAGCAUUUAAAAUAUAUAUCAAGAAAGAAAGAUAUUGAUCACCUAUUUCUUUCAACAUAAGUUCCUCUAAGUAAAAUGAUAAGGUUGCCACUAUGGUUUAAUCUCAGGAGGUUUAAGAGCACACAUCUUCAAUACGGGAAGGUUUGAGAGCACAUCUUUAAUAGGGGAAGGUUUGAGAGCACAUCUUCAAUAGGAGGAGGUUUGGGAACACAUCUUUGGUGGGAAAAUAAGAUUGAUAACUUCUUCUUUUUUAAAUAUAUACUGCUAUUAAAAAUGUGAGGUGUUUGUCAAUUUUUUCAUUCCAAAAAUGUCUGACAACUUACCUUUUAAUUCUAAAAAUACUUCUCAUCAAUUUAUUAAUAACAAUAUAUUAAUAUUUAAUAUUACAAAAUGUAUUCUAUUAUCAUAAUCUAUUAGUAUCAAAUGACAUUAUACAUUUUAUUCUCUUUAGAACCUAUAAUAUUCUUUGACUCUUGAUGAUGUGCCUAAGCCCCAUAUUUUCAAUGCCCACAUAAGCCUUUUCUAUCAUUUUCUCCUCUCCAUGGUCACAACAGCUUCUUCUUCAAGCUUUUAGAUUUUUCUUUGCAAAAUUGCCAUCGUAACAUUCCUCUUCGCCACAAAUGGCAGUCGAUUCAAGACUAUGUCUAGAGUUAUGGUCAUGGUUCUGGAAGGUUUGGAUUGAUGAAAGUGUUAUGUUAGGGACAAGAGAGAGCUUCAAUGAAAUGUAAUGUUUUGGGGAAAGCUAAGAAUGACAAUGGUGGCAAAGAAGGUGUUCCUGAAAAGAAGAAACAGUUUGUGUGGUGGUUUCAGGAGGGGUGGUUGUAUUUUCACAUUCAUAGGAGUGACACAUUUGUUGUCAAUUCUUACUUGGAACCCAUACUGAAGGCACAUUUUCUAUGAAUUUCUUUUCCCCUGUUAAUUUAGUUUGGAUGAAUAAACUGUUAUUGUGUUUCAUAAAAGCAAUAUGGAGGGUUGGUUUGGAUAGUGGUGAUACUCCACAUUCAGAUAUGUUUUCCUUUUGUAUUUUGGAAACUAAUGAAUCAUAACAUGCUUAUUGGUGAAAGGAGAUUGUUGUUUAUCCCCUAUUUGUUUAUAGAGAAUGAAUUGUGUUUGUGGAGUUGACAAUUGAAGAUGUUGACUGUGAUUUAAAUCCAAAAAGUUUUAGAGAAUUGGUCAAAUAAAUCUCUGAUAAAUAUAUUUUUUUAAUGAAUUUACAACUCUUAUCUAAGUAAUUUAUCGCAUUGAUGGUAUCUAUGUAUAUCAAUUAUUUGUGUUCUAAUUUAUUGUGAUUCUAUCUCUUGUGUUAUUAAUCAUUUAGGUUAUUGGAUUUUAACAUUUUGAUUUUUAUCAUUUCCCAUAUUUUUAAUUCAUUGCAUUUUUGUUCAUUGUGAAUGUUAUUUAUUUAUUAUUUUAGCACUCAUUGGGUUUUUUGUGAACACAAUUAGGUCAACUGUUGUUGCCAUUAGUGUUUUUGAUGAUUUUGCUUACAUGUUUAUUAGGGAAAUAUUAGAAUUCAAGGUGUUUGGUACAUUUGAGAGGUAAUCCAAUUUAGUAUUAGAGUAUACCUUUUUUUUUUAUGAAUCCUGACUUUUUUUUUAUUGGGAUCAAAAUUUGUUACUUACUCUAGAAAUUUAGUAUUUUUGUAAAUACUUUUAAUUUGUCUAAUUAUAUUUUUUUAUAAGUAUUUAUAACUUAAAGGUUUUACUAAAAAGAAAAUGAAGUUAGUAGUUUUAAAUUGAAAUUAGUCUUAUUUCUUAAGGUUUUUUUCCUUUUUCAUUUUUAGCUUAAUUGAAUCUAGAACUUUCUUGUAAAUUAUAAUUCUAAAAGGAGUUUUAAUUACAACCUAUUAAUAUUUAAUGUUACCAAAAUCUAUUAAUUAUUCCCUUUAAAAUCACCCUAUAACAUUAUAAAAUAUUAUAAUUAAUACAUCAUCUAAUCAACAAUUAAGAAUUACCCCUUCACUCUUCAAAUUUCUUAUGAUGACAGUUUCACUUUUCAUUUCUAAAGUUUGAAAACUUUUUAAAUUUCUGAUAACUUUUUCCUCUUUGAAGAGAAUUAAGAAGUUUUUGUAAAUUGGCACUCCCAAUUUGAAUGAAGUGCUAUUUGGUGAGUUGUUAUUUAGUGUUCUGAAUGAUUUUACUUAAAUGUUUGUGUUACUUAUGAGAAUAAUUUGAUUACUUUGUUGAAUUUUAUUUUUAUGAUUUUGAGCUUUUUAAAACAAUACUCAAUUCUUUGAGUUUGUUGGAUGUGAGUUGGAAGAAAAUUGAAAUUUAAGGUAAUUGGUAAAUUUGAGAGGUAACUAAAUUUAGUAUUCAAGUAUACAUUUUUUUGUAAUGAAUUUUAAUUCUUUAUUUUAUAAUUCAAUGUUUAUUAGAAUUGAAGUUUGCUACUUAUUAUAUAAAUUUAGUAUUUUUGUAAAUACUUUUAAUUUUUAUUAUUUUUAGACAAGUAUUCACAAGUUAAAUCUUUUAAUAAAAAAAAUAAAGUUAAUUGUUUCAAUUGAAAUUUGGGUAAAUGUUUCUAGAGUAUGUUUUUCUUCAUUUUUUGUCUUAUUGGAUCUUAAUUUUAGAAUAAUUAGAACUCUCUAAAAAAUAAAAUCCAUAUUUUUUUUAAUAUAAAUUACCAUUCUAGAGCUAAAUGCAUUUCCUUAUUUUAUAAUUCAAUGUCCAAUAAUAUGCAUAGGAAUUGGACAAUAUAGUUUUUUGUUUUAUAAUCCAAUAUCUAUAAUAAUUGGAAACUAUAGUUCCUUAUUUUAUAAUCCAAUGUCUAUAGAAAUUAGAGAUUCUUAUUUAUGCUAUAAAUUUAGUAUUUUUACACAUUCUUUUAAUUUGUCUUAUUUUGUUUCUUUUAAAUAUUAUCUUUAACCAAUAUUCACAACUUAAAUCUUAUAAUAGGAAAAGUAAAGUUCCUUAUUUUAAUUUAAAUUGAGGUAAGUGUUUUUCAAGAUUUUUUUUUUUUUUUUUUUCAUUUUUAGUUUAGUUGGAUCUUCACUUUGGGAUAACUAGAAUUUUCUCAUAAUUUUUGUUUGUUUGUUUUUUUUAAAUACCAACCACUAUUCUAAAAUGAAUUAAAAAUAACCACAUUUAACAAUUCGAGAAUGAAAUAUCAAGUAUAUUUGAGAGAUCAAAAACAAUUUUUAUUCUUACUAAGAUAUUUGUCUUUUUAUUUGCUCAUGGUUCUUGUUAUUAUGACUUUGUAUUACAUUCCAGAAACAUAUAGUUUUUCCUUGUGUAAAUAAAUUAAUAAAAUUAAAGGAAAUUGACAAGGAAAACAUAAAAAUAAAAAGUAUGUUUGAAUAAAUAAUCCAAUUUUUUUUUUUUUAAUAUUCAUCUACUUUUCAUAAAAUUAGGACAAGUAAAAGUUACAUUUUGUUGUCCCUAAAUUGCAAUGAAUUUAAAUUAACAAUAGAUAACGGGUUUAAAUAAAAUUUGGUACAUAUCAUUGCUAAGGUGACAUUUAUUUUGCCUAACUUAGAAAAAUUGAUUUUAAAAAGAAUUUUACCAUCUAAGAUUUUUGGAAUGGAAAAAUGUAACAUUAUUUAUAUUUCAUCUCAGUCCUUUUUCCUUUCUAUUUAUAUUUCAACCCAAUCAUUUUUUUUCCUUUUUUAUGUCUAGUUUGAUUAUUUGACUUUGAAUCUCUUCUUAGUUUCAUACAAGGAUUUUAAAAGAAUAAAUUCACAUAUUUAAUUUUUUUUAUUGGAUUUGUUUUCAUAUUACCUAAUCUACGUCGCAUGUGAACACUUCCUAACAUAUAUAUAUAUAUAUAUAUAUAUAUAUACACAUAUGUAUGGAAGAGUAAGAUGACUGUUUCAAAGAAUCAUUUUUAUAAAAAUGACUAUUUAGAAGAGUUAAGGAGCAAGUCUUUGAGGGGAAAUAAAAUCAAUAGUAAAAGAAUAGGAUGACGUUUCGAAAGAAUCAUCUUUAUAAAGAUGACUAUUUAAAAGAGUUAUGGUCUCUUUCCCAAAGUAGAUAUUUAAUUUGAGAACGAGUGGGAAAAUAAAAUUAAUAGCAAUUUGCCUUUUAAUAUUUACAUAAAAGGGAAAGGAUAGGAUGAUUUUUUCAAAGAAUUGACUUCACAAAAUAGAUAUUUAAAUUGCAAAGUCAUUAUUUAUCAUAUUAAUUAAAGAUAAUGAAUUUUUUUUAAAAAAAGUCAUUGAAACAACUGUCAUUAUCUCCUUUUUUGUUGUAGUGACUUUGGAUUUACUAUUAGAUACAUAAUUAACAAAUCAAAGGAUUGAGUGCAAUUAAUUACAAUAGAUUUUUUUGUAGAUAUUAGAAUGUUGAUAGAGGCUGGACAAAAAGGAGGUAACUAGGAUUAAGGCAUAAUGGAGUAUUCCACAGUGAAGGCCAAGAACAGGGAAGAAAAAAUGAGUCAGCUGCAGGUGUUAACCUGCUCUGAUACCAUGAGGGAAAAUAAGAAGGGGAAUAAUUGGUAUAUAUUUUUCUCUAUCUACUGAUGGAAUGAAAAAGCAUCCUAGCCUCCUACGAGGGUCUAACCUUGUGAUUCUCCACUGUAUCAUAUCAGGGUGAUCCAUGGCUUGGUAGUCUUUUCCCUAAAACCUCUUCAUAUUGGCUCGUAACCGAUUCAAAAUUCACGAAAUUCAUAUAGAUCGUUCAAUGAAGUCCCCUAAUCAAGUUCAAGGUAGCCUUUGGUUAUUCUGAAAAUAGAUUUUUUUUUUUUGUUUUUUGUAGGUAUUAGAAUGUUCAUAGGGGCUGGACAAAAAGGAGGUAACUAGGAUUAAGGCAUAAUGGAGUAUUCCACAAUGAAGGCCAAGAACAGGGAAGAAAAAAUGAGUCAGCUGCAGGUGUUAACCUGCUCUGAUACCAUGAGGGAAAAUAAGAGGGAAUAAUUGGUAUAUAUUUUUCUCUAUCUAUUGAUAGAAUGAAAAAGCACCCUCCUACCAGGGUCUAACUUUGUGAUUUUCCACUGUAUCAUAUCAGGGUGAUCUGAACAAAUAACCUUGUUUUAACAAUUAGUCAUCCAUGGCUUGGUAGUCUUUUCCCUAAAACCUCUUCAUAUUAGCUCGUAACCGAUUCAAAAUUCACGAAAUUCAUAUAGAUCGUUCAAUGAAGUCCCCUAAUCAAGUUCAAGGUAGUCUUUGGUUAUUCUGGAAAUAUGACUAAUCUACUUCAGUACAAAAUGUUGAAGUUACAGAAGAAACAAGCCAUGCAUAAAUCACCCACACCCCUCUUCCAAAUUAACAAGCCAUGCACAAAUCAAAUUCCCAUACAUCAAUAUUAUUUUACAUGUCUUUUUAACAGACUGAAUUCAUUAAGACAGAAGAGUACAUAACUCAGAGGUGAAUCCUACACAGCCACUUCUACAGAACCCCAAAGAUGUAAAAGGUCAGGAACAGACACCCAAGCACAAAUGCAGAGGUUGAAAGCUCUGAGGAACUGGGUAGCACCAAAUAAAUGCCAGAAGUAAAUGCUAUCACCAUUCCUAGGAUGGAAACGUAUGUGAGUAUGGCUG